AAAGAGAUAUAGUCUAUUAGGUUGGUAAAUCUACUGAAACAAUAUUGUUUCCAAUCAACUCCGAGAUACAAACAAUUGAACAACGUUCAGAAAUCGAAAAUCAUUUAUUACCAGCAAGAUUUAUUAUUAUACGCUAGACAUAUGGCUUUAACAGUCACAUUACCAAUGCAUUUUUAAUCAUGGUAGGUAGGUGCUGGAAUGUAUACAAUAUUAUCAGCCUGGAAGAAAUGGCAGACGUGGGAGCUCCCUGGCUCGAUCCCAAGCACACGAAACGAUGCAUGAUCUCGACUCCAAUGAGACGUAUCCAUGUGGCAAACUGCUACAGCAUCCACUCUAUCUCCAUUAUCACCACCUAAUGAAACACCGAAUAACUUGUUCUCAGUCAUUUGGCUGUGGCAGUAGAAGAUUGCAUAAGGGUAAGGCAUGAUAUGACAUGCCACCAUCUUGGGAGCAAACAUUGGUUUAGGCACUUGUAAAAUAGUGUAAUUUUGGAAAAUGGUAGUUGAUUUUGUGAGAAAUUUUGUGCUUAGAACUUGGAAUUUGGUCUCCAAUCCGAAAGUUCCGUGUACAAAAUCAAGCAUGGAUUCCAAAGAGGUAGCACAAAUUUUGGUUUCUCCUUCGAUGGGAGGAACUUCGCAAUGAUUCAGGGUCCCUUCCAUGGCUUUGGCUAGGGGUGAGUCAUCUGAGAACGAGAAGAAUUGAAGAAGGUAAGGCAGUUGUUUCAAUGAAAAUGGAAUGGAAUCUGCUUCUUCUCUAGGCAAAGCCUGAGGAUAAGCUGAAGGAUCUCUCUUGCGAAAAUAAAUCGGCAUCGUUUCGCCAAUCUUUAGAUCCUUCAAGGUGAAGAACACCAUCGUUGAAGGGUCCAUGUGAUUCAUGUGGGAUGGUAUUGAAUGAGAAUCAUGAAGAUUCUCCGAAAGCACUGGAGCACACUGUAAAACAGUUCAGAAAUUCAAUAUCACAACUUAGAUGAAAAAUCAACAACACAAGUUCUAUAAAGUGUAAAAAUGAAGAAACAAAAUAUAUCUUUUUGAGUUGUUGCUUUAAGACGUACAACACUUAUGUACAUGUAUUGCACAGUAAGCCACUUAAUUAGCACACAUUGAGGAUUAUUACCAGAAAGAGUAGAGAAAGGAGGUUCCAAGCUGAAAAUCUUAACCCCAUCUCUUUUCUAUUAUCGAAGUUUCUUAUGUAUUUUAGUAAUGUUUUUUUUUUUCAGGGAGAGGAAACACAGAUAACAAGUAAAGCAGAAAGAGAAGAGAUUGUGUAACUAUAUAUGUCAACAACGAUAUGAUGUAUGUUAAUUUUCAAGUGGAAAUUUAUAGCCUGCAUAAGCUGAACUUGUUCUUCUGUGCUGAUUAAUUGAACCACAACACAGUUUGAAUAAUGACCUUAAUAGUCCAAUCCAGCAGAGAAUUCUGCACUCCAAUCAUAUGGGGACACACGUAUUGCACCUUCAUCAUGUCUGGGGAUUUUAAUAGUUUUGACUGAGUGAAUGAUUACUUCAAUAAAUAACAUUGCAUAUUAGAUUACUAGACCUAAAAUUGAUUUCUUAUUAAAAAAUUUACUUGCAAUUUGGAAACUCUCUUUGACACAUUAAUUACAGACUCGAAAUCUGUAUCAAUAUUCCCCAUACAUAGACAGAACUGAGAAGAAAAAGUGGGAAGGCAGAUCGUAAACAAAUUCAACAUGGCAAUUUCCAAGGAUGAAUAGCAUUUUUUUCAUUUGAAAAUGGGAUAAUAUAUCAUUGAGUCACGUAAUGUAUACUAAUGGUGCUUUUACUUCAUGGAAUGAGAAUAUGGUAGAAUCGGAAUGGGCUGAGAAUGAGCUGGAAUGGAAAUGAGGAAUGGGAAUGAGAUUUCAAUAUUUACUGGACAAAAAUAAAUAAAAAUGAAAAUAAGAAUCAAUUCACUAAAAUAUACAUAAUAUUAAAUAAUGUAAUUUUCAUUAACUAGAUACAUAUAUAAAUAUUAUUAUAAAAAUGAUAUUAAUUAAAAAAUAAAAUUAAUAAUAAUAAUAAUAAAUGUUCAAAAUGAUAAUAUUAAUAAAAAUAAUAAUAACAAUAAUUAAUAAUAAUUAAAAUAAUAAAGUUAAUAAUUUUUUUAAUAAUAAUAAUAAUGACAUUUAAAAUAAUAAAAUUAAUUUUGAUUUGAACGACGGUAAUUCAGAAAAUAUGAAAAAAUUAUAGAGAUACAAAAGUAAACAAAGAUUUCAUUCACAUUCCUUCAUUCUCAUUCCCAACUCCCCACGGGAAUGAGAUUUUCAUUCCUUAUUCUCAAAUUGUAUGGGACCCACAUAUUUUACUCACAUUCCCAAAUUAUAUUUGACCAAGUAAACAUAAAUUUCAUUCUCAUUCCCUAAACUCUCAAGUAAACAUACCAUAAAGCUCUUCUCAACCUAGUGUGCGUCGAAUAUGUGAACUUAGGGCUCCAGUCUCCCGUACAAUCUUUAAAAUUUUUUUCGGUCAAACUAACAGGCUGCACUCACUGUAUUUCCAUGGAUCACACUACUUCAACUAAAAGAUAAGAUAAUAUCUUUAGGAUUUUACUGAAUGAUUUUUAAGUAGUUUUUAUUAAUUAAUUAUUCAAAUUCAAAUUUAAAAAAAGACUAAAAAAUUAAUCUGAAUUUUUCUCACUCCCAAUCUUUAAAAAUAUAACAAAUAAUAAGUCAUAUAAAAAAUGUUUUAAACGCAAUUUUCACUUCUCACAUCUUUCAUUUGAAGUUUAAUUGUAUUCUCCCGUGGGACCUGGAUAAGUUGAAACAAAAUUUUAUUAAAAAGAAAUGUACAUUUAAUUGUCUUACACUGGAUCAAGAACAAAAUGUUAAAGGAUAAUAUACGCGGACAUGAUAAUGCAGUAACCGAAAAUCAAAAUAGCACAGGUUUCAAAUGCCAGACAAAGGAAAGAGACAUGUGAGCUGGUCGAUUUUCUUCUCAUCACUAGCCACAUGCACAUUGGUAGUGGUUGAACUUCUAUUAUUUAAUUAUGUUGUCAUUUUCCAUCACCACAACAACAGAUGAUUCAUGUAGGAUCGGUCAAUAAUUGUCGCCCAAUGUGUGUCUUCUUUAAUAAUUUAGUUAUUUUUGUUCAUAAGUCUGAUGAAGAAGUUCUAAUUUUGCAAGUGGAAUUCAAGUUGAUAAGACCUUGUCGACUUGUCUUCUGCUGAAGAAUCUUAAAUAAUCAUGCAAAAUUCAAAAAGUGGCAAAAGCAAAAGGCUAACUUCUUAAUGAAUUCAAUAUUACUAUGAAUUUGGUGCUAGCUUAAUCUUGAAAAUGAUCCAAAAAUUAAAAAGUAAACAUAUAUAAUCACAUCUACAUAUGUACAUUAGUAAGUCAUUGAUGAUAUAUCACGAAUAUCAUUAGUUGAUUAAUUAAACAUACCAUGAAUAUAUUAAAUCACUUUGAUCAUCACCUCACCUGUCACCAACUUUUUCAUAAACUUCAGCCGGAAAUUAAAAAAAAAAAUGAACCAAUAAUUGUAUGAAUUGGCUGGCUUCUUCUCCUCUUCACAAAAGAUUAAGUUCUCUUUGAAAAGGUUUGUUACUGAAGUACAUAUCCUAUUAGACCAAUAAUCUCUAUUACCAUAUGAAUUUAGAUCUUCUCCUAACUUAAUCUUUCAUAUACUAUUGUACCAAUAAUUUUUCUCCCCACAGAGAUUAGGAUCUUCUCCUAACUUAAUAUUUUGUAAGUGUUGUAUGUGAUUAUUUAACACGUCAUUUAAAUUUUUUCACAGCUAUGAUUUAGCAUACUUUAAACUUACCUUAUUAAACAUUAAAACCCAUAAUUUUCUAGGCUAAAACUCUGAAUUCAAGUGUGCCGCCUUCAAACCAAACUGUUGCUUCUUUCUGUACCUUUUUCUUUUUUUAAUUCACAAACUUUAAACUUUGGAAUAAACUUGAGCAAAGAAGAAUUACUGGCAAUUAAUUCUUUUAAGAAUUGUUUAUGUCAUGAAAUCAGACUGGAACAGAAAUAUCCGUAGUCUACAAUAAUAACAAUUGAGGACACCGGAAGACAAUAUCAAUUAAAGACAAUUGUCAUUGCAAUAUGGCAAUUCAACGCAUUAUUGUUAUCGCUCGUCUGCAACUAAUUUAACAUAAAUUAAGUUGAUAUACCUCAUUUCAGUUGAACGUUGAUGCAGCCACUGAUAUUUCCCGGAACACAGCAUUUUUAGGAGCCAUUAUUCGUACUGUGAGAGGGAAGAUUAAUUAUGGCAGUAGCUAUCUAAAGUUUUUUUAAAAAAAAAAUUGAGAUGUUGAAUUCGCUGAAGCAGAAGCAAUUAGAUUUCGGAUCGAAAUAUGCAAAUGAUACAGGUCUAUUUCCAUUAAUUAUUGAGUCAGAUAGCCGCAGAACUUGAAAGUACGAGAAAGAGAUCCUUUGAGUGGUCUCUGAUAUUUAAUUGUUGGAUAGACAACUGGCAGUUUCAAAUUUGUGUUCAUUCCUAUAAUAUGUAAUGUGAGAGUUCAUAGAUUAGCUAAACUUAGCAGUUAGCAAUCAGAAAACCGUAUUGUUUGGAUUGAGAAUAUUCCUAUAGAUGUAAAAUCUUAUCAUUUUUGAAGAACUUUUUACUUUGAAAAUAAAAUAAUAAAGGGCCAUCUGUAUCGUUGCGAAUUAUAAUUCUCAUAGACUUUGUGGUCCACAUUAUGAAUUUAAAAUUCUUGCAUGAUUAAUCACCCACAUGAGCAUGCUGCACCAACCUGCCACAUCAUGUUAACACUUCUUCCAAUCUGUGUCUAUACACACACACACACACCAGUAUGGCCUCCGUUCAAAUUACAAACGCAGUAUCUAGUAUUGUUUGUCACUGGCCAGAAACAUGAAUAUUAAAGCCUUCUUUGUUCUCUCUACAGUGCUCUCAUUGCUUCUCUUGGUAUGUAUCAUUUGAUCAGUAAUAAUGUUAGGUUAAUCACAAAUUCAUUAUAUAAAAUAUUUUGUACAAAAUUGAUAACACAUAAUGUACAGUAUCACGAUGUGAUGAACACCACACAACCCGAUCAUUAUUUUGUAUUUUCAUUCAACCAAUAUUAUUUUUUCACAUCAGUUUUAAGAGUAGCUUAAUUAUAGCUAGCUCUAGCAUUACUCAUUUUGAUUCAAAUGAUUUUCGAAUUUUAAUCGUUUGCAUGGUCAAUUUAUAGUUCCUCUCUUUUUUUUUUUAAUUAAUUGUUUUCCUUGUGUGCAGUUUGCCAACAUUGUAGAUGCAAGAAAAGACCUGAGAGACGAUCGGAGUAUUGUCGUAAAAAAUCAAGACAUGCCUGGGGAAUCAACUCAAGGUCUCAUUCCCGAAGAUCAAGGCUCGACCAUCUCUAAAACCAAAGCCUAUUGCCAUACACAUGAUGAUUCUGAGUACACCAUGGAGAAGCCUUUUGUCAAUAAGAACUUGGAGCUGAUGCCUGAUGUUUCAAUGUAUGACAACGGCAUUAAGCCGACAAAACAAAAGGCUUUUGUCAAGGACCUCGAGCUAAUGCCUGAUGUUUCAAUCUAUGACAACGGUAUUAAGCCAAAGGAUCAGCAGAGAUCAUUUCCCAAUAACUUCGAGCUGAUGCCUGAUCUUUCAAUUUACGACAACGGUAUUAAGCCAACCAAACAAAAGGCUUUUGCCAAGCACUUCGAGUUCUUGCCUCAUGUUUCAAUUUACGACAACGGCAUUAAGCCAACCAAACAAAAGUUCUUCGCCAAGAACUUCGAGCUCAUGCCUGAUGUUUCUAUUUAUGACAAUGGUGUAAAGCUAGCCAAACAAAGGUUCUCUGCCAAGGACUUCGAAUUCAUGCCUGAUGUUUCAAUUUAUAACAAUGGUGUAAAGCUAGCCAAACAGAAGGCAUUCACCAAAGACUUCGAGCUCAUGCCUGAUGUUUCAAUUUAUGACAAUGAUAUUAAACCAACGAAGAGGAGUUCAUAUGCCAAGGACUUUGAGCUGAAGGCUGAUAUUUCAAUUCAUGAACCGACCGAACAAAAAUCGGUUGUUAGCAGUACGGAUCCGCAGCCAGAUGCUACAAUUUAUCAUAAGAGGAUAAAAAAUAUAUUAGCCGUUUUGAUUUUUACGAUUUUACAAUUGAGACUUAUCUUAUUCUUAUUAUUAUUUAUGUGGGUUGGGUUGGGUUACAUGAGUUCAUAAUAAUUAACCAAAUCCAACCUAAUUGUUGAUUGGGUUUGAAAAAAUUGACCCAAUUAACCCAUAAUAAUCCACUCAACCCGUCAAAAUUUAAUUGGGUUAGAUUGAGUUGGGUUGGAUUGGAUUUGCCCACCCCUAAUUGAUAGUGUGUGGUAAAUAUGAUUUAUAAAUAAUAGUUUUGACAAAAUUGCAAAGAGGCCUUUAUUUCCCAAAUAUUAUUUAAAUUAUUAAACCAACCAAACAAAAAUUGUUUUUUCUAUUAUACAAAUACGAGAUCAAAUCAGGUUAGUUUCUGAGUUGCAAUAGGUAGUACUUACUAAACACUUUAAUGUCAAUACCAAAUAGGCCUCUUUUUUCCUCUCCCUCUCCAAUUUGUAAGACUACCCAACCAUAUUUUAUAUAAUAUUCAAUUAUUAUAUUAGCUAGUUUUAUUUUCUUAUGAUCACGUGAUAUGUUUUUUUUUUUUUUUAAAGAAUUUGAGUAGGUAAUGGUGUUAAAGCUCAUAAGUAGAUCUAAUUCUAAAUAUUUGGAAAAUGGAAAAAAGAAAAUGAUUAACAUUUACAGAAGAAGGUAUAUACUUGAACGCCAUGAUGGUAUAUAGUUAAAUUUAACUAUUUAACUAUUUUUAUUUAUUAAUUACUAAUUAUCCACAGUGAAUUUUAUUUGAAUAAGUUCAGACCAUAGUAGGACCUUAAUUCACAUACAUAUGAAAAAAAAAAUCUAUGACCGCACUAAUAAGAUAUUCCAUUUAAUCAUGUGAUAUUAGAAUGAAAAUUAUGAUAGACAAACUUAAAUUUUCCAUUUUUCCCCCUUUAUCAUCUCAAACCGGCCACUUCAAUUCGUUGAAAUCCUGAUGAUUCGGCCUUCAGAUGUAAAAUAACAAAUGAGUCACAUAUAUUAUUGGUAGAUGCAUGAGCGGAUCACAUCUAACUCAACCAACAAAUUGCAUGCCAUCUGGAAAAUGAUUUAAAUAAAUGAAUAAACACUCAUUUAGCCUUCUAUUUUAAUUUAAGUAUUCGUUUAUUUCUUAUAUUUUGAAAAUUUUCUAAAAUACAUUGUAGUUAAAUAUAUUAAAUUAUUAAUCUUGCUGUUUUUUUGCUUUUAUAAUAAUGCCCUUAUAAUAAUAUUCUUGACAUUAAUUAAUUUAUCUAUAAAAUUUUAAUUAGAAAAUUAACCAAUAAUUAUUUAGGAAUAAAUUAACCAAUAAAUAUUAGUAGAAAAGAAGUAGUAUUUUCUGUACCAGUGAGACAAUCAUGCUAAUAAUUUGUUUAUAAAUAAAAAUUAAUAUAAGCCAAGUUAAAGCAAUAUUUAUCAUCCUUACAAUAAUUUUAUUAAUAUUUAUUUUAUAAAAAAUUAAUCUUAAAAGUAAAAUAAUAGUAUAAAAAAAUUUUACUGUAAAAAUGUUUAUACUACUUUUAAAGCUAAUUUGAUAAAAAAAAAUGGAACUACUAGCACUCCUUCAAAAUCCUUUUAAGACCCCUUCUUAAAUACACCCAAUCAAAAAUAGGAAAAAUUAUAUCACUUCUAAAAACACCCAUCUUUAUUCCACGAUUACCCUUCAAUCUUAUCUCUCAUAAAAUGAUAAAAUUACCCAAAAAAAAAUCUUUUUGUUGAUACUAUUGAAAUAAUUAUUAGCAAUCUUCUCAAAUUUGAUUAACAAGUAUGGAAUGGUGUGUAACUUUAGGGCAUGUUCGGUAUUGUUUCUGAAUUUGUAUUUUUUUAGAAUAAAAAUGAGAAUGAAAAUAGUAUUUUGCAGAACUGUAUUUCGAAUUUAAAUAUAAGUUUGGUAUCAUUUUCUGCAUCCUGUAUUUUAAAACUGAAAAUAAUAAUAUAUGUUCGGUAGACACAAUUGAAAAUGAAAAAAAUAAUGAAUAUGUGUUCGAUAGUAUCAUUUUCAAAAACAGUUUUUACUAAACAUUUAAUUCAUACUUAUAGUUAAGAAAAUAAUUGUUUAACUAAUACAUAGACAAACAAACCAUAAAUAAUUUAAACAAAAUAAUUAUAAAAAAUACAUUAUCAUAAAAUUUUAGUAUUAGUAUUAAUAAAAAAUUGUAUUAAUUUUUAGUUAUACUAUGUUUGGUCUUUCACUGCAUAACACUGUAUUAAAUAUUUUUGGUGAUUAAUUUAAAUUAUAUAUUAGAAAAUAAUUUAUUAGUAUUUAAAAAAAAGAUAUGGAAGAAUUUAAGAAUUUUUACAUUAAUUUAUUUACUAAAAAUGUGAAAUAAAAUUAUCAUUAUUCUUCAUUGAAUACACGUAAAUUAAGCAAAUUUUAAAAUUUUUGUAGCAAUUUUCCCCUGUAAAAUAAAAAUCCAAGCAAAUAAUUUAUCCAAAUAACCUCCUAAAAAAUAUCACGACAUAAAUAAAUAGUUCAAACGUACAAACUUCAUUGAAAGUCAUCUUCGGAUAAUAGCAUAAAAGUGUACACAUUUCUAUUUGCUACAACAUAGUUACAAAAUAAUAAAGUGAUCUAAUAGUUGCAAUAUAAUCACAUAAAAUAUGGAUUGUGUUAAAUAAUCCAAGUAUAUACAUCCACAUGCCCAAAUACUAUUGCAAAAUAUCAUUGUUAAGUUAUAAAUGCAUGCUCCCCAAUCAAAAGGCUAGCUAAAUAACAGAGAGUAAAUUCUUAACACCAUUUACAUCCUUCAAUGCAGCAAAUUUUUCAAGUUGAUUUGUUGGAGAUGAAAGAACUAACAUGUCAAUUCCUUGAUCAAUGCCACCAGCUUUUACUUUCCAUGAAACCAAUGUCAUAGGCUUUGGACCAUCAGCUUUUACAAAUGUCACGUCUGGUUCCUUAUAGCAAGUUUCAUCUAACUUGGUUUCCCAAUCCAAAGGACUUUGGAUUUGUAAUUAACUAUUUAGAGACUGAACUAUUCAAAUCAACUAUUUCAAGCAAAUUGUUAGCUUGUUAAUUACAAAUGUCAGAAGCAUCAGCUUUUACAAAUCUUUGAUUUGAAUAGUUCAGUCUCUUCAAUUUGCUUCAAUACUUGUUUCUGAAAAACCAAACACGAAGCCUAAAUAUUAGAAAAUAGAGAUUUAAUUAUAUAAAUCUUGAUAAUUAACCAGCUUUAAUUACUUUCUCUAUUUUAUUUAAGAAAACACUGGCAUAUUCUUGUCUCCAAAAAUAACAACACACUUGACCAAGUCUUUUAAAUCAAAGGACACUGAUUUAAGUAGAACAGAGUACAAAAUUUCAGUACCCUUUACAUCCUUCAAUUUUACAGCAGGACAUUAUAAAUGCAAAGAAAACAUGAAGUUUAGACAAUCUGUGUGCAGUCAAAAGGCUAGUUAACAGUUAAAAAUAAACCAAGAAUGCCACCAAAAUUCAAUAACGCAUUUGCAUAGCUUUCUCUUCUGAUAGAAUAAUUGAAAAUUUCCAACAUAUAUGAUGAUGAUAUAGGUCCAACGAGAUGAAAGCUAUCAUGUAAAUUAGGUAAACCCAACCCAAAUGAGAUAUAAAAUAAUCCAAAACCCAAAUCACCAUGACUAAAAUAAUUCAAAAUCUAAUUAAAAUUUUUAAUAAUUUACCUUGAUACUCUGCUACAAUUGUGUGAUGAAGCUCCAGUGAAGGAUUCAUCAAUGGAGUCCGGAGGCUACAGCCUAGAUUUAUACGGCAAAGUUGAACAAGUUCAGGGUGCAGGCAGCAAAGAUGAAGUGCGGCGACGGCUUUAUGUGGGCAUUUACUCAAAUAAAAAAAACAGCAACUCACAAUAAUAGAGACAGCCAACAGAGCAGUAGCAGUCGAGACGGAGCAGCAGUGGAGACAGCAGCGACGGUGGCGGAGAUGGAGCAACAGCAGUGGCCCAAUGAAGCGGCGGCGGCAGCGGCGGAGACAGAGUACAGCAGCCGAUUUGGGCACAUUGAGAGAGAGUAAGCGCUGUGAGUAGAUCGCGAGACAGAGUCGAAGAGAUAAAGCACACCAAGAGAGUAAACGUUGUGAGUAGAUCAGGAGAGAGAGUUGAAGAGAUCAGCCCGAAGAGAUAAGGAUGAAGAGAGUGAAGAGAGAGUCACUAGAGUUUGUUUUUUGAUCUAUUUUUUAGUUUAGUUUUGGAAUAUGUCGAGAACAUGUUAAACACGUUAUCACUUUGAUAGAUAUAAAAGUGAAUCCCAAAUUAUUUGUUUUAUAAUUUGUUUUUUGAAAUCAAGCCACCGAACACGUACUAACUUAAAUUUAAAAAAGGAUAUAAAAACAGGGCCACUAAAAUGAUACUGAACGGGCCCUUAGAUUUCUAACUUUUAACUUAUUUUUCUGUUUUGCAAUAAAUAUACCUUCUAUUUGAAUAUAUGAUGCCUAUUAAUUUUAUUUUUUUUCAAAUAUCAAAACUCACUUGUUCAAACAAACAAUGAGACCAAGAAAAGUGAUAUAGAGGAAGUUUAAAGUUCGAAAUAUUCUAUUGAUUCUAGAAAAUAUUGGAAUAUAAGAAUAAUUAAAUUCAUGUUGAUUUAAAAAAAUACUACAAAUUUAGCAGUUAAGACUCGUUGAUUCCGUAGAAUAUCGAGAAUUAACUAUUCAAAUACUCACAAAAAGACUUGAAAAUUGAAAAUAUUAUUGAAAUCGAAUCUCUGUUUAUAAAAACUACAAAAGACACUUAUUUAUACUAAUAAUGACUUAUCCUAAUUUGAUUAGAAAACUUAUUUUAAUAAGAUUUAUACCUAAAUUAGGAAUAUUAUUCAAAUAAGUAAUGCCUAAACAAUAAGACUCUAAAUAGGAAAUCAAUUUAAACUAGAAUACAAAUUAAUAAAAAUAUUCCUAAAUAUUAUAAAUUUAAAUCUAAUUAGGAUUUCUUCAAUUUCAUGCUCUGCAUCAUUCCUGCCGGGGUGGAAAAAAAUUCGUCUUCGAAAUUUGUAUUUUGUAGUCUUUAAGAACAUCUUUAUAUGUAUAAGGAUUAAUUUUCAAAAUAUGGCUUUGACAUACUCAACGAACUUUAAGUUUUCCAACUUUUGUAAUAAUGUCCAUCCAAUCACUCCAACAGCGUAAAAUAAAUUCUUCUAUCAACAAUUUCUCUAAUAAUGCCUCGUAUUGUUCACAUCAAACUUCAAUAUAGUUAAGGAAAAACAAUUUCUUCUCAUAAUCCACUAACUGUUGAAAAAUAUCAUAACUGUUUUUGUCUUCUUUUGGCAAAUCAAGAGAACAAUAAGAGAUUGUAUCAACAACUACAUCUCUUUACUCCACAAGACCAAAAGAUGUAUGAAAAAUUACCUCUUCUCGUCCCACAAUGUCAAGACACUCAUUAAAUUUCAGUAGUUAUCCAAAUCAAUGUCUGUGUGUAGAGAAUUUACUGCAUAUAUGAAUUUUCAAUUAAUAUUCUCCUCGGAAGGAAUGAUAUUGUUGAGUGAAACAAAGUUAUUGUUUUCCUCAUUCUCCUCAUAACAUAUAUCAUCAUAAACAAUUUCGUCAAAUCCAUAUGUCUGCUUUAUAUGUAAAGAUUUUGUAUUUCGAAGUUUCUCUAAAUCUUUAUAAUUCGUUCUAGGAUUAUCUAUCAAAAUCUUGAAAAAAAAUUCUAUGAAGAAUAUAAUUCUUGUUAUAUUUUUGUAAUGAAAUUUACAGAGUUAUUUACACAAAAUAAAGACAAACUAGCCGUUGAAAGGCUUAAAAACAUUAAAGGAGAUUAAGUGAAUACUUCCUAAACUAUUGCACAAUAUCUUUAUAAAAUAGGAAUGAAAUAUUCCUAGGUGAUAUUGGCAUUCAAGUGCAAAAUCAUGCUGGAGAUAUUCCUUGACAAAUAGCUUUGACUUGAGCAAGUUUUGUGGAGUGAUAAACCCGUUAUUGACUUGACCGUUGAUGACUUUCCUUUCGGUAAUCUUGGUAAGCUUGCUUAACAUGCCCUUUCAAGUUGGCAAGUGACAUUUAAUGAAUGCCAAGCUUGUAUAUGAAAUCGCCUUAAUGAAAACAUCUGCAGUUUGUAAUGAAGAAGGGACAAACUUCGUAACCAAGGCACCAUCAACAACCGUUUCUCUAAUGAAGUGAUAAUCUAAUUCAAUAUGCUUCGAUCGAGCAUGGAAAACUAGGUUAAUAGUCAUAUGUAGGGCACUUAAAUUAUCACUUAAAAGUUAUGGAGGUUAAGCAUAAGGAAUGCCAAUUUCUCAAUACAUAUAUGUGAUCCAUGUGAGUUCUGCUACUGUGGAUGCAAGGGCUCCAUACUCAGCCUCAGUAGUGGAUCUAGAGACAGUUGGUUAUCGUUUUGAAGACCACGAGAUGUAAUUUGCACCCAUGUAGACACAAUAUCUCGUGGUGCUUCUCUAAGUGUCUGGACAACCUCCCCAAUUAGCAUCAUAAAAGGCAAUAAUAUUAAGAGAGCUUUGUUGAAGAAAUCUGAUCCCAUAAUCCAAGCUCAUUUUUAAGUACUUGAGAAUACAUUUAAUAGCAUGUAAAUUAGCCUUAGUGGAUGUUUGAAAAUGUUGGCAUACCUUAUUGACUGCGUGAACGAUGUCCAGCCUUAUUAAAGUGAGAUAUUGGAGCCCUCCAACUAAUCUUCUAUAUUCGAUUGCAUUGACAGGCUUGUGAGCAAUGGGGUUGGCUUGUUUUUUUAUGGCCAUAAAAGUUGACAAACUAGUGCUUUCUAGCAUCUUUUCUUUGGUCAGCAAGUCUUUGGUGUAUUUGGUUUGAGAAACAUAAAUACCUUCAGAGAAAUAUUGAAUCUCAAGUCAUAAGAAGAAAUGGAGUUGUCCCAAAUCCUUUAAACCAAACUCAGUGCUUAGUCAAUGAACAAGUUAGUCAAUUAGAAAAUUAUUGUUACCUGUCACCACUAUAUCAUGAACAUAAAUUAGCAUUAGGAUUAAUGAGUAAUCGUUAUGAAAUAUAAAUAAGGAAAAGUCAACUUUAGUGCAUAUGAAACCCAAUUGAAGUAAGUAAUGAGAAAGCCUAUCAAACCAAGCACAGGGUGCUUGUUUAAGACCAUACAAUGACUUGUUAAGCUUACACACAUAAUCAAGAUAUAAAGGAUUAGAGAAACCAUGAGGUUGUUCCAUAAAAAUAGUUUCUUUUAAAAAACCAAGUAAAAGCAUUUUUAACAUCAGGUUGUCGUAUUGUCCAAUUUGAUGUUUUAAUAAAAGAAAAAAAUUACUCGAAUUAUAGUAGUUUUAAUCACCGAACCAAAGGUUUCUUCGAUAUCCAAACCUGGAAUUUGUGUGUAUCCUUGUGCUACAAGAUGCCCUUGUAUUUGUCUAUGGACCCAUCUUCCUUAAACUUAGUUCGAUACACCCAUUUUGAUCCCACUAUGUUUGUAUUACUGACCUUGGUACCAAACUCCAUGUAUUAUUCUGUUGGAGAGUAUCAAGCUCUUCUAACAUAGUCGUGUGCCAAUGAGGUUGUCGAAUGGUGGUUUUGAAGUGUUUUGGCUCUAUUGUUGUAGUAAGAGCCAUCUUAUCAACUAACUCUGGGUGAUGAUUCAACUUGUGUCUAGUUAUCAUUUGAUGAGUGUUGCUCGUUUCCGACUCUUUUGGAAUGCAAAGGUCUACAAAUAUAUCAAUGCAUUUAGUUGACGAUGGAGCAUUAUUUUCUAACUCUAAAUGAGUGCUUUCAGUUCCUAUAUUGUUCUCUAAUUCUUGCUCAAUUAUUGUGUUUAAAGUGAUAUCAACUUCUCCAGGUUGUGCUGAGCUAGAGCUUAAACUGGUUUCGCUAUUUGUAGAGUUUGAAUCGGUGUGGAUGACUAUAUCAUGAAUUUGAUGUGGAACUUGUUGGCUUGUGUCCGAAUCUUACAUGUUUAAGUUCAUUGUGUUUUGAAGACCUAUAAAGUUUGGAUUCGCAUGGGCAACUUGUUGCUGAUUUACAUGAAAUUCAUGUUGGUCUUGUUGAAUUGGGGAUCUAUUUUCAAUUGAAUCAAGUACAUCAUGGCAACAAUGUGUAGGAUUCUAUAUGUUUGUUGCUUUCUCUUUUUUAGUCCAGAUCUCAACAUCAGGAAAUGUGAUGAUUUCUUAGCUAAUCUGUAUAGGUAAACUUGGCAGACUAUUACUUUUAAAGGAAAACAAAUUCUUAUAGAAAAUUACAUGAUGUGAUAUAUACACCUUGUUUGUUAGUGGAUACAAACAUCCAUACCCCGUAUGUGAAGGGUUGUAUCCAAUAAACACACGAGCAUUUUUUGUGAGAAUUUGUUCUUUUUAUAAAUAGAUAGACAUGGAAAGCAUCGGCACCCAAAGCUUUUAAGCCCUCUGUAAUCAAAAUUUGUACCGAAAAGUUUGUAAAAAGGAGUUUUCAUAUUUAAAGUGGAUGAAGGCAGCUUAUUAAUAGCAUAAACAGCAGUAGAAAAAGCAUCAACCUAAUAUUGUAAUGGUAUAUUUGCAUGAAAGAGUAUUGUCAAAACUGUUUCUACAAUAUGCAGGUGUUUUCUUUCGGCAACAACAUUUUGUUCAAGAGUUGCAGGACAUGACAAUUGAUGUUGUAUUCCACAUUGGUUGAGAUGACUUUGAAAUUCAUUUGAUAUGAAUUCACCUCCUUCAUCACUUUGAAAUAUUUUUAUCCUCGUAUCGAAUCGAUUUUCAACCUGUUUUUGAAACUUGAUAAAAACAUCAAAUAAAUCUAAUUUAUUUUUCAAAGAGUAUAGCCAUGUAUAGCAUGUGCAGUCAUCAACAAAGAUAACAUAAUAGCUAAAAUUUUGAAAGAAAGAAAUAUGAGCAAGACCCUACAACUCACAGUGAAUUUUAUGUAAAGGAACGCUGGAAAUUUUAUUGGAAAAAUUACAAGGAAGUUUGCAGUUCUUUCCCAUUUGACAACUGGAACAUACAUAAUCUUUUGUUAUCCAAUUUGAAACAUCAAUAAGAUUGUUUUUAUUAAAAAAUUUAAUGGACUUGAUUUGGGAGUGUCCCAUUCUUUGGUGCCAUAUGUUGUAAGGUGCUUUGCUACCUUUAGAUAAGUAUAGGGCUGCAUGAUAUCCUUCAUCUAAGGCAUAAAACCAUUUUGUCUUAGUUCCCUUUGCCAAGAUGUUUCCUUGAUAAUCCUUAAAAAUAAAUUUGCUAGAUGAAAACUCAAUAAUACGUGAAUUAUCAUGUGUAAGCUACCCUAUCGAAAGCAAAUUCUUUUUCAAGCCUAGAAUGACAAGCACAUUUUUUAAAUAUAAUUUACUAAUGCCAGUAUCUAUGGAGGUAUUUCCUAUAUGUGAAAUAUUAAGACAAUCACCAUGUCCAACAACAAUGGCAUCAUUCCUUUCAUAAGGUUUAAGUUCAGAAAUUUUACUUGGAAUAUUAACCAUAUGGGCAGUUGCUCCUGAGUCAGCAUAUAAUUUGGCAUCAUUUGCAUCCAGGUUCAUUGUAGCUAAGGCUUGUGGAAUUUCCUCAGUAAGAUGUGAGUAGUCAUACCUACGUUGACAUUCAAUGGUUGUAUGUUUCAGUAAAUGACAAAUUUGGCAUAUGACAGUUUCUUCUUUGGCUUCUUUAGCUUGUUUGGAUUGAUUCUGAAUUUUGUGCCAAUGUUGUCCAGGAUUAUUUUGCUAAGAGUUGCUGCCACUAUUGUCCCAAAUUUCCUUGCCAUGACUGUUGCCUUUGUUGACUUGGAUUAUUGUUUAACUUUUGCCAUGGCUAACUUGCAUUAUUAUUCCAACUUUUUCCACCAUUAUAGUUGGAUUUUUGGCCACUCGAAUCAGCCAAAUUUUGUCCUCCUGCUGGUGUAAAACCACAACCUUUUUCUUGCCUCAUUGGCUAAAAAAGGCUUGAGCUAGAUUGAUUGUAUUUUUCUUUUCUUCUUCAAAAUUAAUAAGAGUUUGUUCAUGAUUUUCAAGGACCAUGACAAACUGCUUAAAUGAAGGAUAAGGUAGUUUUGAAAAUUGAGCAAGUUUAAAGUCUUGAUACCUAUAGCUGAGACCUCUUGCAAGACCAAAGACUUUAUCUAAGUCAUUCACUAGUUUAUUUAUCGUAGCCAAACAAUCACAAAUAUGCUUGUAUUUGUGCACAUACUCUUCAACUGAUUGAGAACCCUUUUUUAGGAUUGCCAAUUUGUCCAUGAGAUGUACCUAUUUUUCUAUAGUCACUGGAAGUAAUUGAUCCUCCAAAGAUGACCAAAUUUGUUGAGCAUUUUCCACUCCAACGAUUCCACUCAUUACCUCUUAUGUCGUCAGGCUUAACAACCAAGAUGUUAACAGCCCAUCAUUGUUGAUCCACAUUGUGACAUCUUCGUUGCCAGCCUUUUCCUCAUCGGACAACAAUAUUUCUUUUGCGGGUCUCUCAACAUCUAUAAUAUGGUGCAGAAUGCCAAGGCUUCUGACCAAAAGGAGAACUUGUGAGCGCCACAACAAGAAGUUCAUGUUGUCUAGUUUAAUUGACACAAGACUUGAGCAUUGAUGGAAAGACUGAAUAUUUAGACUUGGCUCUUUGAUAAAUGAUGAAGAGGUUUUAUUGCUAGUACUCAUGGUUGGCUCUGAUACCAUGAAAAAAAAAAUCUAUAAAGAAUAUAAUUCUUAUAUUUUUCUAAUGAAAUUUAUGGAAUUAUUUACACAAAAUAAAGACAAAGUAGCUGUUGAAAGGCUUAAAAACAUUAAAGGAGAAUAAGUGAAUACUUUCUAAGGUAUUGCACAACAUCUUUAUAAAAUAGGACUGAAAUAUUUCUACAUGAUAUUGGCAUUCAAGUGCAAGUGGAGAUAUUCCUUGAAAAAUUGCUUUGACUUAAGCAAGUUGUGUGGAGUGAUAAACCCAUGGUUGACUUGAUCGUUGAUGACUUUCCUUUUGGUAAUCUUGGUCAACUUGCUUAACAAAUCUCUCUUGUAGAGUUGUUUAGAUUACAGUGUCAUCUAAUCUCGCUUCAUGUGUUAUUAAAAAUCUCAUUGAGUCAUUUGGAUUAGAACACGAUCCAAUCAUUCUUUGAUUAAAGUGUAAGCUAAUCGCAGUGGCUUGGUUCGGUACUAGAACGAUAUCUAGUGUUUCCUACCCUAACAAUUUCGCUUCUACUACUCACUCCAUCAAUCUGGUAACAAAUUCCGUUCAAGUGAUGCCAACAUUAGCCGCACUGUCGCGUCGUACGGUGACGGAAAUUUUACAUUCAUUUCUGGCUCUAGUUGCAAUUUUAUGUAAUUUUUGUGCGGAUGUGUGUUACAUUUAAAGAAUGGUUCAGUCCCUUCAAUUGAAUGUGUUUGGAAAGUCCCAUGAUGCUUCAAUGACCCUUGGAUCAUGGGCGAGUUAAUCCUCACCCUUGAUCAGUUCUUAUGGUUUUUAUAAGAUUAAUAACAACACUUUGGUCAUGACUUAUCAAGUAACGAUAUAGGCUUUUCAAAGAUAAUGAUAUCACAUAGUAAUCAUAUUCCAUUAAUCCUCAAACCACUAUUUGGUCAAUUGGCUGAGGUGAAUAAUUAUUGAUUCUUAAUGAAUCAAAUGUUUAAUUAAAAGUUUCUUAGAUAGUUCAUAAUGACAUCCCAUAGUAAUCAUAGUCCAUUACUCCACAAGCCAUAUCCUUUUCCUUUUCUUUUUCCUGAUUAAGAUAAAUGGCGAAUCGUGUGUGAGAUUUGAUUUUCCGCUAGUUCAGUAGUUCAUAAGAUAAGAUAGUGGAAGUCCACUAGUACAUAAAUUUGGCUAAUAUCAUAUAGAACUAACUCAAGAUGUAAUUGAGAAUUCUUAAUUUUCUAUUCUUAGUCCAUGAACUAUUCUCAACUGAGCUAUGGAAUAUUAUCAAUAAAUAAAAAGAUAUUUAUGUAUGCUAACAGAAACAACUGUGAGAUCAAGAAAUGAAAGCAAAGAAGCAUGGAUAUACUUUUUUUAUCUUAAUUAAUGAAAUGCAAGAAGUGACGAUUUCAAUGAAAAUCACAGUUAAUUUACAAACAUCAAACUUAUUUAUGAGGAUGAAAAACUAUUUUUAGUGACGAAACAAAUUUCUAAAACUAUUCAUCGCCAACACUUUUUUUACCGAUUGAUUUUUUGGCGACUAAUCUAAUUUUUUGUCGCAAUAUGUCCUCUUUACAGAUAAAUCUUUUGUCGUUAAAAGUGAUAAUUAAAUAUUAUUUUUUCUUGACAAAAGUUUUUUUCGUCACUAAAAGUUUCAUUGCUAAACACCAUAUUCUUGUAGUGUGAAGAUAUAGGAAAAAACUAAAAGCAAAAUUGAUUUAAUUAAUUUCUUGGUACCCAACAAAUUGAGAAUCUCAAAGAUAGAGAUAUCAGAUUUAUAUGAGUAUUGAAUCUACAGAUCGACAAAUGAGACCAAACUAAACAGAAAGCCAUAAGUUUUAAAAGUGAAACAAGUUAGUUUAUCUAGCAUUAGCAGCUCCAUUAUUGCAAUACCAACUCCAAGUUCCAGCUAUGACUCGAUAGCCACGUUUGUGUUAUUAGAAGCAUAUGUGUCAACUGUUGAAUGGUACCAACGUUCUUUACCACUUAGUUCCCUAAUUUAUUUAUUAAUUAACUCAUAAUAUAAAUUUUUACCACUUACUCAAUAGAAACCGAGAAAGCCACUUCGAUUCUUAAUAUUUAUCAUUUUUACCAACUAGGUUCAGAAUUUAUUUUUAAUUAUUUAUUACAUCUCUAAUAUACAACAAUAUAAUUUUAUUGUUCAAUUUUUUUGUUGAAAGUUAAAUGUGACUUUUUAAAACGAGAUAACCAGAUCUUUUCCCUUUUGACAAACAUUACAUUGGAUUGACAACAAAAGUAUUAAAAAAAAUAAAAAUGGAUUUGUUUGUUUUGUUACUAUUUUAACGUCAAAGGAUGUGAAAAAAGGUUAACUAUUUGGGACCUAAGUGUUCAAAAUAAAUAAAUAGUAGGGACCAAAAUUUAACACAAUCCUUGUCUGUUCUCUGACUUGGAACCACAAACCUAGCUCACUAAUUGUUGAUUUUCUAGGCAACUAGGGCUUCGUUUGUUUUGCCAAAAAAUGGAAAAGGAUGAGCUAAAGCUGAAAAAGAAAGUUAACAGCUGCUAUUUUUCAAGUAUUUUCUAAUGUGGAAUUUGAUUUGUGUGACUCUGUUGUAUUAAGUACAGUGUAACAGCUACAACAAUCUUUCAUCAAUUAGAUAAUAGCACGAAAGCAAAGUUGAAAGUGUACCAAAGCUUUUUAUGUAUUUCAAAACCAAUAAUUAUUUGUUGGAUGCAUUUUUGUAUUUGUCAGAUAGUACAUGAAUGAUCAGUUUUUAGUGAAUUUGAAAAUGCAUUUGGUUAUUUAUUUUUAAAACAAUGUUUGAAAAUGAAAAGAUGGUAAUGUGCAUGUAUUGGUUAUUUGUCUGCAAAAAUAAGGAAAACGAAAGAGAUGAAGAAAAAAAUAUAAUAAUAAAAGAGUUUAAUUUGUGUCUAUUAAAUUUUAAAAUAUUUUGAUACAUUCAAAAAAAUUACAAGUUAAAUAAAAUCCAGUGAUAUUGUUUAUCUUAAUUUAUGAAUAAUUUGCUAGUUUUGAAAUGUAUGCAAUUUUUUAAAAAUAAACAUAUUUUUUAUAAAACCAGAUAAUAAUAACUAAAUAUUAGUUUGACUGGCUUAAAAAGGUUUAUAAAUUUUUCAAAAACAGUUGAAUUAAAUAGAAAGAGGUGUCCCUAAGGACAUGGCCAAGUGGUUUUUAAAUAGGUUUAUUUAGUUAACCACUUGGGUAUGCUGAAUCUUGGAGGAGAUAAGGGAUUGAAAAAAAAAAAAAAUUGUCUUUGCCAACACCUUUUGAAAUAUAGAAAAGACGUUAAAUCGUACUAAUUAUGUUUGGUACUUUAUAUUAUUGCAAAAUGAAGAAUGAUGAGUGUAAAACAAUAGCAAACGCCCCUUUAGCUUCUAUCACGUUAAAUUAUAAUUUCAAAGGAAUGAAUCAAUGAGAUUCCACAUUUACUUCCUUUUAUUCAUGUUAAACAACUGUUAACACCUCUUUUGGUUUGUUAAGGCUGAUAACAACGAGAACCGAGAGUACUGACUUUAAUUUCAUCUUUCUUAGAAUUUGUUUUUACAAUCACUCACGUCCCUAACAAAUGUUUAAUACUUUAUAGUGUUAGAAUAGACAAAAAAAUCACAGUUGAAGCGUAAACACUUUUAUUCCUAGAGGUAUGACUUCUGCUAGUAAUUAAACGGAAACAUAAUAAUUGACAUGAAUUUAUUAUUACCACUUAUGUCCCUAAUACAUAUUUAGUACUUUAUAUAUUCUUUAUCAUUUUAUCUUUCGUUAUUAAUUUCAUUUUAUUUUAGAUGAAUAUUCGUGAUAAAUAAUGCAUUGUUACUCGUCACACAUAUAAAGAACGGUUAUCCAGUCCUUAUCUUAUUUUUCGUAUGUCCAUAUAUAUAGGGCAAGCAAUGGAAGGCUUUCGCACCAACUAAAUAUCAUAGCUAGAGGUGAUUUAUUUUGAGGAUUAUUGAAAGCAUGAAGCCUCUCUUUUUUCCCUGCACGCUCUCUUUACUUAUCUCGGUAUGCUUUCUGAGUUAGAAUGUUAUUACAACUAACUCUACAUUUCUGAAAAGUUUUGAAUCAUUAAUUUGCGUGCUCUAAUUGCUGUGUUUCUGUUAAUUAUUCUCUUGUUGCCCUGUUAUUUCAGAGUGCUAGCACAAUUGAUGCAAGGAAGGACCUGAAGGAAUAUACGAGAAUUGUCAUGAAAGGGCAGUCCAUGCCUGAAUCAAUCCAACGCCUACUUCCCGUGGAUCCUGCCACUUCUAGCACCAAUGACAUAGCUGAUCAAAAGCCAAAUCCAUCAACUUUAUCCAGUAAUGUUCAACUGUCCAAGAUGAAAUCUUUUUCCAAGAAUUUUACCCCAAGGCCAAAUGUUUUUACCUACCCGUCCUACCAAAGGCAGAUUUUUCUUCACCAUACAUCUUACAACAGCCAUAACAAUAACCCGUCUAUGGUGAAAUCCUUUUCCAAGAAUUUGAACCCACGAAAGAUUAUAUUUUUUUUUACGAUGUUAAUCAACCAUCUAAAGUGAAAUCUUUUGCCAAUAUUUUUGACUCAAGGUUGAAUACAUCUUUGUACGGCGGCAGUAAUCAACCAUCUGAAGUAAAAUUAUUUGCCUAAGAAUUUUGAUCCAGGGGUUAGAAGCGGAAGUUUAUGACAUCGAUAAUUAACCAUUUUCCAAGUGAAAUCCUUUGGUAUAAUGACAAGUUGAAACCUAAUAAUAAGAUAAAUUGAGGCUGAUGGUCAAAGGAAACUCAUGUUUUCAUUAACGGAGGGCAUUAAGCCCAUAUCAUUGUCCCAUAAUUACAAGACUCAUCUUUUGAUCUGCUUCUUUGAUCUUUCCUAAUAAUAAGCUAUAAAUUGUGUUUAAAAAAAAAAAUUAAAUGAGUGGCGGGGGCUUAGCGUUCUACCUUUGGAGAAAUUCUAGAAUAUACAGAGGUACCAUAUCAACCAUAUAGUAAGCAAGUGAUGCUAUGACAUGUGUGUAUUUGUUUUGAAAAAUUAUUAUGCAAGUGGUGGUUAUAUUAAAUUCAACUACACAUGUCAUUCAAACAUCAAUUAGAUGUAAUACAUUAGAGGUAUUCUAAAAUUUCUUCUACCUUUCAUGUGUAAAAGAUGAUUGACUUAAAUAAAUGGCUACGUGUAACAUUUUCUUUUAUCUUUUCUCAACCUAUUAAUUUUUGUCUAAAUAUUAUAUUUCUAAAGAAUUCAAUUUGUUAAAGUUUUUAGUGUAUAGACGAUGAUGGGCCUGUGUUAAUGAGUUUGAAGUUCAUUUCUUGAAAAUAAAUUUAUAAAAGAAAAGGGUUUGAAACCGGAUGAGAGGAGGAAUUCUAGCUCUGAAGUAGUUAUAUUAAAUUUAAUUAUAUAUAUCAAACAUACAUUAAUUAAUUAUAAUAUUUCUAAUGUAUCUUAGAAUUUCUCAUUAUAGAGAAGAUCCAAAAUCGGUUGCCUAACUCACCCGAGAGGAGCCGGCUGCACAAAAAAUUUUACUAUUAUUUAAAGAUAAUUCUAACAAUGCUAAAAGCAUUUCCGUCCCCAUAAAAUUAUUCUAUAUAUCCACUUAUUUCAAUUUCUACUUGUUUUGAUCUGGGAGUUGUUUGUUUAAAGAAAAUUACUCCAACGCAAGAGGUGAGUCCGAGUCCACUAGUCAGUAAGUGCCUACAUAUAAUUAGCCUUUCUUGAAACUUACUUUUGUGAUUAGUUUCACAUAUUUUCCUCUGACAAGAUUAUAAUUCAAUUCUCUUUGAUUGCAUAUUUGUUACUCUACUCAGAAUUUAUUGAGCUUCUUUCAAAGGAUUGCAAAGAAGGGGCUGCUUUGCUUCUUUGUAUGAUACAAACUUUAUGUGUCAAAAACAAGGACACGGUUGUUAAUUCUCACAAUCAUGCGAAUGAAAGUGCGUAAAAGACUAUUUUUUCUCCAAGUGAAUCUUUGGAUGAUCAGAAUUUUUCCCAGGUGAAUCUGUAUAUGAAUAUAAUGCUGGAUUAUUGUCACUUGAUCAGUACAUAUUGUCCAUAGAAAUUAGCUUAGAGACUAAUGUUUAAAAGACACAUUAUUUAAGUCUUCCGUAGUUAAGUUCUUAUUUUUAUUUAAUUUCUUUAUCAAAUUAUUUGCUAAAGGAGUUACCAUACCAAGGACAUUUUAAUCCAUAUUUUAGUCCAUUAGUUUACAUAGUUUUUGAUUAUUUACAUCCCAUGGGGGACAAUAAUUAUAAUAAUGUAACUCUUAGGCCCUUCAAUCUUUCAGAAGCAGAGGAUUUCUUGUCGUGGGCAAGAGAUUAUAGAGUGAUUCAGGCUUUCAUUAAUGUAAAUUUAAGAUCAGAAGAUGGCAUCAAAUUCUUCAAAAGCAAAUUUGUAAGGCACACAGGGUUCAAAGCAAUAUGCCUCAACAAGCAGCCAAUAGGUGUUGUGCGCAGAACGUGGAAUCAAGCAUACCAAAUAAUUACAAAAAAAUAAAGGACACAAGAAUUACAUGGUUUGGCAAUAUGCCUACGUCCACGGGAGCAAGAGAAAAAUAAUUGUAUUAUUAACAAUUAUUUGAGUACAAAUUUGAGUAAAGAAAUCUCACUUUCCUAGAACCCAAAUACACCCAGUACUCUCACACACACUCUCCAAUUGCUCACACUCUCAGAACUCUCAAAAGUUUAAAAACUAAUAAGCUUAACAAAUUUUUUGGGAUGAUUUAGAAUUAAGAAAUGGCUUCAAUUUAUAGGAUUCAAGCUUGUACUAUUCCACCUAACCCAAACACUAUUCCAUCUAGCCCAUACAAAUAUGUCAAGGAGUUUGGUAUUUCUUUGGCCAAUCUUGAAAAAUUCUCCAAAUUUGAAUCCAACAUUUUGGCUAACCUUGACAUUUGUUAGCAAAAUGCAAGUGGUUUUCUUAUUUUUCAACAAUUCUCCACCUCGGCAAAGAUUUGUCCAAAUCUGAGCCGACUACCAACGGCUCAUCAUCCCCAAAGUGGCUGCAUCUUUGUGACUGCCUACGUACCCAAAAUUUGAGAUCAAGCCAAUCGUAGUUCAAAAUUCCCGAAGGACAUAUCUUAACACAAUCGAAGGAUUUGAAUUAGUUUCAAGCAAUGUUGAAACUUAACUCCAGAAACUACAUUCGUCAACAUAUCUGAUGGAUUAUCUUUGGUAUCAAUCUUUCUCAACAACACAACACCGCUCUCGAUAAUCUCUCUCACAUAAUGAUAUUUCACAUCUAUGUGCUUCGUCCGAGCAUGAUAUGUUUGAUUCUUCGCAAGAAAUAUUGCACUUUGAUUAUCACAGAAGACCGCAAUGUUCUCCUGAAUUACUCCUAAAUCACCUAACAAGCCCUUCAACCAGAUAGUUUCUUUUACAACUUCAGUUGUUGCCAUAUACUCUGCUUCCGUAAUGGACAGAGUAAUUGUCGAUUGCAAAAUCAACCUCCAGCUAACCGGACCUCCACCCAAUGUGAAUACGUAACCCGUUGUUGAUCUUCGCUUGUCAAGGUCUCCAGCGAAAUCAGAAUCACAAUACCCAACACAUUGUUGACCACAAUCCUUCUUGAAUAAUAACCCAACAUCAACUGUCCCAUACAGAUAUCGGAGAAUCCACUUUACUACAAGCCAUUGAUUUUUACCCGGAUUGUGCAUGUAUCUACUAACCAUGCUCACUGUUUGAGAUAUAUCGGGCCUUGUGCAAACCAUAGCAUAGAUAAGACUACCCACAGCACUAGCAUAUGGAACACGAGUCAUGUAAUCGCGCUCCUCUUGAGAUCUGGGACAUGAAGAAGAGCUUAAUUUGAAAUGAAGAGCUAAAGAUGUACAUACCGGUUUAGUUUUGUCAUCUAUGCCGAAUCUUUCUAGCACUUUCUUCAAAUAAGACUCUUGAGUCAACCAUACGCUCCCAUUCUUCUUGUCUCUACGAAUCUCCAUCCCAAGUAUUCUCUGUGCAUCACCCAAAUCUUUCAUCUCGAACUCAGAAGCCAGCUACUUCUUUAAUCUUUCGAUCUCAUCUCUAAUCUUCGAAGUUAUAAGCAUAUCGUCGACAUAAAGUAACAAAUAGAUUAAAGCUCCAUCUAGUAGUCUUCUAAAGUAUACACAAUGAUCGUGUUCACUUCUGGUGAAUUUCUGCCCUUGUAUAAAUUGAUCAAAUCUUUUGUACCACUGCCUUGGCGAUUGCUUCAGUCCGUACAAAGAUUUAAUCAACCUACACAUAUGAUUCUCCUUUCCAGUAACUAUGAAACUAUAAGGCUGAAUCAUAUAGAUUUCUUCCUCCAAAUUUCCAUGUAAGAACGCCGUCUUAACAUCCAAUUGAGCCAACUCUAACUCAUAUUCUGCAACUAAGGCAAGUAGGAUACGAAUGGAAGUAUGUUUUACAACUGGAGAGAAAACUUCAUUGUAGUCAAUACCUUCAUUUUGAGCAAAACCUUUUGCCACAAGCCUUGCCUUGUAUCGAGGAGUUGUUUGAUUCGCAGAUCCUUUCUUUUUGGUGUAGACCCAUUUAUUGCCAAUAGCCCUUUUUCCCUUUGGUAACUUUACAAGUUCCCAAGUCUGGUUUUGAUGGAGAGAUUUCAUCUCUUCCUCCAUGGCUAACUUCCACUGAUCACUUUCACUGCUGUGUAAUGCUUCACCGAAAGUAUUAGAGAUGUCAUCAUCAAUAACUGGAAGUGCAUAAGCUACCACCAUAUCUUUAUUAAGCCAUUCGGGUUUCUUUAUCUCUCUUCUUGGCCUCCUUGUUGCUAUAAAAUCAUCAUUAUCUACAUCAUCAAUUGUUUCUUCAUUUUGUGGGACAUCAGAAGAAACAACCUCUUCUUCAACUUUAGGUGUCACCUCCAUAGUUGAACCCUUCUUUGAUGUAGAACUAACUGGUAUAUAUGGAGUUGCAUCAAACUCCACCCGCUGCAAUACCUCUUUGGUCUUGUUCUCCACCUGCUGCGAACUUGAAGCUUUCAUCAUUGAAGCUUCAUCAAAUGUGACAUCUCUGCUACACACAAACUUUUUAUUUUCGAGAUCUCAAAGCUUGAAACCCUUUACUCCACUUUUGAAUCCCACAAAGAUAGCUUUUUUAGCACGAGGAUCCAGUUUACCAUCUUUGACAUGAUAAUAAGCUGGACACCCGAAUAUACGAAGGAAAUCAUAGUCUUGUGCAUGCUUUCCAGACCAAAUUUCCAUAGGAGUUUUACCUCCAAUUGCAGCAGAAGGGAACCGGUUUACCAAGUGACUUGCGUAGCUCACAGCUUCAGCCCAAAACUUUUUAUCUAAACCAGCAUUAGAUAACAUACAUCGUACCUUCUCCAGUAAAGUACGAUUCAUACGCUCAGCCACACCGUUCUGUUGCGGAGUAUGUCUCACCGUGAAAUAUUUUUUAAUACCCUCGUUCUGUCAUACUUGCAAGAAUUGAUCAGAAGUAUAUUCACCCCCAUUAUCAUAUCGUAAUACUUUGAUCUUUCUGCCAGUUUGAGUCACCACCAAUUUCUUCCAUUUCACGAAAAUCUCGAGAACCUCAUCUUUUGCUCGCAUGGUGUACAGCCACACACGUCUAGAGAAAUCAUCAAUAAAUGUAACAAAAUAAUGGCUUCCACCAAUUGAUGCAGUCUUGAUUAACUGUGAACAUAUUCAAGGAUCUUAUAAGUAUCGUGAUUAGCUGUACCAAACUUGACCCUUGUUUUCUUGCCUACUACACAAUGCUCACAGAAAUUUAAUUUACAGGUUUUGGUACCUUUUAAGAGUCCAUGCCUCAUCAGAGUUUGUAAAAACUUCUCGCCAGCAUGUCCUAAUCGUACAUGCCAUAACUUGGUGGUGUCACUGUGCACCUUAACAACAUUUGUUUCAUCAGUUGUGCCUCUCUUCAAAUAGUAUAGAUUGUGACACCGAACCCUUUGCAGAAUCACCAUAGCCCCAUGUGUAAACUUCAUUGUGCCAUCUCUAAUGGUAACCUUGUAGCUUUUAGCUUCCAAAGCACCCACAGAAAUUAGAUUUUUCUUUAAAGCUGGAACAAAUCUGACUUCUUUGAGUUCUCUGAUUAUUCCAUUAAACAUUUUGAGUUGAAUUGUUCCUAUCCCCAUUAAACGACAAGGUUGAUCAUUCCCCAUCAUAAUUGCACCAGAUUCCAAUUCGCUGGAAUUCGUAAACCAUUCCUUAAUGGGACACAAAUGAUAGGUUGCUCCAGUAUCAAGUAUCCACUUGCUCGAACUAGCUACGUAUGCUGCAUGAGUAAUACUUAGUGAAUAAUCAGAGUCUUCAUCUUUUCGUGCCAUGUUUGCUGCUGUUGGUUUCUUCUCAUCUCUCUUUUGAGCUUUUUGACAAUCUUUCCUCCAAUGACCCUUUUCAUGACAAAAGGCACACUCGUCUCGAGCUAUAUUUUUGCUUCUCGAUUUGGAUCGAGAAUUCUUUCCACCACGCUUUCUCUUUUUCUCCAUCGCCCAAUCUCUGCUUACCAAAGUUUCAGACGAUGCUCGUUCAGAAUUUUUAUUAUUAUUUCAAAUCUCUAAGUUAGUCAAUGCUGUGCAAACAUCUUUGAAGAUGAUCACACUUUUUCCAUAUAUUAAGGUAGUCACAAAAUGACUAUAUUCCUCUGGUAGUGAGUGUAACAGAAUCAUAACCUUGACUUCAUCCUUAAUAUCUUCAUCAAGAUUCUUCAAAUCAGCAAGUAACUUUUCAAAUCUUGAGACAUGAUCUUGCAUUGACACCCUAGGCUUCAUUCGAAAACCAUAUACUUGGCUCAUUGCAUGAAGGCGAUUUUCAGGACUUUUUAGCAAGUACUUCUCCUCUAAUGUAUGCCACAAAGUCAUCGCACACUCCUCAUCCUUCACCAAUAUUUCACCUCCUUGGUCAAACACGAUUUGAUCUGACCACAAGCUUUUUCAUUCAUACGAUCCCAAAUUUCUUCAUCAUACAAGUGUCUUUUAUUUUUCAGAACAACAUCGAGAUCGAUUUGAAUAAGGGCAUCCAUAACUUCGCGCCUCCACAUGCCGAAGUUGAUUUUCCCAUCAAACUUUUGAACAUCGAUCUUCUGGCCUCCUAUAACAGGUGCUGAAUAGCGAUUUGACAAAUCUCACCUCCCACCUGAAGUGUCUCCUAAAAUAGUCUCGGUAGAUCUCUCCCCAAUUCUGGAAGUUUCACCUUUUACCAUUUUUUUAACGAACUAUUUCCACUUGAAAAACAAUCUCUAUGAUGUUAAUUUCAUGUGAAUAAAUGCACCAGGAAAGUUCCCAGGAGACUGGAUGGGAACUCGGUCCUAAUUAAAAACCAGAAUCUUUAGACUCUUAUCGCCUUUGUUGACAGAACUUUCCUAAACAUACAAAAAUACACACCACUUACAAUAGACUGUCUCCCAAGUACAAAUGGUUAUCUCCACUGUAUUCGUGAACAGUACUGUAUACGGGAAUAGUACCGUAUACGUGAACAGUAUCGUAUCCCCCUAAGUACAAACUGUCGGCUCUGAUACCACUUGUUGUGCACGGAAUGUGGAAUUAAGCGCACCAAAUAAUUACAGAAAAAUAAAGGACACAAGAAUUACGUGGUUCGGCAAUAUGCCUACGUCCAUAGGAGCAAGAGAAAAAUAAUUGUAUUAUUAACAAUUAUUUGAGUACAAAUUUGAGUAAAGAAAUCUCACUUUCCCAGAACCCAAAUACACCCAGUACUCUCACACACACUCUCCAAUUGCUCACACUCUCAGAACUCUCAAAAACUUAAAAACUAAUAAGCUUAACAAAUUUUUUGGGAUGAUUUAGAAUGAAGAAAUGGCUUCAAUUUAUAGGAUUCAAGCUUGUACUAUUCCACCUAACCCAAACACUAUUUCAUCUAACCCAUGCAAAUAUGUCAAGGAAUUUGGUAUUUCUUUGUCCAAUCUUAAAAAAUUCUCCAAAUUUGAAUCCAACAUUUUGGCUAACCUUGACAUUUGUUAGCAAAAUGCAAGUGGUUUUCUUAUUUUUCAGCAAUAGGUGCCAUUGCAGUAACACCUUAUCCUGGAGAAUCAAAUAGGUGCAGGGCUGCAAUCAGCUGUGCUAUACACCCAAACUACUGGAGCAAAAGGAUUGGAGAAAGAGCUGCGAGAAUGGCGGCUUGUGCUAUAUUUGAAGAGUGGCCACAUUUGGAGAGACUCGAGGGUUUGACGGAAGUUGAUAACUUUGCCAUACAGAAAGCGGCUCACAAGGUUGGAUUCAAGAGAGAAGGUGUCCUGCGGACGUACUGUAUUUUCCAGGGAAAAGCUACCGACAUUGUCAUGCUCAGUCUUCUCUCUACUGAUGUCAUUCCGAGGCGGAUCCGGGCUAAAUUAUAAUUUUGUAGCAACAUCUCGCGUCUUUGUUGUAUCAGGCAAUUCUCUUUGUAAUGUAAAUUAAAUGUCUUUCAUUGCAACAGUACUCAAGUUUAGUUGAAAAGCAGACCUUAUUUCCUCUUCCAAAACGAAAAACAUACAAUUGUUUGGCCACGGCUAUAACGCAUCUGAUGCAUUGAUAGAUCGGUCUAACUAAAUGUGGAAUAGUUAGUCCCAGUUCCUACGUGUAGCACCAGCUAUGAUAGAUGAUGGUUCAGCUUGCUGUAAAAGCCAUUAAAGGUGGUUUUUUGAUAGGUCCCAAUCAAAGUUAAAAAUUUUUUUUAAUGAAUUUAGUAUUUUACUUAGGCUGAGAAUAGACCAUAAUAAUUUUAAUUAAAAUAAACUUGCUUCAUUAAUGACUAUAAAGGAAUUUAAAUACAAAAAAGAAAUUAACAACUAUUUCUAAUUAUCAGAUCACAUCUCUAAGAAAUAGGCACUAACGGCUAAUGACACAAGGCAGCAGAAAAUUAUUAAAUGCAACAACUACUGGACCUAUUCUUAAGCAAACAAGCUUGUGGACAUGAGCAACAACUUAGACCAAGUCUUUAGAAAUCAAGAAUCUCUUUGAAUGGCUCCAUCCCAACAUCCCAUUUCUUUCCGUGGCUUAUGCAAUUUACGUCCCAUGCAUCACGGCUCUUAGUCAAAAUACUUUGGGUUCUUUAUUGGCACUCUUGGGAUCUUCUUGGCAUAUCAAUACCCCCUCCUUUGGCCGAAAUUCCUCAACUUUCAUAUCGAGGAACUUGUCAUUCACCUCUUGAGUGUUCUCCCAUGUAGCAUCAUCUAGUGGAAGUCUUUUCCAUUUGAUCAAACUUUCUUCGACAAAUUUGGACCCUUUUUUAUCCAACGGGUGUCCAAUAUUUGCUUCUGCUUCCAUAAUUAAAUCACUAUCUUCAGCCAUUGGAGGUAACUCAGUACUAGUAGCAAUUGUUUCUCCUAACUUUUUCUUCAAAAGAGACACAUGAAAGACCGGGUGAAUGCGAAAGCCUUGUGGAAGCUUGAGCUUGUAGGCCACCAUUCCAAUUUUUUCUUCAAUCUGAUAUGGCCCAUAAAACUUGCUUGCAAGCUUUUGAUAGGCUCUUUUAAACACAUAUUGCUAGCGAUAGGGAUGAAGCUUCAAAAACACAAAUUCGCCCACUUGAUACUCAAUGUCCCGACGUUUUGAAUCUACUUGCUGCUUCAUUCGGUUGUUUGCUGCAUGUAAAUUAUCUUUAAGCUGUUGUAGCAAGGCAUCUCGAGAAGCUAAGCUUUGGUCAACUUCAUUCACUGGAUAGGAACCUUCGUGGUAAGGUGGAAUUAUUGGUGGGGCCUUCCAUGUAGAGCUUGGAAGGGAGUCAUCCUUGUACAUGCAUGAUAGGUAGUAUUGUACCAAAACUUAGCCCAUGGAAGGAAAGAAUGCCACUUACGAGGCCGUCGGUAAGCAACGCAUUGAAGAUACUGUUCAGUACAACAUUUUACAACUUUCAUUUGACCAUCUAUUUGUGGAUGGUAGGCGGAACUCAUCUUCAACUGUGUGCCCGACAUUUUGAAGAACUCUCGUAAAAAAUGACUAGUGAACACCAGGUCGCAAUCACUUAUGAUGGACUGAGGCAUGCCAUGAAGCUUCACUACUCCUUCAAUAGAUUUUUCAGCCACCACUUUUUUUGUAUACAGAUGGGAAAAAGCUAAGAAAUGGGCUGAUUUACUGAACCUGUCAACCACAACAAAAAUUGAAUUUUUAUUGUUUGAGGGUGGAAGGCCCUCGAUGAAGUCCAUAGUAACAUCUCCCAAAUGUGACAAGGAAUUGGAAGUGGGUGUAAAAGUCCAGCUGGUGAUAAAGUCUCAGUUUUAGUUCGUUGGCACACUUCACAAGAGGCAAUAUAAUUCUUCACUGCUUGGUGCAUGGAUGGCCAAUAAAAUUGUUGUUCUAGUCUUUUGUAUGUUCUCAAUAUACCCGAAUGCCCACUCAAUAUACCCGAAUGCCCACCUAUUGGAGAAUCAUGAAAUUCUUACAAGAGUUGCUAGAUGAUGUUACAAUGAAGAGGCACCACCACUCGAUUUUUGUAACAAACCAGCCAGUUUCGCCUACUGUAAGGAAAGCCUGGGUUUUUAGUUGCUUGUUUGCUACAUGUAAGGAUUGUCACUAGCUUCAGCUUUGAUUGUAUCCCAUAAUUGAGUUUGAGACACAAACAAGGCACUAAGACUAGGACUACCUGCCACCCGUGAUAAUGCAUCAGCUGCAUUGUUCUCUAGGCCUGGUUUAUAUUUGAUUUCAUAAUCAUAUCCAAGCAAUUUAGUCACCCAUUUUUGUUGCUCAGGUGUUGCUAUGCGUUGCUCCAACAAGUACUUAAGGCUGUGUUGAUCAGUUUGGAUAUAAAACCUCCGGGCCAGCAAAUAUGGUCUCCAUGUUUGAAUUGCAUGAAUAAUUACCAACAUUUAUUUGGCAUAAACAGACCAUGAACGCUUGGUGGUGCCUGAGGCCCGACUCAUAAAUGUAAUAGGCUUCCCUUGUUGAGUCAGAUCCGCCUCGAUGCCGUCCCCUGAAGCAUCUGAUUCAAUGAUAAAUGGUUCACUGAAGUUUGGCAUUGUAUGUGUUGGUGUAGUAGUGAUGGUCUUCUUGAGUUCUUGAAAGCAUUUUCAGCUUCAUCUGACCAUCCAAAAUGUCCCCUUUUUUACGAGGUUGGUGAGGAGGGAUGUUAUGAUGCCAUAGUUGCGGACGAAUUUUGGAUAAUAACCUGAAAUUCCUAAAAAUCCACACAGCUCAGAGACAUUAGUAGGCCUAGGCCAAUUCAACAUAGUUUUAAUUUUUUCUUGAUCCGCCUUGACUCCUUGUGGUGUUACAAUAUGCCCUAAUUAGUAUUCGAAUUCUUGUAGAUCGAAGGCACAUUUAUUCAAUUUGACAAAAAAUUGGUGUUGCCUUAAUAUUUCAAAAGCUUUUCCAACAUGCUCAAGACGCAUGGUCCAAUUGGGGCUAUAAAUUAAAAUGUCAUCAAAUAAAACUGGUGCAAAUUUUUGGAGGUAAAAGCAAAAUAUUGAAUUCAUAAUUGCUUGAAAAGCAGAUGAAGCAUUAUAAAGACCAAAUGACAUAAAUUAGUAUUCACCAUGACCAUUAUGAGUACAAAAGGCAGUUUUAUAAAUGUCCCUAAUUUUAACAUGUCCUUAACUUGUUUUUCAAUUUUAGCUUCAAAAUAGGCAUACCUGUAUGGUUUCACAUUAAUGGGCUCGGUUCCCCUUUUCAAAUUAAUGUGAUGAUCCACUUCUCUUGAAAGAGGGUGUUGCGUCGGCUCUUGGAACGAGUCUUCAAAUUCCUCCAAUAAUUUUUUCACCUCAGGAUUGACAUCUUGUGACGGAAGAGUGGCUAUGGAUUGAAGACAAAUACCAAGCAUGGAGUUCCCUUAUCGUAUAUCUUUGGAAAUGGCUUUCAUUGAUGAGGGUUGAAUUGAUUGCAUAUCAAUCCCUUGUAAUUUUUGAGUUUGGUUGUUCCACUAGAAUUCCAUUGUUAAUUGCUUUUAAUUAUAUGCUACCGUUCCCAAUUGCUCUAACCAAUAAACACCUAAGGCCAAGUCCAACCCAAUUAAAGGUAAAGCAUACGAUCUUGGUUAGUAAACUUACAUAUCCCAAUACAACGGCCACGGCAGUAUUGAUUAAUAACUCUCAAUACCGAUGCUGGAGCAAAGCUUGCAGGGUAAUCGUUACUGAUAUGAAGCUCUUUAUUGUUUUCUAGGUCUUGAUAUACUUAUUUAUUUAUUUUUUCACAUAAAACUAUGGGGGACUGUCACUAAAAUAAUUAUGCUGAUGAGGAAAGAAGAACAAUAUCAGCGAAUAAAUGAAGGAUGACAGAUCAAAUGAAAUACUCACUUUUAUCGACGGCAUCUAAGAAAUUCUAUAUAUUGUUAUACAUGUUGCCCAUCAUUUUAAACCAACAUAAUAGGAUAGAUUAGAUAUAAAAUUAAAUUAUAAUUUUAAAGUCGGGUGGAUUAUUUGAACCUAUUUUUUUACUGCAUUUUCCUUUAUGGUGGACCAUCAUUAAAAUUGAAAAUAUCUUAUUCUACUUAACAAACCCUUAUAUUUUCCAAAAGUAACCCCUUCUUCUCUCAUUCACGCUUUUGUUUGUAUGUGAAAUAUAACACUCAAAUUUCAUCAGGUAAGAAUUUUGCCCAACUUUGAAAGGAAAAAAUAAGAAAAAGGGCUUAUCCUUCAAUCAAACCCACCAAAGAGUAAUAAAUAUAGAAAGUUAUUUUCUCAAAAUGCUACAAUGCUACGGGGCUGACUAUGUUGUAACAGUGGUAUGAUACCAUAUUUUUUGUCUUUUUGUAAUCUAACCAUUGGAUCCAAGGUAAGAAUGGCAAAAACAAAUGCAACGGCAAGGAUGUAUUUAUUAGGUUGUUUUCAUUACAAUCCCUCUUGUUUUUUGAAAUGUCAAGAAAAAAUAUAAUAAUUAUUAUUUUAUUUAUUGGCUUAGUUGUUAAAUGAUAUGAAUAAGGAAGAAGUAGGAAAUUUUAAGAGGACUUUUAUUAUUGAUAUUAGGCAAUUACAAUGCAUGAUUCAAUACUCGUUUAUAAGAGCCACAGCCCAUUAAAUAUAAAAUAAAGCCAAUGUUUACUUCCCAACUUCAAAAAGAUAAAUCUUUUUAUUUAUUCCACAAAUUCAUAAAUAUUUCAUAAUUAUCUAAUUAUUACUAUCAUUUCUAGAUCUACUCUCAUUAUUUAAAUUUAUUAUUAAUUAUAUUUAAUUAUUAUUUAUAUAUUAAUUAUUAAUAUAUAAAUAUAAUAUGAUAUAAUAAAAUAAUAUUAUAAUAUAAUUUAUUUUUAAUAUUAUAAUUAUUAUAGUAAAAAUAAAAAUAUAAUUUAGAUAUAUUUAAUGUUUCAAUUAAGGAAAAAGUUAGUACAUUGUAGUGAAUUAUAUAAUUGACCACAAUCUAGCUUUCAAAACUUCCAAACAUAGGUAAGCAAUAAAUUAAUGUGAACAAUAUUAUAACAAUAUACAAUACUCUGUUCCAAACACAUUCUAAUGGUGCAUUUAUUAAAUAAGAAUUGAAAUGAACUGGAAUUGUAAUAAGAGAUUUGAAUCAGAAUAAGUUGUUUAUUUGAGCUGUAGGAAUUGGAAUUGAAAUGAACAACAUUCCCAUUGAUGUGUUUACUUUAUUUUAGAAUUGGAAUAGACUAUUAUAAGUUACUAAAAUGCCAUUUGUUAAUUGUGUCCCUAAUAUUAUUUGUAUAUAUUAUAAUUAAAACAAUAAAGAUAAUAAUAAUAAUAAUAAUAAUAAUAAUAAUAAUAAAAACUAAAAAUAAUAAUGAUGAAAAUAAUGUUAAUUAAAAAAUAAUAAAAUUUAACAACAAUAAUAAUAAUAAUAAUAACAAAAACAACAAAAUUAACUGAAAUAAUAAUAUUAAUAAUUAAAAUAAUUAAAAUUAUUAAUAAGUUUUAAUAAUUAUAAUAUUAAUAAAAAUAAUAACAACAAUAAUUAAUAAUAAUUAAACUAAUAGAGUUAAUAUAUUUUAAUAAAAACAAUAAUUUUAAUCAUAACAAGAUAAAUAUUAAUAAUAAUGAAUUACUUACGGUAUGAUAACAAUUAAAAUAAUAAAAGUAAUAAUUUUAAUAAUAAUAAUAAUAAUGACAGUAAUAAUCAUAAAUAAUAAUAAUUAUUAAAAUAAAUAAAAAUAAUAAAAUUUAAUGGUAAUAAUCUUAUAUAAUAAUAAUGAUAAUAAUAAUAAUAAUAAUAAUAACAACAACAAUAAUUAAAAUUCUUUUCAAAUGCCAUUUUAUCCCAAAAAAUGACUUAUAUGUAAAAGCUUUUAACUUCUUGUGCCUAUUGAAUUUUACAAAAAAUAUAAGGUGGUGUAGUGUAAUCAAACACAAAAGGACAAAAGUAGUGGUAUGUUGCAACUGUUGCAACAUAGGCCUACCCCCAAUGCUACGAGAAUUCUUAUGAAGGCAAUGAAUUGAUUUUAUUUUAUUUUUUCGGAUGCAAAAGCUAAUGAAUUGAUUAAUAAUAAUUAAUAUAUAUUUGAAAAAUAACAUAAAGUGGCUAUUUUGAAGCCAAUUUUGAGCAAGAUGAAUAUUGGAAAUAUAUACUUACAUAGAUGGUUCAUAGUCUCCUUUAUUAGCUCUUUGGAACAAACCAUAUCGAACUGGUGCGUGACUAAAUAAGAAAUUGGAUCCUAAAGAGCACUCAUUGGUGUGAAAAAAAUGAAGAAAAAAUCUCACAUGGAAUUUUAACUAACUGAUGCCCUCUCUUGAAACAUAUAUAUAUUGGUUUCCAUGUUCAUUUGCAAAAGACACCAAUAUCCAAGCGAUUUUUGCUAUUCUCUUUUAAGUAAAUACCUUUAGUUUUAGGCUUUAAUGUGAUAGAAUUUAAACGUCUGUUUGAAAUUCUCUCGAAUAGAGAGGUUGUGCUGCCAUCACUAUUUAAGCACCAUGGUAAAAGUGGCGUAUAUGUUUUAAGGACAUUUUAUAUUUACAAGUCUCGAGUGAGUGGUUUUUGUAUUAUUAUAUAUUGUUAAUUUAUCUAUUAUAUUUUUGCUAUUUCAAUUUAUUUUUAUUAUUAUUAUGAACUUGUGAUAAGUGUGUAAGAGAUUUAUUAGUAAGUUGAAGUACACUAAAAAGAUUUUGUCACUAAGUAGAGCUUUUAGUAGUAGAACUUUUAUAAAUAGAGUUUUUACCCCAAAAAAUUUAUUUGUUUGGUUGUCAAUAAGAGUUUUUAUUAAAAAUCCAUGAAAUUACUUUAAGAGGCAAGUUUUUUUAAGUUACGUUAUGAAAAGAAUAAAAUAAGAUUGUUAAAUAAGUAGAGGAUAUUUUAGAUAUUUUAACAUUUAAAAAAAGCUUUUCAACCUCUACUCCCAAAAGCCCAAAAUUUGAGUUUUUACUAGUAGAGGCAAAGUAGUUUAUUUAAGCUCUAAAAGUUCUACUAAAAAAACAACCAAACAACAAUAAAAAUUAUGAUAAGAGCUUAUGAGAUUAAAUAAUCACUUAUGGCCAUUAGAUUAAUCAUUCUAAACAGGCACUAAGACUAUAAAUAUAUUGUUUAAGAAGUCUGAGUUUCAAACAAGACCAUUAUAAACCUUUCGAUCUUUCUUGGAAAUCUAACUAGUGUGUUUUUACAUAAAAAGUGUGUAGUCUUAUAUCACUUGCUAAUUAAUGAUAAUAUACCCAAGAAUAUAAAAUAUGAACUUGGGCUUUUGAAAAAAAAAAAAAUUAGUUCACGUGCAAAUAUUUGGAGCUUAUUACCGAAAAGAUCUACAGCAGUUUAUGAUUGUCUUUUAGAAAACAAAUUAUCUUUUAAUCAAUGAUAAAUAAGAGACCAUUCAACUUGUGUAAACAUAGUUGAAUUAGCUAUUGAUAGAUUGUAUAAUUUCACUGAAUAAUUUCCUUCUAUCUUAAAAAAUUAAGUUAAGAAAAUAAAUAAAUGAAAAAUAGAUAUUUGAUUUGUGGAUUAGUAAUUUCGGAAUAUAGAUAUAAAAGAGGGAGAGAACAUGAGAGGUCAAAGGAUAAAAGAGAAUGAUUUUGUAAUUUUAUAUAAAAAUAGUUUUAUGAUAUAAAUUUUUAAUAAAAAUAAGUGCAAAGAGUAUUAAGUCGGGUUAAAUAGCCCGACCCUUUAAGGAAAGACCCAUCUCAUCAGUAGACUCAUCAUAUACCCAAAACACAACUCUGUAGCAACAAAUUAGGAAAAUAGCAUUCAACAAAUUAGGAAAAUGGCAAAAUGCUAUGUUACAUUAAUGUAACAUAGCAAGAUCCUAAUGUAAUAUACACACUCUACAACUAUCACAUAAAUUGUGUGUGCCUAUCAUUUGACUAAGAAAAUUACUUUAUACAACAGUCAACAGAGAUAAACGUGUCAACAUACGACUUGUUAAAUUGUUUAUUGUCUGUAAGUUGCAAAGUUGCAAAAUGGAAACGGCUUUUUCGGCUUCCAUGGGAACCGAAGUGGAAGUAUCGGAGCCGUUGAUUGAGAAAAUCACGGCGGAGGAGGAUCAGCUGAUUCCGGAAUGGAAGGAUCAGAUAACAAUCAGAGGACUGGCGGUGAGCGCGAUAAUGGGGACGCUCUUCUGCAUCAUCACGCACAGGCUCAAUCUGACGGUCGGAAUCAUUCCGUCUCUCAACAUUGCGGCGGGACUCUUAGGGUUCUUAUCCGUGAAGUCGUGGACAAGCUUCUUGUCGAAGCUCGGGUUCUCGACUAAGCCUUUUACAAGACAAGAAAACACCGUCAUUCAAACCUGUGUUGUGGCUUGUUAUGGCCUCGCUGCUAGCGGUGAUGAUUAAUUAUUGAGUCUUUUUCUAUGUUCAUUUCUUUUAGGUAAUAAAUUUUCUUGUAAGUGUUUGGUUAAAUUUGAAGCUAGGGAAAAAAAAGAAACAAAAAACUUGAAGAGUGUUUGUUUGUAGUUGUGUUUUUGUUGUUCGUAAAUUUGUUUACUUCUUCAGUUUGAUGUUAUUAUUAAUAUGCAACUCUCGACAGGGGGAUUUGGUUCGUCCUUCCUUGCAAUGGACGAGAGGACAUAUAAACUAAUUGGUACCGAGUACCUUGGUAAUCGGGCAGAAGAUGUCAAGAACCCUGGAUUGGGGUGGAUGAUUGUUUUCAUGUUUGUUGUCAGUUUCGUUGGUCUCUUCAGUCUUGUUGCGCUUCGGAAGGUAGCUUUUACUGUCUUUGUUUAUAAAAAUGCAUUUUUAUACAUGCUAAGAUAAAUUUCAAUUUAAGUUGAGUCCAUUAUUGGAUAAUUUUUCAAUCAUUUAAUUGUUGUGUUUGACUUAAUACAGUUUAUUUUCUUGUUUUUUGUUGUGUGUGCUGAUAGUAGUCGCAUUUCUAAUCCUUUCCCUCUGUGUUGUAUCAGGUUAUGAUCUUGGAUGGUAAACUUACAUAUCCCAGUGGAACAGCCACGGCAGUGUUGAUUAAUGGCUUUCAUACCAAUGCUGGCGCAGAGCUUGCAGGGUAAUUGUUACUAAUAUGAAUCUCUUUAUUUUUUUGUACGUCCUGAUGUACUUUUUUUUUUUUACAUAAAACCAUGGAGGAAGGUAGCUAACAUAAUUAUGUCGAUGAGGAAAGAUGAACAAAUUCAGAGAGUGAACGAAGAAUGUGGGCUCUGUCUAUCUGCAUGUAUUGUUGACUGAGCUUGUAGGUUUUAGUUAAGAAGAAUAUUUUUAAUGUGUCAUAAUCCUUGCUUACAUGAAGUCUGUGAUAUUUAUCAAUUUUCACAGUUGUGCCCUUGUACUUAUUGGAUGGUUUUCACUUUCCCCUGAAUUGUAUUUAUUAUAUUCUUUAAUAAUGUUAAUUAGAAAAUUCGUUAAUGAUUGUUUAAGAAAGCAGAGCUCGAGCAUUCCAGGGCCACCUACCACCCUUCCACCUGAAAAGAAAGCAAAAAAAAAAAAAAAAAAAAAAAAGAGAGAUAGAUUUCUUGCUAAUUACUAAUCUGUUGUUAUUGCAGGAUGCAAGUGAGGUGCAUUGGAAAAUAUUUGAGUAUAAGUUUUUUAUGUAGCAGCUUUAAGUGGUUCUUCAGUGGCGUUGGGGAUUCAUGUGGAUUUGAUAAUUUUCCCAGCUUUGGUUUGAUUCUAUUUAAAAACACGUAAGGCUCUUUUCGAUUUACUAUUCGUAUGUCUCUUUGUCUCUCUGUUUUAUUUGUGCCAUUAUCAUAUUUUCAUAUUAUCUGUGUUUCUUCCUUCUUUGGCCUUUUCCCUGAAGUUUUACUCCAUUAUGUUUUAUUAGAGCAAAGUAACCCGGCCUAAAUGUCCAUUUGUUGUCAUAUGGAAUAUCUGUUUUCCUAUAUGGGGUAGCAUAAUAAUUAGAAAGCGUUCUUUUGUAGAAUAAAAUAAGAGAGAGUGAGUGUAUGUGCACUCUAUCCUAAAGUGUUGUUUGUAUUUUCUUUCAAAUUUCACCACAUUGGUUUGUUUGCCAGAAUUGGUGUAUUCAUUAUUUACUUACAUUGGUGGUGUCCCUGGAAUUCUAAUUGUCUUUCUUUUUUUGGUAAUACUUUCUACAGAUUUUAUUUUGAUUUCAGUCCAACUUAUGUGGGAUGCGGUCUUAUUUGUCCUCGCAUUGUCAACUGUUCUGUUCUUCUUGGCGCUAUUGUAUCAUGGGGUUUUCUCUGGCCCUAUAUCUCCCAACAUGCUGGUGACUGGUAUCCAGCUGACCUUGGUAAUAGUGAUUUUAAAGGUCUUUAUGGAUAUAAGGUAUGGUGAAUCACACUCAUACGAUGCCUCUAAGACAAUUCCAUUACAGUUUACGUGUUUCGGACUUUUUCCUAUCUUACGUGUUGAGGCAUGCAAAUGAGCUAGACAUUUACUCUGUUUCUGAUCUCUCUUUUUCUUGCACUUCUGAAUUGGUGAAGCUGUCUCCUCUUGUUUCUCUGCUGUGAAUCGACUGUUCCCCCAAUUGCUUUUUGCAGGUCUUCAUAGCUAUUUCCCUUAUCCUUGGGGAUGGUCUUUACAAUCUGAUAAAGAUAAUCUCUGUAACUUUCAAGGAAUUGUGCAACAAAAGAACCAAAGUUAGCAAACUUCCAAUUGAUAAUGAGAUUCAAGGUGCAAAUGAAUGUUCCUCUGUUGCCUAUGAAAACUUGACCAAAUUAUUUUGUCUGGAAUAUUGAUUGAAAGUUCUGCUCAUCAUGUGCCCUCAGUAUAGUUGCUUGUGAUAGCCAGUUUGUUAUUUUUUUGGCACAAAAUUUCUACUUGAUUCGACCUAUUUGAUUGUUUUAAUUGGGAAACACUUCUGUUGCUGGUAUGUCUUCAGAAGCUAAUACAGUCAAUAAUCAUGCUCACAUGUACUUUUGCAGAUACUGAGAGUUCCAGAUUGCUAAUAGAGCAGAAAAAACGAGAGAAUGUAUUUCUAAAAGAUGGGAUACCCACCUGGUUUGCUGCUUCUGGAUAUGUGGGCCUGGCAGCUAUAUCAACAGCAACAAUUCCCACCAUCUUUCCACCUCUCAAGUGGUACUUAGUUCUCUUGUUAUACCUUAUUGCCCCAGCCCUAGCCUUCUGCAACUCUUAUGGGGCGGGACUUACAGACUGCAGCUUAUCUUUAACCUAUGCAAAAAUUGGGCUUUUCAUCAUUGCUUCUUUGGUUGGACCCAAUGGUGGGGUUAUUGCUGGGUUAGCAGCUUGUGGGGUUAUGAUGUCCAUUGUCUCUACUGCAGCUGAUCUCAUGCAGGAUUUUAAGACAGGUUACCUCACUCUAUCAUCAGCCAAGUCUAUGUUUGUAAGCCAGUUACUUGGAACAGCCAUGGGUUGUGUCUUUGCCCCACUCACUUUCUGGAUGUAUUGGACCGCUUUUGACAUUGGGUCACCUGAUGGUCCGUACAAAGCACCAUAUGCAGUGAUAUUAAGAGAGAUGGCCAUUUUAGGGAUCGAAGGCUUUUCGGAGCUUCCCAAGCACUGCCUGGCCUUAUGUUGUGGGUUUUUUGUGGCUGCUCUGGUUAUAAACCUUCUAAGGGAUGUGAUUCCAGAGAAAAUCUCAAAGUUCAUUCCUGUUCCCAUGGCUAUGGCAAUUCCAUUUUUUGUUGGAGCAUACUUAGCAAUUGACAUGUUUGUUGGGACCGUGAUAUUAUUCAUAUGGGAGCGAAUCAAUCGAAAGGAUUCGGAGGAUUAUGCAGGGGCAGUUGCAUCCGGUCUAAUUUGUGGGGAUGGAAUUUGGACUAUGCCAUCUGCAGUCCUCUCUAUUUUUAGUAUCAAUCCACCCAUUUGCAUGUAUUUUGGGCCUACUGUGAGUAGCUGAGCAGGAAAACUGGGAAACUCUCUGGCUGUGUUGUACUUGUCCCAUAGGUUGUAUGAACUGGAUUAUUUUUGUAAAUUUGUUUGUUAUAUAUGUUGAGGAUGGAUUUUUAGAAUAUCUUUUAUUUCUUCAUCAUACUUGCGCACAUAUUUGCACGAUGGCAAGAUUGAAUAAUAGGCGUAGAGCAACAUCAGUUAUAGAUGAACUUGGCUUAGAUGGAUGGGAUCAAUAUCUGCAGAUUUCCAUCAAAUUAUUGGCUAACUUCAUAAUUGAUAGGUGAUUAUUGCUGCAGAUUGUGAAGACCUUUGAAGAUUUGAAAGGAUCCACAUACAAGGUAACGUACAUCCCAAUUUCACUGAUGAAACCACAGCAGUGAAACUAAAGGCGAGCUCUAGCUGGAAUUUUCCUAUUUGUGCAGAUAGUGAGUUUGUAAAAACCUAUAACACGAGCUUUUAUCUUUAUAUAUGAUCAACAAUCAGCCCAUGCUUAUUCACCUGACAUCUCGUAACUUAGCUUUAUAUUGAUAAUUUUUUUUUGGCUUGUACAAUAAUCAAUGGUUUAUAUCGACAAUAAUUUUCAAACCAUUGAUAAAAUUUCAUAACCAAAAUGCUUGCAUAUUUCUUUCAUAGCAUGUAACAAAUUUAUGUUUUCAUAAUGGAUAAAGUCAUUCACUUUACGCAUAACAACCUUAACUUUAUUGCAAAAUUAUCAUGUAUAUAUGAAACUAAAACUUCAUAUCUCUCAUUAACCUUAAGAUUUAUACUUUGAUCAACAAUGUUCUUUAUAAACCAAAUGAGAUUAACAUUGUAACUAUUAUAAAUCAUAAAUGAGAGACUUACAUUUAGUUCAUCUUUAUAAUUUGCAAGUGAACAUAAGAUGAUGGCCAAUACCUUAUGAGAAGUUACAAUUUUUUUUUCAUAACCUUCAUAAAACUUUUACCCCCUGAGUAACAGAAGUACUAUCAAUUUUUCGCCACAUGAGAUUUAAGCUCAAUAGAUUUAAUUGUCCCAGUGCUCAAAUCCAUCUUGUUCACGUAGAGUACUUGAUUUUGCAAGAACAAGUUAUUCAUCGACACGAAACGCUAUAUAUACAAUCAAUUAGGGAAAAAUAUAUGCAUCUCAUGCUAUGUAAUCAAAAACUUAAUUUUAAUUUAACCAAUGUUAAUUUAACAGUAAAUUCAAACCUCUUGCCGGUAGAGUUUACAAAAUGCAUUGAAAUACUAUAUCUUUACUCACAUAUGAGAUAUAUAUGAGUCUUUAAUAAUAAGACUAGCAAAUAUGGUCAUAACAUUAGAAAAUUCCGUUCUAGGAAAAUUCUCAUAAAUUGAUGCCCAAUUCGCUAUCUUAUUCCAAUUAAAUCAUUAAAAUAAUUAUAUCCCUCUGGUGCCAAAUAACUAUUUACCGAACAACUACAAACAUUUGAUGCCAUAUAUCAUUUUAUUCAUCUUUAUAUGAUAUUAUAAUAAUUAUAUACUUCAUCAAAUAUAUAUUAUCGUAUCUUGAAAUGCUAUGCGUACUUUCAAGAUACAACAAUAUUUUAAAACUUUAUUGGCAUCACAAAAAUAAUUGGUCACAAAUAAUCGGCUAGAAGUUGAUGCCAAUAUUCUCUUUAACACAACCAAACCUUUAGUGUAGAUAAAAAUAUGGAUUCCAUUUAUGUAGCGUUAAUAACAAAAUUAUAAUUCAUAAUAAUAAUAAUGUCGUUUUUUAUCUUAUGCAUGAUAUCUCAUAUCAAAAUACCUUAAGAUGCUAUGACUAUUCUCAAGAUAUAUGAUAUUUGUUUUGUCACCAAUAAAUCAAAUAAUGCACUAAUGACAUUAAAUAUUUACCAUGGUUCACUUACAGCAAACAAAACCUUAUGUUAUCAAAUGAGACAUAUACCAACAUUCAAAUCUUAUAUAUACCUCAUGCAUAAUCAUAUAUUCCAAAAGAAUCAUUCAGAUCCACAUAUUACAAACUCGAAAGCCAAAAAUGAUAUUAAUUAAUCUAGUCAGGUUUCAAUUCAAAUUAUUACUGUAAAAAUUAUAGAAUAUAAUUCAUGAUAAUGGUAAAUAAUCAAAAUAAAACUACAUGAUCAUUCUCAUCGAUUAUUGUAAGCCAUAUAAUGUAUGAACUUUAGAAACAAUUGCAAAAAAAAAAAAAAAAAAAAAAAAAACGCAACAACUACAUGGAUGAUUCGAUCAUAAUAAAAUAGAUAUAUAAAAAUUUCUCUAACUGAGUUUCUUAUUAUUAUCAUGUAUUAUAUAUCAAAUUAAAAUGCAUGUACUUAAUAAAUCCAUGAAAAUUUAUUCGUGGGUAACCUCUGUAAUCAUAAUAUCAUAUGAUGUAAUAUGUAAUUCUAUGCAUUUUUUUAUAUAUCUAUUAUAAAUGCAAUCUGUAUCAAAAACUUAACUACAAUCAAAUACACUUCAACAUGAUUUCAACAUAUAAAUAAAAUGAUAUAUAUACCGAACAACAAGAAUUGAAGGUGGCUUUGAUACCACGUGUAAAAAAAUUAGAUUAGAAGAGGAUUGUAUCUCCAAUCACAGUUGUUCAAAUUUGAAGCAUUCUCUACAUUCAUUAAAUUUUACAAAGGUGUCUUCUACCCUAUUCCAUUUUAUAGCCUUCUCUUGUGAUGGAAAACAAAUUCUUGGUAAGCAUUGAUUUAGCUUGGCUAAGGACCCUUUUAUAGUAAUAAUUCUUAACUUAAAAAGACUUUGCACUUCCUUCCAUCAGAGAAGUGAUUUAUAAUCUUUAUCACUUCCAUUAUAAAAGUGACUAAUAAACUUUAAUAACCUUUAUCACUAUCCUUUAAAACAAGUAAAUGAGUCAUUAAUAUGAGUUUAUGUAUUUACUUACUUAAACAAUGGACUUUUCAUGUGUACUAUGUAAUGAAAAUUCUUUUAAAAUAAUCAAUAAAAAGACAUGGGAUUAGCUUAUAACUUUACUAUGAAAGCCCGCGGAAUUAACUCAUAUUAAAAAAGAAAACUUAUUAAAUGUUAAGAGUUUAUUGUUAUCUUGAGUUUAUAUACUUAGUUUGGGAAUUGCAUAUAUUCUCGUCCUCGAGAAGGUAGCAGUUUUAUUUUAGCUAAUCACCGAGUUGAAAUCUCAAAAAAAAAAAAAAAAGGGAACAAAAUUAAAAUUGAUUAAGGCUUUGCCUGCACUUCUACCUUUUAAAUAGGGAAAGAAAACUAAAAUAUUGAAAAAAAAGCUAUAUAUAUAUUCUCAUAUGUUAGAUUAUUUUAUAACAUUGUUCUCUUCUUUAUUCAACUAGCAUAGCCUUUCUGUCAUAUUAUGGCAAAGAUGAAGAAUAAAGAUUUAAUCAGAUCUAAUAUUAGUGUAGAUCUAACCCCACAAUCACAUGAUUUUUGUACGGAAAAACUAAUGUAGACUAUAGCAUCGAGAAAUGUUAUUUAAGUAUGGCUAACUGAGAGUUUGACAACUAAUUAGUUACACUUGACUGUUUUGGUAUAACUCUUGAGCUGAUAUGUAAGUUACAGGUGUUUUGUAAUGGAAUUGGAGAAAUGUAUCUUAAAAAUUACACCAAUAAAGUAUUUAUUAAUUAAAUAAUUUGUUCCUGUAACUUAGAGGUUAAGUUGAUUUAAUCUCUAAUUUGUAUAAUAAAAAAUCGAUACCAUUUUUACUAUUGAAUUAUUAUUUAAAAAUCAUAUUACCACACAUAAUUUAUUUUUAUUUUUUAAUUAUAAUUUUUUUCUACGCACGACAUUUCAAUACCAAAUAGACAUUCUUUUUUUUAAAAAAAAAGAUAAUUUUCCUUAAAAAGAAGACGUAUGGUUGGUAAUUUCAUAUCUAACAAUAAUGAUCUUUAACAAUGAUAUAAUUUUUUUUAAUGGAAAAAGAAAAAUGACGGAUUGGGCAAAGGUCUAAUCAAAUUACAAUGAUUCAUCUAACAGUAAUGAUCUCUAUCAAUUCUUCUCCUGAACGAAUCUUUAUUUAGGGUCUCAAAUCCUUUAUCCUUCAGCGAUUUAUUUAUGCCUGCUCUCCAUAAUUUGUAGAAAUCCUUAAUCAAUAGUUCGGUAUUUAUGGCCCAAUUGUUUAUAUCUCUCAAUGAAUCAAUCGCAGAUCUCCAGAAUAGAUAUGCUACGAAGCAGAGCUGAUAAAUACGGGUAUAUUAGUUAUUUUCGGAGUUCAACAAACACAGAUGUUUGUAAUAAUUUGAUAAGAUUAUUGUUUGUGUCAUUUGUUUCUUCUUAUUUUAUUAACUGAAGCUAUUGUUUUCAAGUGGUAAACAACGAAGAUUCAACAAUUAAUAUUUGUUCUUAAUCCCACAAGGCUACAGUCAUAUGGUUUAUGCAAGGGAUAUAUAAUUAAUGCAGCCUAUAUUUAGUCUAAAAAUAAUAUCUAAUUAUUACGUUUAGCAAAAUUCAUUGCUAAAGAGGGGCUAUUGUGACCACAAAUUUGUUUUGUCGCAAAAAAUUUGAGUGCUAAAAAAAUUGUUGGCGCCGAAAUCUUUAUCAACCAAAAAUACACCAUAUAGCAACGGUUCCAAUCAUCACAAAUUCCAUCAAUAGCGAAGAAAGAAUUUUUGUUGCAAAAGGUGGUUUUAGCGACAAACAUCCUCGUUGUAGAAGCCCUAUGGCGAUGAAAAUAUCUUCAUUGCUAAAACUACCUUUUGCGACCAAACCGUUUCAUUCCAAAAAGGUAAUUUAAAAUAGAAUGUUGGUAUAUGUCUUAAAACCACCAAUGGUCAUCUCCCUUUUGAAAUGUGAGUGGAGUAGACGUCUCUCUAAUAUUAAAAAGGGUAAAAAUUUAGACGGUGCUUCAUAAGAAUUAAUGUAAACUAGUCUCAAUAAUAAUAUGAUUUGUAAAUAUCAGUUGUAAUAUCAUGUAAUGAGUUGUACUCUUGAGCAAUAGUCAUAUGUAAUUAAAAAAAAGAUCAAAUAACAUAAAUAUUAAUAAAUUUAAAUUCUUGGUAUCUUCUAAUAGGAUCUUUUCUAAGAUGGAUAUAUGAGAUAUGUAGUGCUAAGUUAAUGCUUUGUUUGUUCGCAAGAAGAAAACGUAAAAGGAUGAGCCAAAGCUGAAAAAAGCAAAGUUAACAGCUCUGGCUGUUCUAGAGCAAUAAAUUAUGAUGUGAAAUUUGAUUUAGGGACGUUAUUGUGGUUGCAAAUGCAGGGUAACAAUCGUGGCACUCUUUUGAUAAUAGAACCAAAGAAAAAAAUUAAUUGAUUAAUUAUUUAAAUUUUUUCUAUUUAAAUAUUUUAAAUAUAAUAUAUAAAUAUAGUAUGACUUUUAAAUAAUUUUAGAAAAAUCCUCUUUUGCAAAAGGAUAUGGCUAACAUUGUUUACGUAUAAAAAAUCAUUCACCGUCAUUCAUGGCAAAAUUAGAGAUGGCCAACGGCCUAGGCAGCAUGUGGCAUGACACGGCACAACACGAGCAUAUUUUGGUAGGGCACGUAGUACAACACGGCACACAUGCGAAUUAGAUUGGGUUGAGAAUUUUAAAUAAAUUAGGAAAUGGAACAGCACUUCGUGCGGUUUUAAAAAAAAAUUAGUAUUAUAUUUUUUUAUUAUUUUGCACUUGAUGAAACUAAUAAAAAAUAUAAAUUAUUUUUUUUAAAGAUGACGUAGCCUUAUAAAACUAAUGUUAUUUAUGAAAGUUAAUUAUUUUUUUGUUAACAUUAAAAAUAUAUAUUAAUGUGUAUAGUUAAGUGUACACAACCUUUUCAUCAAUAAAAAUUAUGUUCGCACUAAUCAACUCUUUAUUUUUCUUGGUAUUAACAAACUCCCAUAUCUUAUAAAGUCUAACCCUUAUCAUCCAACUAUCUUUAUCAUUGUUUAACUCAUGAAGAAAAGAGUACUCCAUGAAGCACACAAUAUUAAAAAUUUAAAUAAGUUAAAAAAUAAAAACACAAGAACAUUUCUAAAGAGGAUGUUGGUUAAAUAAUAAAAAAAAACCCAAACAUAACAAAUCUUAAAUGCUUAAUAUUUAUAGAGUUUGAAGAAGUCAAAAGACACUAAAUAAAAGGUUGCAUAAUUAAAUAUGGGAUUAUGACAUUAAAAUUAGGUCCUAGUGGUAUUGGUGAGGAAAGAUGAAGGAACCUUCCUUCCUAUAUUAAUUAGUUGAUGUAUUUUAAACCACUAAAGUUUAGUUGUUGGCUUAAUAAAAUAAAUGAAUGUUUCAAAACUUAUAAUUAAUUUAUUAUUAAUGGUUACAUAUUGUUGAAUUUAAAUAGAAAGAGGAAGAGACAUGUAAUUUUUUGUAAUCUAUUAAUUAUUUUCUAUUUUUAAUAUUUUGUAAUGUAAUUAUUUUUUAAUCUCAACCAAUAGAUUAGAUAAUAGAAAAUAUAAAAAGAUGAGAAAUAAUAAUGCCACAAAUCUUAACUACUUAAUAUUUAUAGAGUUUGAAGAAGCCAAAAGGCACUAAACAAAAGGUUGCAUAAUUAAAUAUGAGAUUAUAGCAUUAAAAUUAGACCCUAAUGACAUUGUUGAGGAAAGAUGAAGGAACAUUCAUUCCUAUAUUAAUUAAUUGAUAUAUUUAAGCCACUAAGUUUAAUUAUUGGCAUAAUAAAAUAAAUAAAUAUUUCAAGAUUUAUAAUUAAUUAUUAUUAAUGGUUACAUAUUAUUGAAUUUAAAUAGAAAGAGGAAGAGACAUGUAAUCUUUUAUAAUCUAAUAAUUAUUUUUUAUUUUUAAUAUUUUGUAAUGUAAUUAUUUUUUUAAUAUCAACCAAUUUAUUAGAUAAUAGAGAAUACAAGAAGAUGAGAAAUAGUGAUGCCAUAUCACCUUCUCUAGUCCCAACUUUAUAUAUAUAUAUAUAUAUAUAUAUAUAUAUUUUGUAAUUGUUUUUUAAUCUCAACCAAUAUAUUAGAUAAUAGAGAAUAAAAAAAGAUGAGAAAUAAUGAUGACACAAAUCUUAAAUAUUUAAUGUUUAUGGAGUUUGAAGAAGCCAAAAUGCACUAAACAAAAGAUUGAAUAAUUCAAUAUGGGAUUAUGACAUUAAAAUUAGGCUCUAAUGGUAUUGUUGAGAGAAGAUGAAGGAACCUUCCUUCCUAUAUUAAUUAAUUGAUGUAUUUUAAGCCACUAAAAUUUAAUUGUUGGCAUAAUAAAAUAAAUGAAUGUUUCAAGACUUAUAAUUAAUUAUUAUUAAUGGUUACAUAUUGUUGAAUUUAAAUAAAAAGAGGAAAAGACAUGUAAUCAUUUAUAAUCUAAUAAUUAUUUUCUAUUUUAAUAUUUUAUAAUGUAAUUAUUUUUUAAUUUCAACCAAUUUAUUAGAUAAUAGAGAAUAUGAAAUGAUGAGAAAUGGUGAUGCCACAUCACCUCUCGUAGUCCCAACUUUAUAUAUAUAUAUAUAUAGAUAUAUAGAUUAGUUGAUGUAUUUUAAGGCACUAAAGUUUAAUUGUUAGCAUAAUAAAAUUUGAAGAAGCCAAAAGGCACUCAACAAAAGGUUGCAUAAUUAAAUAUGAGAUUAUGAUAUUAAAAUUAGGCCCUAGUGGCAUUGUUGAGGGAAGAUGAAAGAACCUCUCUUCCUAUGUUAAUUAAUUCAUGUAUUUUAAGCCACUAAAGUUUAAUAGCUAACAUAAUAAAAUAAAUGAAUAUUUCAAAAGACUUAUAAUUAAUUAUUAUUAAUGAUUAUAUAUUGUUGGAUUUAAAUAGAAAGAGGAAGAAAUAUGUACAAAGAAUAUCCACUAAUAUUUUAGAUAUUUUAGAUAAUAGAGAAUAUAAAAAGAUGAGGUUGAGGGAAGAUGAAAGAACCUCUCUUCCUAUGUUAAUUAGGUGAUGUAUUUUAAGGCACUAAAGUUUAAUUGAUAGCAUAAUAAAUUUUGAAGAAACCAAAAGACACUCAACAAAAGGUUGCAUAAUUAAAUAUGUGAUUAUGACAUUAAAAUUAGGCCUUAGUGGCAUUGCUGAGGGAAAAUGAAAGAACCUAUCUUCCUAUGUUAAUUAAUUCAUGUAUUGUAAGCCACUAAAGUUUAAUUGCUAGCAUAAUAAAAUAAAUAAAUGUUUCAAAAGACUUAUAAUUAAUUAUUAUUAAUGAUUACAUAUUGUUGAAUUUAAAUAGAAAGAGAAAAAAAGUACAAAGAAUAUCCACCAAUAUUUUAGAUAAUAUAAAAUAUAAAAAGAUGAGGAAUGAUAUAUAUUAAUAAAGUGAUUAUUUAUUAAAUGAGUUAAAUACAAUCAAAUUAAUUAUGAGAAGAUGAAAAGCCAAAUCUAAAAAAAAAUCUCUAUUUAUUAGAUAAUAGAGAAUAUAUAAAGAAGCAAAAUGGUGAUGCCACAUCACCUCCUCAAGUCAUAGCUUUAUAAAUGAAAGAACAUAUCUUCCUAUGUUAAUUAAUUCAUGUAUUUUAAGCUACUAAAGUUUAAUUGCUAGCAUAAUAAAAUAAAUAAAUAUUUCAAAAGACUUAUAAUUAAUUAUUAUUAAUAAUUACAUAUUGUUGAAUUUAAAUAGAAAGAGAAAAAAAGUACAAAGAAUAUCCACCAAUAUUUUAGAUAUUUUAGAUAAUAGAAAAUAUAAAAAGAUGAUGAAUGAUAUUUAUUAAUAAAGUUACUAUUUAUUAAAUGAGUUAAAUACAAUCAAAUUAAUUAUGAGAAGAUAAAAAAUCAAAUCUUAAAAAAAAAUCUCUAUUUAUUAGAUAAUAGAGAAUAUACAAAGAAGCAAAAUGGUGAUGCCACAUCACCUCCUCAAGUCCUAGCUUUAUAUAUAUAUAUAGAUAGGCCUUAAAAGCAUGACGAUAUUAGAGAUGGGUUAAAGCACGGAAUGUGAAAAGGCCCGCAAUAUGCACUUUCACUUUUCAAUAAAAGAAAACUUAAAAUUUUAUGAUUUAUAAAUAACUUGAAAUUGAAUUUUAAUAUAUUUUAUUAACGUAAGUUUUUUGAAUUCAUUUAAUUCUUAGUUUAAAAAAAAUGACUCUAGUUGUUUUCUGUUUAUAAGUUAUUAAAUAAAUAAAUAAAUGAUAUGAUGAUUUUAAUAAAUAAAAUUAUAAAUAUCACAAUUUUACAUCACUUUAUGUCGCUGAAGAAUCAUGUGUUUAUUGUGGUGAAGGGCACUUAUUUUGAUAAUUGUCUUGGAAAUCCAGUCUCAAUCAACUAUGUGGGUAACUUCAACAUGCAGAACUAGAACCAUUCAUAUUUAAACAUUUACAACUCUAGAUGGAUACAGUACCCAAACUUUUAAUGGAGUCAUCAAAAUCAACAUACUGCAGCAUCCAGUGGACAAAACAGACCUGCUCAACCACCUGGAUUUCACCAGAAAAAUCAAGGGUAAAGAAACACCAGCAAUGAUCAACUUAGUUCUCUUGAAGCUUUGUUUAAAGAAUAUAUUGUGAAGAAUGAAGCAAUUGUUCAGAGCCAAGCUGUGUCUAUAAGAAACUUGGAGAAUCAGAUUGGACAGCUGGCUACAACAUUGAGUAAUAGACCUCAUAGCAGGUUUACCCAGCAAUACAGAGGAUCUAAGAAGAGAAGGAAAAAUAUAUGGCAAAGUGAUUAACUUAAGGUCUGGAAAGGAUGUCCAAAUUCCUAUUGGUGUACCAAAAAGAAGAAUAGAACUUGUUUCAACCCAAGAGAAAACUCAAAUUAAAGAAGAGUCACAACAACCCACUUACCAGCCCACUGAUGUAAAUAGCCAAGCUAUAGCAUCAACAGAAAAUAAUAAUCCAGCAAUUAUGGAAGAAGAUUUUACAGUACCAAACACAUUAGCCUGAAACAUGGCAAAGGAAAAGCAACUUGUACAACUUGCUACAACACAGUAGUUUAGACAUCCACCACCUUUCCCUUAACGAUUUCAGAAGCAAAAGCAAGACAAGCAAUUCAACAAGUUCCUGGAAGUGUUAAAGCAGCUACAUAUCAACAUUCCUUUAAUAGAAGCUCUCGAACAAAUGCCAAUUAUAUGAAGUUCUUGAAAGAUAUUUUGGUGAGGAAAAAAAGACUUUAAGAGUUUGAAAUAGUUGCUCUAACACAAAAAUACAGCCAUAUGCUUCAGAACAAAAUCCCUCAUAAGUUGAAGGAUCUAUGGAGCUUUACAAUUCUAUACUUUAGUGGAACUAAAUACAGGGGUAAGACACUUUGUGAUUUAGGAGCUAGCAUCAAUCUUAUGUCGUUAUCAGUGUUCAAGCAAUUGGGAGUUGGAGAAGUUAAGUCGACAACAGUGACUUUACAACUUGCUAAUAGAUCUCAUGUUUAUCUAUAAAUGAAGAUUGAAGACGUGUUAAUGAAGGUGAAUAAAUUUAUUUUUCCAAUAGAUUUUAUUAUGCUAGACUUUGAGGCAGACAUAGAAGUGCCAAUCAUUCUAGGAAGACAUUUCUUAGCCAUGGGAAAGACCCUAAUUGAUGUGCAAAAAGGAGAGUUAACUAUGCGGGUGAAUGACCAGCAAGUUACAUUUAAUGUGCUGGAUGCUAUGAAAAAUCUUGAUGAGGUCGAAGAUUGUAAUUUUAUCAGUGUUGUGGACUUUACUGUGGCAGAGAGGUUAAAUAAUUGCUACAGUAAGAAUGAAAUCAAUGCGGUAACAUUUAAAGAAUUUAAAGAUGAAGAUCCUGAAAUAACAAAUGUAGCAUGAUUAAAAUAGAGGGAAUCCAUGAGGGGUGACAGACACUUUGAAUCUCUAGAUCUCUCAAACAAGGAAGUAAAACCUUUUGUUUUAUCUAUUGAGUCACCUCCUGUUCUAGAAUUAAAACUUUUACCUUCACAUUUAAAAUAUGUUUAUCUUGGUGACAAUAAUACACUCCUUGUAAUCAUUUCAUUUUCUUUGAAUGCAGAUCAAGAGAACAGUUUGUGGAUGUAUUGGGGAGAUAUAAGAAGGCUAUUGCAUGGACCAUGACAGAUAUCAAAAGAAUCAAUUCUUGUGGAGACGAUCUGAAUACUCAUCAGUAUAUUACUUGUUGUGUACACUUGCACACUGACACCCAUAACAUUAUAAAUCGUACACCAAGCCCAUAAUAACGUAAACAUUAAUAUAUCACUUUUAAUUGGGCUUAACCGUAUAUGACAGUCAAUAACACAUAAUUAUUCACAUAUAAGCCGAAUGUUGGAUUAAGGAUCUAACAAUAUUGGAUUAAAAAAUCCAACACAAUGUUCUUUAGUGGUAAUACAAAAGCUGAUUAAGUGGUUACAAUUAAAGGAAUCUUUCACUUGAAUGUUGUUUCUGGACACAAAAAAUACCUAGGGCUACCAUCAGUGGUUAGAAUAAACAAAAGAAUCUUUUUUGAUGAUAUAAAGCUCAAAGUGAUAAGAAAGAUUUUAAAUUGGCAACACACGCACUUUUCUAGCGGUAGCAAGAAGGUCAUCAUCAAAGCUAUAACCCAAGUCAUUCUAGCUUAUGUUAUGAGCGUGUUCAAAAUUCAUGUAGGGUUGUAUGAUGACAUCCAGAAAGUUAUAGCUAGAUUCUGAUGGGAAUUUAAGGAUAAAAAGAAAGGCAUUCAUUGGGCUAAGUGGGAGAGAAUAAGUAAAGAAAAAUGCAGAGGUAAGAUGAGAUUCAAGGAAUUCUCAUGCUUCAGUAACUAAGCAAAAGUAGAGGAUUUUAUUGUUUCCAAAUUCAUUAGUAGCCCAAGUUUUGCAAGCAAGAUACUUCAAACAAUCUGAUUUCUUGCAGGCAAGACUAUGGUCCAAUCCUUCUUAUAUUUUGGAAAAGUAUCUUGUAGAGAAAACUUGUAAUCCAAAAAGGCAAUAAAUGGAUGAUAGGUUCAGAAAACAAAGUGCAGAUUUACAACAGCAACUGGAUACCAAGACCAAAAACAUUCAAACAGCUUUCCUGGCUAAGUACAUCCAUCCCCAACAAAUCUAUCACUAGAAAAAGAAAACAAAAAAUAAAAAAAAUUGCAACAUUACAAAACCCUAGCCUCCACCUACCACUACCACCACCUUUCUACUAGUUGUUCAUUGUUGUUUGACCCACCACCAGAAUCAUCGUCAGUUGCUAACCAAAACCCAAUCGUCCUCUACAUUUGAAACCGUUGUGUAGCCACCACGAAUUACCCUAAAACGCUACAAGCUCUCCACCAGCCGCUGUCAUGAACCAACCAUUUUUUACCAACAACCGAUGCCAUUACCACACUCCCCUCUAGCCAUACAUUCAAAACCAAUCAACAAUUGCCACAAAUAUUGGCCAUAAACCGCUAUUAACCACUAUAAGUUGCCGCCAAUUAAAGUUGGUUUUCCAACCAAACUACUGCGAAUCUAACUAAUCCUCGGCCAUUAUCAUGCUCAUCAUCACUAUAUCUUCUAGAUCUGACCAUCACCACACUAAUUCAUGGCCACCAGCCGCCAGCUACACCAACUCGAAAGUUCACCCUUAUUUACAAUUUUGCAAUCAAGUUUAUAUUUGUACUUGAAAUAUUCAAAAGGACAUUAUGCUUUGGAAGCUUGAUGGAAAUUGCAGUAUUGAAUAUUUUCUUUCAUGGUUGGACAAGGUUGAUUAGGAAUAUAUGAUUAGAUUGCUGAGGUAUGAUUGAGUACAAUUUGUAGCUGAUUUUCUAUUAAUAAGGAGUGCUUUAGAAUGAUGGGCUAGAGUGCAAAGGCAUAUAUAGCUUUUCAAAGGUCUUUUUAAAAUUACUUCAUGGACUUGUAUAAAGCGAAUGUUGAGAUCAAGAUUUAUUCCUCUAGGUUAUUGUUUGUUAUGACAAGGUAUGAAAUCAAUUUCGGAUUAUGCUUCUAAGUUCGAAUAAUUUUAUAGAUGCAAAUAUCAAAGAAACUUUAAUGAUGUGAUUAAAAGACUUAACAAAGUCCAAGAUUUAAUCAAGUAAUGGCAUGUCUCUAUGAAAGUGUCUAAAGAUGUACCAAUAAGUUCACCUAUUGUUGAGAAAAAAAGACUCGCUUAAGAUGCCAAAAGAUGAGGUACAAUUUCUUAUUGAUUUAAAGUUCUAGUCUAACAAUUUGUGCAAGAAUGUGUAUGAUGUUUCCUUGGAAGACAAGACUAGCAUUGAAGAUGAUGAGGUUUUUGAUCUAUCUAAUAUUUUUAAAAAAUAAAAAUAAACUAUUCAUGAUUUGCACAUUGAACCUAAUAGUACGUUCGAGGUUGUGUAGAAAAAUCAAGUUGAAGAAGCUGAAAUGAUUGAAAUGGUUUUGCCUAUUCGGUUGAAGAAAAUUGUGCUCGAAGAAGAUUUGAUAAAAAAGGUGAAAUUUAUUAGAGAGGGCAUUGAGCAUCAAUUGGGAAAGGGCAAGGGUUAUUUGAUCAUUGUUCGUUCUUGGAAGUCUGAAAUACAAGUUAUACAACCCAAGAGGGGGGCGAAUUAGGUUUCUUAAAAAUACGUGAUUAGUAUUAAAAAUUGUUUAAUUAUCAAGCGAUAAUAAUGUUAUUUUGUGCUUAUGUUAUAAUUUAUAUUUGUGUUUAUGCAAUAUAUUAUGAAUUAUGAAUUAUGUAUUAAAUAUAUCUAAUUUUUUGUGUUUAUUCGGUAAAAUAUUAAUUUCACGUAAUUCGAGACUCCAAACAGAUAAACGAAUGUCAAAUUUAGAUUCUGAAGGUCCAAAAACUUUAAAAUAAGUCAAGAUCGGCUUAAACUUGGGCUUGUGUAAAAAUAGUUGACUUUUCUUGUUGACCGAGCACUGAUUGGAUGAUUAAAUGAGCUUACAAUAGAUAUGAGUGCAUGUGAUAGCUGGCAAUUUUGACUAAAUCCUAACCGUUCGUGAUUUAAUGGCCAUGAUUGUGCCAGGUGGCAAUAGUUGGUGAGACAAAUUGCAGGAUCCGAAUAUUUGUAUUUGGGUCAACCCGAUUCACCCAUUAACCCGCCAAAUUUCAACCGUUCUUUCGCUAAAUCAGGCGAGUCAAAUGAUGCCACGCGUGAUGCUGACUUUUGAAGUUUGACUAGCCAUUGGAUCUUGAUCUAAUGGUUGUGAGGAGCACAUGCAUGAAGUUUAUGAUGGACCGCAAAACACUGUAUUAUAAAUCUAUUUUUCUAGAAAUAGAGCUUCAUUUUUAUGCUUUUAAUCAUCUCUCUAUAUCUCUCUUUUUCUCAAUUUCUCUCCAUCUCCCUAUAAUCUUGAUUUUCUGGUGUGUUUUGUAUAAUUAUUUUUAUAAAUAAAUUUAGUUUUAUUUUCAAUUUUAGUUGUUUUUAUUACUUUUAAUUAUAAGUAAUUUAAUUUUAAUAAUUCUUUUUAUUUCAAUUAUACUUAACUAAAUAAUAAUAGUUAGGGUAAGGUGAAACUCUUAGGAAAUAAAUAUGAUUUAAUCAAAUUCUAUUUUUAAUUUUAUAAAUUAAAUUAUUUUCUAUUUAAUUUUAUACAUAUUUUAUAUUUUGAAAUUUUGAUUUAUUGUAGACAAACAAAGGAGUUUGGCACAAUAAAUUCUUAAUAUCUUAAUAUAAGGUAUGGUAAAAUAGUAUUUUGACUUAUUGUAGACAAAUUAAAUUUUAGCACAAUAAAUACUUAAUCCAUCAUAAAAUUAAAGGGAAAAUAAUAAUAAUUUAUAUAAUUAAUCUUUUGGGCAAUAAAUCUAACAAAAAUGGCAAAAAACAUUUAUUAAGUUUUAUUUACUACUAAGAGUGGAACUACAACCCUAACUAGUUCAAUUUCAUAGUUUCAUUUAAAUUAAGUUUUUUAUAUUCAAGUUUUAUUUUUAUUUUAAAUAAAAUAAAAUAAACAAAUUAAAUAUUUUCUCUGAGGAUCGACCUCGGACUCGCCGAGUUAUAAUAUAACAAGACACUAUACUUGAGAGUUAAAAAUUACUUUUAAGUUGUGUCAAGUUUUUGGCGCCAUUGACGGGGAAAAGUUUUUAUUUUGCUUUAUUUUUCCCUUUUUUUCCUCUUUGUGUAAAGUUUCAGUUAUACCCCUUUUCCUUUUCCAAUAUUUCGUUCUGACCUCAAAAUCUUUUAGAAUCUUUACAUGCGUCCCACAUGGCUCAAUUCUAAACUCUUAAACAUUGCGAUGUGGCCAAAAAAUUAUAAAUAAUGUUCAAUAAAAUCACUGGACGAAAUUUCUCACAAUAAUCAUCUUGGACUUAUUUGGACUCAAUUUGGACUUAAUUUGGACCAAGCAAACUAACUACUAACUCUUAUUUUUUAUUUAUUUUUUUAAUUUCAGUUAUUUAAUUUUUAGUACUUAGUUUAUUUCGCAUUUAUUUAUUUAUUUUUUGCUUUAUUUUAUUUUGUUAUUUUAUAUUGGUGGGUUCAACCACCAAAAUUGUUAUUUAAUUUUUUAGUUUUUUUAUUUUGCAUUUAUUUUACAUUUUAUUUUAUAUUGUUAAUUUAUUUGGUGGGCUCAACCACCAGAAUUGUAAUUUAAUUUUAAUUUUUGUACACUUAUAUUAUUUGCAUAUUUAAUUUUUUUUUUCAUUUAGUUCUUGUGUUACUAAUUUGUUUGAAUAUUACCUUUUUGACAUAACCAUUGCAUGAGACGUUGGUCUCAAACUUCAUGUGGCAGGUUAAUUUGAAGAUCUCAAUCUCCACCACCAAUCAUGGACGAGAUCCAAGACGAAAACCUUUUGGGUGAACCUAAUCCUCAAAUUGAUCAGGGAGAACCAUUCUCAACAUGGACGUGAUCAGAAUCAACCAAGAACUCUGAGAGGUUAUAUGAAUCCAACCAGAACUGAAGCACCGUCGUGUAUAGUAUUUCCUCCAGAGACAUCUCGAUUCAACUUCAAACCAAGUAUUAUCCAACUUUUACCAACAUUUCAUGAUUUAGAAUCUAAGAAUUCAUACUUGCAUCUAAGAGAUUUUAAGGAAGUUUGUAAUACAUACACAGACCAAAAUUGUAGCAUGAACAUAAUUAGAUUAAAGCUUUUUCCUUUUUCAUUAAAAGAUGAAGUUAAAACUUGGCUACAGAACCUUAGAUCUAGAUUAAUAAGAACUUGGAAUAACAUACAAGAACAAUUUUUGAAAAAAACUCUUUCCACCUUAUAGAACAAAUUUUUUUAAAAGAUAAAUCACUUCUUUCACUCAAACAAAAUGGAGAAACAUUAUACCAAUGUUGGGAUAGGUUUAAAGAAUUGAUUAACAUAUGCCCACACCAUGGUUUUGAAACUUCGCGAUUGGUCACUUAUUUCUACAAGGGCUUAAUACCCUAAAGUAGAUAAGUUGUUGAAAUGAUGUGUAAUGGUGAAUUUAUGGAUAAAAAUCCUGAGGAUGCACUAGAUUACCUUAACCAAUUAAUUGAAAAUGCACAAUAUUGGGAUACUGUUGAAAUUUUUUAAUUGACAAAUAAAUCACAAUAAUCUCCAUCUAAUGGAGGAAUCCAUGACCUUAGGGAAGAUCGUGAUUACAAGCAAAAUUUGCAUCCCUAGUUAGGAAAGUUGAAGCUUUGGAGCAUAAAAAAAGUGAUCAAGUAAAAUCUAUUCAAGAAAUUGCAUGUAAUAUUUGUAGUUCGAAUGAUCAUUUCACUCAAGAUUGUCCCACUCUGCCUACACUUAAAGAAUGUCUAAAUGAUCAAGUAAUGCCAUUAACACUUUCAAUAAACCAAAUCCAUAUUCACAGACUUAUAAUUCUGUUUGGAGAAAUCAUCCAAAUUUCAGUUAGAGAAAUAAUAAUAAUGCACAAUCUUCACAAGCACCACCUCCACAAAUUUUUCAAAAUACUCAGCCUUAUGCACCAUAUGUUCCACCACCUUGGAAAAAUCUGGAAGACACAAUGCAUUCAUUCAUCAGAAAGUAAGAUGUUAUUAACAAUCAAAAUGCACAAACUUUUUCCGAUUUGAAAGAUACUCUUGCUAAAAUUGCUUAUGCACUCACAAUUCAAGAAAAAUGAAAAUUUCCAGCCCAACCACAACCAAAUCCUAAGAUUCAACAAAAUCCACCCACGGACCAAGUCAAGUCAAUUAUAACUCUUCGUAAUAGUAAGGUUGUUGAUAGACCUAUGCCUAAAACUUGUGAAAAUGAUAAAAAUUCAAAGGGUAAGGAAUGACUAAAUGAACUUACACCUAGUGAAGAAAUAACUAGUGUUCCACCUGAACCACCAUUUCUGCAUGCAUUGAAUAAACCAAGGAAACCAAACCACUCUUCUGAAAUUUAUGAAAUAUUUAAGCAAGUGAAAGUUAACAUUCCUCUAUUAGAUGCAAUCAAGCAGGUACCUUCAUAUGCCAAAUUUUUAAAGGACUUGUGCACUGUUAAGAGGAAAUUGAAGGUAAAAAAGAGUGCUUUCAUGGCUGAACAAGUAAGUACAAUUAUGUCUACUAAUAAUAAGUUGAAAUAUAAAGAUCCUGGUUGUCCUACCAUUUCUUGUAUUAUUGGUGAUCACAGAAUUUAGCAUGCUUUACUAGAUCUUGGUGCUAGUGUUAAUUUGCUUCCAUAUUCAGUUUAUCUUCAACUUAAUAUUGGUGAGUUAAAAUCAACUUCAACUACACUUUUGCUUGCCGAUAGAUCAGUUAAAGUACCAAAAGAAAUAGUGGAAGAUGUUUUAGUACAAGUUGAUAAAUUCAUAUAUCCUGUGGAUUUUAUUAUCUUGGAAACUGAACCUAUUGUGAAUAAUUAUAAACCAAUUCCUGUAAUUUUAGGUCGAUUAAUUUUACCAAUUGCUAAUGCUUUAAUUAAUUGUAAGAAUGGUUUAAUGAAUUUAUCCUUUGGAAACAUGACUUUGGAAUUGAAUGUUUUCAACAUGUGUAGGCAACCUAAUAAAGAAAAUGAGAAUGAAGAUGAUACUGAUGAACAAGAGGAAUUGCUUGAAUCUUAUAUUGAGGAAAAUAUUCAAAAAGGGGAUUUCUUUGAACUCUCUUAUAUUUGUUUAAUUAAUUCAAUUGAGUCAAAUAAGCAACUUGAAUUUGAUAUUUCUAAUAUAAAUUCGUUGCUUGAUUCUGUGCAAACUUCACGAAAUUAUGAUAACGAGAUAAAAUUUGAGGAGUUUGGAAUUAUUUAAAAGACAAAACAACAAGAAGCACCUAAACUGAAAUUGAAACUUUUGCCUGAAGGAUUGAAGUAUGCUUUUCUUGGAGAAGAACAAACUUAUCAUGUUGUGAUUUCUUCUACUUUAACAACCGACCAAGAAGGUAAGUUACUAACUGUUCUUAAAAGGCAUAAAAAUGCAACUGGAUGGACUUUAAAUAAUAUUAAAGGCAUUAAUCCCUUAAUUUGCACACAUAGGAUUAAUUUGGAAGAAAGUGCUAAAAUAUGUCAAUAACCUUAAAGAAGAUUGCAACCACACAUGAAAGAGGUAGUCAAAACAGAAGUCCUUAAAUUACUUGAUGUGGAAAUUAUCUACACUAUUGCUGAUAGUAAGUGAGUAAGUCCUACACAAAUAGUGCCUAAAAAAUCAGGAAUCACUGUUGUUAAAAAUAAAAAAGUGAAUUAAUUCUAACAUAAAUUACAUUUAUUUGGCGCAUGUGCAUUGAUUAUAAAAAGUUAAAUGAAGCCACCAGAAAAGAUCAUUUUCCAUUACCAUUCCUUGACCAAAUCUUAGAAAGAAUAGCUAGACAUCCAUACUACUGCUUUUUAGAUGAAUAUUCAGGUUAUUAUCAAAUUCUUAUAGCACUUGAGGACCAAGAAAAGACCACAUUUACAUGUCCCUUUAGAAUAUUUGCAUUUAAAAGAAUGCUAUUUAGGCUUUGUAAUGCUCUUGCAAUACUUCAACGAUAUAUGCAAAGCAUUUUUUGUGAUAUGGUUGAACAUUGUUUAGAGGUUUUUAUGGAUGAUUUGAUUGUAUUUGGGAAUUCUUUUGAUGAUUGCCUUGAUAAUUUGGAGAAAGUUUUAAAAAGAUGUGUUGAAAAAGAACUCGUGUUGAAUUAGGAAAAAUGUCACUAUAUGGUUACUUCUGCAAUUGUUUUAGGUUAUGUUGUAUCUAUUAAAAGAAUUAAAGUUGACAAAGAAAAAGUAGAAGUCAUAUCCAAAUUGCCAUAACAAAAAACAGUUAGAGAUGUGCGAUCUUUUUUAAGACAUGCAUGAUUUUAUAGGAGGUUUAUAAAAAAUUUUAAUGUCAUAUCUAAACCACUUUGUAACCUAUUAUUAAGAGAUGCACCAUUUGAAUGGAAUGAUGAUUGCCAAAAAUAUUUUGAGAAAAUAAUUUGUCUUUUAACAUCUGCACAUAUUAUGCAAUCUCCUGAUUGGUCUUUGCCCUUUGAAUUAAUGUGUGAUGCAAGUGAUUUUGCUGUUGGUGUGGUUUUAGGACAAAGAAUGGAUGGUAAGCCCUUUGUGAUUUAUUACGCGAGUAAGACUUUAGAUAGUGCUCAAAUGAAUUAUUCUACAACUGAAAAAGAAUUACUUGCUAUGAUAUUUGCAUUAAACAAAUUUCGUUCAUAUUUGCUUGACUCUAAAUUUGUUGUGUUUACUGACCAUGCUGCUGUGAGAUAUUUGAUGAUUAAACAGGAUGCCAAACUGAGAAUAAUUCAUUGGAUUUUGUAACUUCAAGAAUUUGACCUUACCAUCAAAGAUAAAAAGGGUGUUGAAAAUGUCAUUGCUGAUCAUCUAUCAAGACUCACAUCCGAAUUUUGCACUGAUAUAACACCCAUUAAUGAUUCUUUCCGUGAUGAAUUUUUAUUUUAUGUUACUUCAAUGCCAUGAUAUGCUAACAUUGUUAAUUUUCUUGUUACAGAUAAAAUGUCUUUGCAAUGGAAUGCUCAAGAGAAGAAGAAUUUUUUUGUUGAAGUAAAGUAAUUUUAUUGGAAUGAUCCUUACUUGUUCAAAUAUUGCCCAGAUCAAAUUUUUUGGCGAUGUAUUCUGAAUAAUGAGGUAAGUAGUUGUUAACAUAAAUAUUUCUUUAUUGAUUUUGAUGAUAACAAACUUGAUUAAGAUUGAUUAAUCUUUUAAAAGCUCAAAAUAAUUUUCAUCUAUUUUGACAAGUUUUAUAAAGUGUUUUUAUAAAGAUUUGGAGACAAACAAUUAUCUUGCAAAAUAGUUCACUGCAGCAGUUUCUGUGAAAAAUGGUGAUCCGACAAUUUUGAUAAACGGCUCGCCGAUAUCAAACAGAAUUGAAGAUUGGUCUCUGGACCUAAACGGUGAUCCGACAAAUUUGAUAAAUGGCUCGCCGAUAAUGAACAGAACUGAAGAUUAGCCUCUGAACCUAAACGGUGAUCCAACACCUAGAUAACAGCGAUAUGAGAAAUUUGAAAAUAAGCCUAAUGGUCAUAUUGACCAGUCAAACGACGAUCCGACAUCUAGUUCACGGCGAUCCGAUAGUGUGUAGAAAGUCAAUAACGGCUAGUUUUUAGCUCCAACUAUAAAUAAGCUCAUUCAAAUUCAAACAAGAUUGAUCACAACAUGACCAUUGAGCUUAUAUUCGAGAAUACAAUCUUCAUAGAGCUUUAAAAACACAUUCUUGCUUCAUCUAUUCAAACAUUGGGCAUUGAUUUGUAAUCUUAAAUAUUGUGUGAGAGAAAAAUAAUUUUUAAUGUUUUACUUUGAGUGAUUGUAAGUGUUGAGAUACACUUGGGUUAAGAGAUUGGGGAUAAUCUCUUGUUUUAAAGGUUCAUUGACACCUUAGAAGUCAAGUGUAAGCAUUUGAAGCCUUGGAGGCGUGCUUAGUGAAAUCCUCAAGCCCGGAAAGCUUGGACGCGUGGACGUAGGUGAGGUUGGCCGAACCACGUAAAAAUCUUCGUGUUUGAAUCUCUCUUCCCUUAUCUUUUUUAUAUUGUAAUUGAUUUAAGUGUUAUUCCAUUAAAUUCAUUUUAGAUAUGGUUGAUAAUUUGUUUAGAAUCAAAUAAUUUUUUAGAAUCCCAAUUCACCCCCCCUUUUGGGUUGCACACUUGUAUUUCAGUAGUGUCAUUAAUUUUUGUCAUUCUAAAGCAUGUGGAUUUUAUUGGCCUACCAUAUUCAAAGACACAUACGAAUUUUGCAAAACUUGUGAAAAAUGUCAAAAAUUGGGAUCAAUUACUAAAAGAAACAUGAUACCUUUAAAUCUCAUACUUGAGAUUGACAUAUUUGACUGUUGGGGAAUUGAUUUCAUAGGUCCGUUUCCAUCUUCUUCUGGAUUUGUGUAUAUAUUAAUUGCAGUUGAUUAUGUCUCAAAAUGGAUUGAAGCAAUUUCUUAUCGAAAUAAUGAUAGCAAAACUAUGGUUAAAUUUUUAAGAGAAAACAUUUUAAGUCGAUUUGGAAUCCCUCGAGUUAUUAUCAGUGAUGGAGGUAAGCAUUUUUGUAAUAAGUCAUCUCAGUCUUUAAUGAAGAAAUACAUAAUUACACAUAAAGUUUUUAUCCCUUAUCAUCCUAAAAAAAAUGGUCAAGUUGAAUUAGCAAAUAGGGAAAUAAAACAAAUUUUGGAAAAAACGGUUAACCCAAACAGAGAAGAUUGGUCUCUUAGACUUAAUGAUGCACUUUGGGCCUACUGUAUUGCAUUUAAAAUGUCAUUAGGAAUGUCACCCUAUCGGUUAGUUUAUGGUAAACCUUGUCAUUUACCUGUUGAACUUGAACAUAAAUCACUAGAACAUAAAUUGCAAUUGAAUGAACUUGAAGAAUUAAGGAAUGAUGCAUAUGAAAAUUCAAGAAUUAUUAAGGCAAGAACAAAAACUUUUCAUGACAAAAGAAUUUUUUGGAAAAUAUUUGAGAUUAGUAAAAAAAUAUUGCUUUAUAAUUCUUACUUUAUAAUUAUCGUCUUCAUUUAUUUUCAGGGACGUUAAAGUCAAAAUGGAGUGGCUCAUUUGUUGUAAAAAAAAUAUAUUCAAAUGGGGCCAUAAAAAUUGAGGAUCUAAAUAACAGUGUUACAUUUAAAGUUAAUAGUCAAAUAUUAAAACCAUAUCUAGAACAUCACGUAAAAAAGACACCGAAAUUAAUUUGGGUGACCCACCAAUUCUUGAUUAAGUCAUUAAUGACUGAUUCAUUUUUUUUUUGUUUUACUGUUAUUUUUCCAUUUCAUUGUUUGAUUUUUUUUCUUUCUCUCUUGAUUAAUGCACUGUACAUAAUAUUUUUUAACAUUAUAUUUCUUGUUUAAGCAUGUUUGUUUGACAAUUAUAUUUUCUCUCAUCAAUUUUCAUUAUACGUCAAGAGUACCUCAAUAAGAAAGUUCUUAUUCACACACCUUAAAAGAUUUCUGCGUAUGAAAUUUCACUUAAGAAGCCUAAUACAAAGCUAUAAAUCACAUCCACUUUAGGAUCUGCAACCACCAACAUUAGUGUUCUAUGUUGAGGAUCUAGAAAGAUAAUUCAGAGCAGUAGAGAGAGGUAUAUAUGAAUAUCAAUUCGAGCUUGAAGUUAACUCAAUAAAAGGACGAAUGUAAAUUCAUUUUUCAUUUUUCAUUUUUCUUUUCUUUAUGUGAUUUGUUUUUGUUGUUUUGUUUACUUUCAUUUUUUAUUUGAUUUUGCAGUUUUAAUUCUCUUUAUUUUGGUGUAUUUUGGUUUAUUUUUCCAUAGAAACGGCAGAGAACAGUACUCCAUGACUUCUUAAGUCGGUAUCUUCAGUUUCCCACAAUAACUGAAACCCCAAAAUCAAACAUGGAAGAAAUAUAACAUAAACUGAAUAAGCAUUUUCUCUCUCUUCCUCAGAAUGCCCUUAAGAAAAUUUCCAAAGCUCGUUGUGAACGAUUGCGUUUGUUAAUGAUCAAUGGCAUUCCUUCUAAUAUUCGUUGGUUAAUUGAAGCAAAGGUCUAAUUAGCAGGUGUGUUUUCUGAUCCAUUUGUUUAUUUCAUGUCCGAUUUUGGUAAAAGUACAUUUGCUAAAAAAAAAAAGAGUUAAACGACUUGGCUCAAAAUAUCAUAGCUGUGUACGACUUAAUUGCAAACGACCAGAUUAUAAUUCUUUAGGAAUUGUGUCUGAUACUCGUGAAGUUAAAAUUAAAUUCAUUAAAGAUGACAUGAGUAAAGAAUUGUUAGAUAAUAUCUUACGAUCUCUUGAGACGCAUCGAAGCGGAUUUGUGCAACGUGAGAUUCAUAAUUUAUGGAUACUAUUCCAAAAAAAAAGUACACAGUUUAGUCUUGGGAAUCUGACUUAAAAAGACCUUGUUUGCCAGUUUAUAAGAAAAAUGGAUGGGAAGCCUAACCUCAACCCAUAGAGGGCGUUCAAGCCGUUACUGGACGUAAAACCAAAGGAAUAUGUGAGCCACAAUCACAACUACCCACAAAUAUCUUUUUAUUUUGUUGUUCUUUUAUCAUUUGCAUUAUUGAAUUUAGUGGUGUGAUUUUGUAUUUAAUAAUAUUUAUAUUCUUUUACUGUUUGCUUUUUCUAAUCACUAUUUUCUUUUUACUAUUUGCUUUUGAAUUAUUGAGCCACGAGUUUUACUCGUCGUUUGACAAAUAUGUCAAUCCAUUUACAAUUGUUUUUCAUUAUUUCUGUCACCAAGAUCUUUAAUAUGAGCUCGUUUUUCAAACACUCACAACUUGUUUUUGAAGAUUAUUCCAAUGGUAGCAUCUUCGAGUAAACAAUUCAAAAGCAUUUGUGUGCUUGUUGGAUUUCACUAUGGAAAGUACAAAGAAUUCAUUUAGGCAGUUGCAAAUUUUGGUUGUGUCAUAGUAGAGAGGAAACUACAUCUUGUAUAUGGAGGAGGUGAACGAGGGUUAUCAAGACUUGUCUCAGAAGCGGUUUUUACUAGAGGAAGCCAAGCACUAGGCCCACCAAUUAGAGAAGAAUUAGUGGUAUCAAUUAAGCAAGAGAGAAUAUCUAAAAUGCUAAAUUACGUUGAUGCUUUUAUUUUCUUGCUAGGAGAUCUUGCAACUUUUGAGGCACUGACUACAUUUGCAUCUUGAGCCCACUUGAACAUUCAUAAAAUACCCAUCGGUUUGUUAAAUGUUAAUAUUUUUUAUGAUGGCUUGAUAAAUUUUAUUAACCAUGCAAUAAAGAAUCAUUUUGUUCCAUACUCUGAAAAAAAAGACUCUUUAUCUUUGCUUUUACUGCUAAUGAAUUACUUAAUCUUUUACAAGCUUAUACACCAGAGCCAGAUCCCAAAAUAUUUGUGCUAGAUUGGUCGACUGAUUAUGGUAGCAGUAGUAGCAAUAAGAAGUACAAAUUAGAUUUAGCUCUCCGUCUAUAAAUAUUUUCUAUUGCAAUGUUCAUAUGAUGUCUUCUAAACUCUUCCUCUUUCCUUUUAAAACAUUGAGGACAAUGUCUCUUUCAAGUUGGGGGUAAGGAAUAAUUGAUAAUUGUGGAAUGUCUUAGUCCUGGUGAUGUUUUUACAAAAACAUUUCUGUAAAAACUAACUUUGGACUAAAUUUGAGUCGAAAAUGGCUGGAUAUGGAGAGUGCAGUACCUCUAGAAACGCAUAUUCUUAAUCCUAGAGUUUUAUUAAAAAAUUUGACUUUUUCUUGUUCUUUGUUAUAUGCUUUUAGGCUUCUACAUCGAGUUCAGGUGAGAUUUCCUCCUCUUCUUCUUUUAUUAUUUUUUCUCUUUUAUUAUUUUUUAUGCAUAUCUAUAAAAUUAUAAAAUGUUAAGAUAAUGUUUAGAUUAGGUUGGGGGGUAGGGAUAGUUGAUGGAUGUUUUUAAAUAUGUGUGUUCGUUUUUCUCUUUUCUUUUCUUUUUUUUAAAAAAACCCAAUUUGUUUUGUCUAGAAUGGCUGUGUAAAGAGUCACGACUUUUGAGACGCAUCUUAAUAGUCUUGUUGUAUUAUAUUUUGAUUUUGAAAUUCAUAGUAAAUUGUUUUUGUUCCCUUUUCUUUGAAUUACUCAAAUUUUUGAACUCUCCACUUGGUUAAUAAGUCAUUUAAUUGUUUACUCAUUUAACAGGUAUUAUUGAAUCAUUCUUCACACACACACACACACACACACACACACUAUGACACAUACUAGUGGGUUGUAAGUUAAAUUUUUUACAGCAUUUAGUUCUUUUGAUUUAUUAGGAAUAAUAUCUAAGGUAGUAGAAAGUGUAUAUUGCAAAAAACAAAAAAAAAACAAAAAAAAGAAAAAAAAAGAGAAAAAAAAUGAAUGUUUUUAAUUUUGCUAUAUCUAGAACCUGAGUAAUUAAGUCCGUAGGGGUGUUUCAACACCUAAUACCCUAAGGUCAACUGGUCUGGGAGUCAUUGACCUAAAGCUCACUACAUGGGUAAUAGAUAUAUUGUUUGCUUAUUAGAAACCCGAGUAAUUAAGUCUGUAGGGGUGUUUCAACACCCAGUACCCUAAGGUCAACUGGUCUGGGAGUCACCGGCCUAAAGCUCACUAUAUGGGUUAAAAAUUUAAUAUUUUUAAUUUAUAUGUGUGAAUAAUCUACUGCCUCAAGAUAGAAUUUCUAAUGAAUUUUAAAACAAAAAUGUUAAUUUUCUUUUAAUAAAGCCCCAUAAGUAUUGUGUUAAUUAUUUGAGUACAAAAGAAGGUUUGAUAAUAUUCUAGAUAAUGAGUGAAUACUAAAGAAGUAAAGAAAUUUGGGAAAGUUUAUUUAUUUGGUAGUUUAGAGGAUAGACGAACAACUAUUAACUUGCAUGUGAAUUUUGUAAAUCUUAAUUUAAUAUAACAUUAUAAUUGCUAGGGGCUAGCAAUAAGCUGAUUGGGGGGUGUGAUUAGUAUUAAAAAUUGUUUAAUUAUCAAGCGAUACUAAUAUUAUGUUGUGUUUAAGUUAUAAUUUAUAUUUGUGUUUAUACAAUAUAUUAGGAAUUAUUAAUUAUUAAUUAUGUAUUAAAUAUAUCUAAUUUUGUAUAUUUUUGUGUGUUUAUUAGGUAAAAUAUUAAUUUCACGUAAUUAGAGGCUCCAAACAGAUAAAUGAAUGUUAAAUUUGGAUUCCGGAAGUCCGAAAAUCUUAAGAUAAGCCAAGAUCGGCUUAAAAUUGGGCUUGUGUAAAAAUUGUAGACUUUUCAUAUUGACCGAACACUGAUUGGAUAAUGAAAUGAGCUUACAAUAUAUAUGAGUGCAUGAGAUAGCUGGCAAUUUUGACUACAUCUCAACCGUUCAUGAUUCAAUGGCCGUGAUUGUGCCACAUGGCAAUGGUUAGUGAAGCAAGCUGUAGGAUCCAAAUCUUUGUAUUCGGGUCGACCUGAUUCACCCAUUAACCCGCCAAAUCUCAACCGUUCUUUGGCCAAAUCAGACGAGUCAAAUGAUGCCACGUGUGAUGCUGACUUUUGAAGUUUGACCAGCCAUUGGAUCUUGAUCUAAUGGGUUUGAGGAGCGCAUGCAUGAAGCUUAUGAUGGAGUGCAUGCAUGAAGCUUAUGAUGGACCGCAAAACACUGGAUUAUGAAUUUAUUUUUCUAUAAAUAGAGAUUCAUUUUUAUGUUUUUAAUCAUCUCUCCACAUUUCUCUUCUUCUCAAUUUCUCUGCAUCUCCCUGUAAUCUUGAUUUUCAGGUGUGUUUUAAAUAUUUUGUAUAAUUAUUUUUAUAAAUAAAUUUAGUUUUAUUUUCAAUUUUAGUUAUUUUUAUUACUUUUAAUUAUAAGUAAUUUAAUUUUAAUAAUUUUUUUUAUUUCAAUUAUGCUUAACUAAACAAUAAUAGUUAGGGUAAUGUGAAACUCUUAGUAAAUAAAUACGAUUUAAUCAAAUUCUUUUUUUAAUCUUAUAAAUUAAAUUAUUUUCUAUUUAAUUUUAUACAUAUUUUAUAUUUUGAAAUUUUGAUUUAUUGUAGAUAAACAAGGUAGUUUGGCACAAUAAAUUCUUAAUACCUUAAUAUAAGGUAUGGUAAAAAGGUAUUUUGACUUAUUGUAGACAAAUUAAAUUUUGGCACAAUAAAUACUUAAUCCAUCAUAAAAUUAAAGGGAAAAUAAUAAUAAUUUAUAUAAUUAAUCUUUUGGGCAAUAAAUCUAAAAAAAUGGCAAAAAGAAUUCUUUUAAGUCAACCGUAACUAGUUCAAUUUCAUAGUUUCAUUUAAAUUAAGUUUUUUAUAUUCAAUUUUUAUUUUUAUUUUUAGAUAAAAUAAAAUAAACAAAUUAAAUAUUUUCUCUGAUAAUUGACAUCGGACUCAUCAAGCUAUAAUAUAACAAGACACUCUUAUAAUUUAGAGUUAAAAAUUACUUUUAAGUUGUGUCAAUACGCUAAACAAUUCGUACAACAAUUUAAUCUAUUGCCUUAAUCAAAUAAAAAACAAUAAAUUCAAUAAAGUACAAUAAUAAAAGAGUAAGGGAAGAGAGAGCAAAGACAAUAAUUUUUACGUGGUUCGGCAAUCCCCGCCUACGUCCAUACCUCCAAGCCAACCAAGCUCAGGAAUUUCACUAUCCAAGCCUCCCAAGACUUCAAGUUCUUUACAAUUGACUUUCAAGGUAUCAAUAAAUCUUUACAACCAAGAGAUUAUCUCUCAAUCUUUUCACUCAAGUAUUUCUUACACUUAUACACUCACAAACUUGAUGAAAAAAUAAAGAUUACAAUAAUGAAACUCUCUUUAAGAUUGGAUGUACAAUUGACAGCUCAAUGAAAAUUUAAUCUAUGAUGAUUUUCGAAUUUGGAUGCUCAAAAUAUGUUGUUUAAACCUGUUUGUGCUUGCAAGAGUCUUAAAAUUAAAGUUUGAGUUAAGUUCUUAUAGCAAAAGUCCAAAAACUAGCCAUUAUAGGCAAAUUUCAGUAAUAAAGCAGCUAGCGCUUAAUUUAUUCGGCUCCCAGCUUUAGAACAGUAAAGUUACUGUUAAAUUUGAACUUUGCUACAGUAAUACUGCUUACAAAAUUACAUUUUUGCCCAAACUUACUGUAAUUAUACUAUGGCCUAAAACGUCAUAGAACUUUGCAAAUAUGUCUAAUUUCAGAAUUUCUAAAUAAUACUCGUUAUUCCCAAAGCUUUCUGAAAUUGUGAUAUGGCCCAAUACAUGAUAAUAUUUUUCAAAAUAAUCCUUUUCAAAAUUUAACGUAAUACUUAUAAAUUUCAAAGUUUUCAAAACUUUUUCAAUUUAAUCCAAAAUUUGAAAAUGUGAAGUUUUCCUUAGACGGCUAGCCGCUAACUCUCCGUCUACUUAUGAUAUUUACACUUAGGCCCUCAAACUGUCAUAAAUUAUAGUAUGGCUCAAAAAAUUUUAAAUGUUUGCAAAUAAGUCCAACUCUGGAAUUUAAAACAAUACUUAUUAAAAUCAAAGAUUACAAAACUUUUUCAUUUCAGUCAGCAUCUUGAAAAAUAACUAAUUUCACAAAAUACUUAGCUUAUACUUGUAAAAUUUUUGAUUUAUGAAAAAAUAAUGAUUUAUUAAACAAAAUCUUGAACUUCUCAAAUGCUAAACCAUUCAUAUAUUAAAUUAUACCAGCUUUACAAGAAUUGUCGCAGUAAUGAGUCUGUUGAGCUCUAAACUUUAUUCUUGAUUGCGCCAUUGUCCGUUGAGUGUCUUGAACUUGAUUGCUCGUGAUUCACUUCAUCGUAAAUAUUAUCCUUUAAGAACUAGUGAAAUGUGAAAUAUAAUAUUUUUCAAAUCACUUAAAACACAUGUUUGUUAUCAUAAAAUUACAUAAUAUGUAGCCCUUUAGGCUAACAAAGUCUUCAUCACCUCAAAGAAUGUAUAAACGAAGAAAUAAUUAAGUGUGGAUUCUUCAAAGUUUCGAGAAAGAUUAAUGAGAAAGACGACAAGUUCGAAUUAUAAGAUGAUUUGGUCUACAAGUUUCACCCUCCAGACUAUAUUCAAACUCAAGGAUGAGUUUCUUUUAAGUUGGAGAGAUUGAUGUAGAAUGUUAUUUUAGGGUUUAGAAUUUUUAUUAUUUUAGGAUUUUCUACUUUAAUUAGAGUCAAUUGUGGUAUAUGUUUUAGUGUUUUAUUUCCAUUAUAAUUGUGAUUUAGUUUUACUUUUUAAAUUAACCUAGGGAAAUAUAUUUAUUCUAUUAUAAGGAGAGAUGUCUCAUUCCCGUGUGUUGUUAACCUUUAGCUUUUGCUAGGGUCGCCUUUCUUUAUAAAAAUAAAAUAAAAUAAAAUAAAGAGGUCUUGUUAUUAUUUUCAUAACUUGAGAUUCAAUUAUUUAAUAAAACUGCCUUUUAUAAUUCCUCUAGAAUUAUCUAUCAAAAUCUUUCUUGUAGAGUUGUUUGGAUUACAGCAUAAUCUAAUCUCACUUCAUGCAUUAUUAAAAAUUUCAUCGAGUCAUUUGGAUUAAAAUAAGAUCUAAUCACAUUUCGAUUAGAGUGUAUGCUAAUCGCAUUAACUUGGUCCGCUACUAGAACGAUAUCUAGUGUUUUUUACCCUAAUAAUCCCACUUCUACUGCGCUCGCUUCCUCAGUCUGGUAAAAAAUUCCGUUCAAGUGAUGCCAACAUUAGCCGUACUGUUGCGUCGUAUGGUGACGGAAAUUUUACAUUCAUUUCUGGCUCUAGUUGCAAUUUUAUGUAAUUUUUGUGCGGAUGUUCGUUGCGAUUUAAAGAAUGGUUCAGUCCCUUCAAUUGAAUGUGUUUGGAAAGUCCCAUGAUGCUUCAAUGACCAUUGGAUCAUAGGCGAGUUAAUCCUCACCCUUGAUAAGUUCUUAUGGUUUUUAUAAGAUCAACAUUUUGGUCAUGACUUAUCAAGUAACGAUGUAAGUUUUUCAAUGAUAAUGAUAUCACAUAGUAAUCAUAUUCCAUUAAUCCUCCAACCACUAUUUAGUCAGUUGGCUUAGGUGAAUAAUUAUUGAUUCUUAAUGAAUCAAAUGUUUAAUUAAAAGCUUCUUAGAUCGUUAUUAAGGCUUUGGUGAUUAGCAAUGGAAAGCUUUGAGAAAACCCCUCCCCCACCCAUGGUUGAUGAUCGCUCCACCAAGAAGGCCAAGUUUAUGGCUCAAAGUGAUGUUGGUGAAACUUCUGAGCGUCUCUCCUUUCGAGACCAAUUAAUGAAGUCACAAAAGGAUACAGAGGAAGAGUUGUUUGGCAGCGACGACGAUUUAGAUUUAAAUCCGAAGGAUGUAAUUUUUAUGAAUACUGAUUCUAUGCCAUCCAUAACUUUUUCACUGAAAGUUCAUGAGCAGUUGAUCAAGCCUUGGCAGAAUACAGUUGUGGUUAAACUGUUGGGUCGCCACAUUGGAUACAGGGCUUUGUGUAACAGAUUGGAAUCGUUGUGGAAUUUGACACCGGGAUUUAACACCAUUGAUCUAGAGAAUGAUUUUUACUUGGUCCGUUUCAAGAAUGUAGGAGAUGCGGAUUAUGUUUUAACAUCUAGACCUUGGACUAUUAUGGGACAUUAUCUGACGGUACAACCAUGGUCACCUCACUUUGAUAGUUCUAAAAGAGAGAUAGAUAAAGUAGUGGCCUGGAUUCGUCUCCCGGGCAUGGCUCUGCAUUAUUACCAUAAGAAAAUACUCUGACGGCUUGGGCAAAUCAUUGGUUCGGUUAUCCGUAUCGACUAUACUACAGAAUCUGCACAGAGGGGUAAAUUCGCUCAAAUAGCAGUAGAAAUAGAUCUUAAGAGCCCUCUAAUUUCACAGUUUCAUCUGGAUGGUAAAAUACAAAGAGUGGAAUAUGAGAAUCUUCCGGUUAUUUGUUUCCACUGUGGGAAGUACGACCAUUACAAAGAAAACUAUUCAGAUAGGGAGAAUAAUGGUCCCACUGAGGACGAUGUGCCUAUCCCAGGUGGUCCGGUGGAGCAUCAGUGGAUGAGUAAGGCUAGAAACGACAGCCGAAAUGAGCCAAAAUUCGGGCCAUGGAUGGUAGUGGCUCGCAAAGGAAAGUCGAGAGUGGAGAAGGAAAGCAAUUCUAAUCAGGCAACUGACCAAGUUUUUUGGGGGCAGUAUGGGAAGGAAUCGCGAUUCAAUAUCUUAGCUAAUCUCGGGGAAGAAGAAUCAAACCAUGAGGAAAAACAGGAUGCCAUAUGGAACAGACACAUAGAGAUAGCAAUACAAUUAAUUCUAGCCCUACUUUGUCGCCAAAAAGUAAACCCACUAGAAGGACAGAUGCUCAUAAAUCAGCUAAGCCAACAGAACCGGGGCACAUGGGAACAUCUACUGGACUGCAUGCGAUAACCCAUACUAAAGAAAACACAGCUCCUCAAAGCCCUUUUCACACACAUGUCUCACGAGGUGUUACCAACCUCCAUGCAAACCAUGCAAGCCCCAAUCCUUUACUUAUGCCUGUGUACGUUCCUACUAGUUUAAACCCCCUCCAUCAUUCGGCCAUCUCUUUCUCUACUGAUUACGCCACUGCACACCUCCCUUGUGCUGAUGUCCAUCCUAAAACCUCCAAUGGCCAAAACAGUGCUGAUGGGCAUAUCACUCUGUCCGAAUUAGACGGUGACCCUCCCAAUCUCACAGGUUUAGCUGCUAACAUGGACAUGGAAGACGACACGAAUGAUAGUGAUUAUGUGGCUACAAGUGAGGAUAGGGCUGACUCUUCAGAAGGUGAUGUGUCCCUUGUUGAAGAAACGGCCAUGGACCUAACGGAAGAGGCAUCUCAGCCGCUACAGUAAGGUUCUAUUUUUCUCCAAUCUUUAUAUCAUGAAGUUACAAAUUCUUUUUUGGAAUGUACAGGGGGCGGCCUCGAAGGGUUUUCGUCGCUCUUUUAAUACCCUUAUAAAAAAUUAUGGCCCUUUCAUGGUUAUUAUAAUGGAGCCUAGAAUCAGUGGGAAGCAAGCCGAUGAUUUUAUUAAAUGUAGCGGAUUUGAGUAUUCUCAUCGUAUUGAAGCUACGGGUUUUUUUGGAGGUAUCUGGAUUCUUUGGCGGGGUUAUUUUGAUGUGGAAGUCUUAUUCAAUCAUAAGCAAUUCGUCCAUUUCAAAAUUUCAAAGAAUGAUAUUCUUGAAACUUGGAUCACAGCUGUGUAUGCGAGCCCUAAUCCUAUUUUGUGACAGCAGUUGUGGGAUCACCUUGAUUUCUUGGCUAGAACGGUUCAUGGCCCGUGGCUGGUGGGAGGCGAUUUCAAUUCCAUUCUUUGUGCUGAUGAGAAGAAAUGUGGCUCUACACAUAUUUCUGGGGUGUGUGGUCUAUUUAAGAGUUGGUUUAAUAAGAAUGGAAUGUUUGAUUUAAACUUCCAUGGUCCCCGUUUCACUUGGUCUCAUGGUUUUCUUAUGAAGAGGCUGGACAGAGCUAUGUCGAAUACAGAGUGGCUAAACAAGUAUCCAGACAAUGCAGUUUUACACUUGCCAAAAAUUGCUUCAGAUCAUAGACCUAUCUUAGUUCGGUUUAAUAAUGAUGCCAGUAGCGUUAGGGGACAAAAACCUUUCCAUUUCUUAGCUGCAUGGCUUACAGACAAUUCUUUUGAGGAGUUUGUCUCUAAUGCUUGGAUUAAUAGUUUGCCGUAUCUAAAUGCUGCUGAUAUUUUUGUAAAAAAGGCCUUGGAAUGGAAUAGAGACCAUUUUGGGAAUAUUUUUCAAAAGAAGCGACGGAUCUUAGCACGCCUGGGGGGGGAUUCAAAAGGUGUUAGAAACUAAGUCCCGACGAAGUUUGGCCAGGUUAGAGCUCAAGCUGAAGAAGGAGUUAGAGGAAAUUCUUACACAAGAGGAAAUUUUGUGGCUUCAAAAAUCUCGUAAAGAAUGGCUUCUCCAAGGGGAUAGAAAUACGGCUUAUUUUCACCAAAAAACGUUGGCCAGACGUAGAAGAAAUCGUAUCACAACUAUCCAGAAUGCUAAUGGGGAAUGGAUUGUGGAUAAUGAAAUUAUUAAGCAGCAUGCUACGGCUUUCUUCUCGACCCUUUAUAGUAGUGAGACUUUGGCUUUCCGACCAUAUCCAGUCAGGGGCUGCUUCCCUAUCCUUGAUGCAGCUCUCACUCACGGGCUCAUGGCUCCCAUCGAGGAUAAUGAAAUCCAACAGACUAUUUUUAGCAUGAAGCCACUAAAGGCACCUGGCGUGGAUGGUCUUCAUGCAAUUUUCUACCAAUCCCAAUGGCAUAUCGUUGGCCACUCCUUCUGUAAAUUUAUAAAGAAUAGUUUCAGCAGCGCCAGUAUUUUGAAGGAUAUUAACACUACGCUUCUAGUUCUCAUUCCAAAGGUUGACCAUUCGGUUAAUCUAAAAAUGUAUCGAUCGAUUAGUUUAUGCUCAGUGGCAUACAAAACCAUUUCUAAAAUUGUGGCUAACAGACUGCAAGCCCUAAUGCCGAUUCUUAUUGGUCCUCAGCAAACUAGUUUUGUGCCUGGCCGUCAUAUCACUGAUAAUAUUGUGAUUGCCCAAGAAGUUAUUCACUCCAUGCGCAAGAAAACGGGGAAGAAAGGAUUCAUGGCGAUUAAAAUGGAUCUCGAAAAGGCGUAUGAUAGACUUAACUGGGAUUUUAUUUAUGAGACGCUGCAGGAAACGGGACUGCCUAGAGAUAUGAUCCAGAUCAUUAUGGCAUGUAUUACUUCGGCUACAAUGAGAGUAUUAUGGAAUGGUGAAGCUUCUGAUGAGUUCGUUCCCUCCCGUGGUAUACGACAAGGAAACCCUCUUUCCCCGCAUAUUCUUAUUCUUGGCUGAAGCAGACAUUGAACAAGCUGGGGUGAUAAAUAUGGUCUUAAAUAAUUUUUGCCAGAGCUCGGAAGCUAAAGUUAAUAAGGCUAAAUCUCAAGUUUUCUUUUCUAAAAAUAUUUCGGCUCGGGACAUGAAAAGAAUUGGGGCUGAACUUGGUUUCUCCGUAACCAAGGACUUGGGCACGUACCUUGGGAUGCCGCUGCUGCAUACUCGUGUAUCGCAGCAUACAUAUCAGAACAUUAUUGACAAAGUGGAAAGGCGUCUGUCGAGCUGGCAUGCUUCUCUGUUGUCUUUGGCUGGCAGAAUAACCCUUACUCAGACAGUUUUACAAGCUAUCCCAGUUUACACAAUGCAAACAACUAGCCUCCCUACUGGAAUUAAUAUGAAGAUUGAUAAAGCGUGUAGGAAAUUCAUAUGGAGUGGUACCUCAAAUCAGCAGCGGAUGAGUAUGGUUAGCUGGGAUACAUUGUGCAAACCAAAAGCUUAUGGAGGCUUAGGACUUAAAGAGCUAAACGUGAUGAAUAAAGCGCUUUUAAUGAAGCUUAGUUGGGGAAUCAUCUCAGCUAAGGAUAGCUUAUGGGUUCAGGUCCUAUGUACAAAAUAUGGGGUUAAUAAUUCCAACCCCCCGCUGUCCUUGCUGACUCGCUAUGGAUCUCAUAUGUGGAAAGCUAUUGGAAGGAUUUGGAGUGAUAUGAUGUUAAGUAGGAGCUGGUCUGUUGGUGAUGGUAAAAGAAUCCGUUUUUGGUGGGAUUGUUAGGUGUAUAAGGAUAAGCCCCUUGCGAACCAGGUCACUUCUCAUAUUCCCGAUCAAAUCACUAACUUAAAUGGUUGCUGAUUGUAUGGCAGCGAAUGGGCAAUGGAACUGGGCAUUAUUUGAUCAUUUUCUCCCUCACUCGGCCAUCAUGAAGAUUGCGUCCAUACAUCCUCCCUCAGAUUUGUUAGGUCCGGAUCAAUUCUAUUGGUCGCAUUCUAAUAAAGGGAAUUUCUCAGCCUCCUCGGCUUAUAAUGUUAUCAGCUCUCUGGAUAAUUCUUUACAGGAUACUAGUUGGAAUAUGGUUUGGAAGUGGCAAGGCCCUCAGGGUGUUAAAGUUUUCAUUUGGUUAGCUCUUCAUGGCCGGUUGAAAACCAAAGCUGAAAUUGCAAGGCGCCACAUGGUGAUAAAUACUGAGUGUGAUAGAUGUGGGGCCCCGGUUGAGGAUAUCUUGCACGUUUUAAGAGAUUGCAUGGGUACGAAAGGUUUUUGGUAUCGAGUGAUUCCAGUAGCAAUGAGGCAGCAUUUUUUCCAAGCUCCUUUUAAAGAAUGGAUGAUGAAUAAUCUCCAGAAUGCAUGGCCUAUUUCUGGAGUUUGAAAUUGGGUUUGCUUUUUUGGUAUAGCGAUAUGGAGACUAUGGUUUUGAAGGAACCAAUUCUGGGUGAAUGGAUUAGCUAUGGACAGUUUAUCCAUGGUUAAUGAUGUCAAGGCUCGCACGGAGGAGGUGAUUUUAAUUCAAAGGUCUUCUUUGAGCUUGACAAAUAAAAAAGUCACCAAAUGGAUUGGUUGGUCGCCUCCGAAUUGGCCAUGGUGCAAGUUGAAUUCAGAUGGUGCAUGCAAAGUGAAUGGUGUAGCUACUGCAGGGGGCCUGAUUUGAGACCACAGUGGUCAUUGGGUUGCUGGAUUUGGGAUGAAUAUAGGGAAUUGUUCAGUGACUACGGCGGAAUUAUGGGGUCUUUACCAAGGGUUGACUCUUGCGUGGAAUAAAGGGAUCCGUUGGCUUUGUGUUGAGGUUGAUAGUCGCUGCGUUACUCAACUUGUGAAGAAUAACAUGGUGAAUCCCAAUGAGUUUUCUACCCUCAUUCGUGCUAUUCAAGAACUCAUCAGACGCAACUGGCAGGUGGAGAUUACUCAUGUUUACAGGGAGGCUAAUUUUGCUGCGGAUUAUUUGGCUACUUUAGCUUGUUCCCUCCCGCUAGGACUUCAUGUUUUGAACUCUCCUCCUAAAGGAGUGUUCCAGUUUAUGUCCCAAGAUAAUUAUGGGGUAGUCUAUCCCCGCCUUGUUAUUUCUUAGCUCUGUUAAGAGCCUCUCUUAAUCCAAAAAAAAAAAAAAGCUUCUUAGAUCAUUCAUAAUGACAUCGCAUAGUAAUCAUAGUCCAUAACUCCACAAACCAUAUCCUUUUCCUUUUCUUUUUUCUUAUUAAGAUAAAUGGAGAAUCGUGUGUGAGAUUUGAUUUUCCUCUAGUAGUUCAUAAGAUAAGAUAGCGGAAGUCCACCAGUUCAUAAAUUUGGCUAAUAUCAUAUAGAACUAACUCAAGAUGUAAUUGAGAAUUCUUAAUUUUCUAUUCUUAGUCCAUGAACUAUUCUCAACUGAGCUAUGGAAUAUUAUCAAUAAAUAAAAAGGUAUUUAUGUAUGCUAAAAGAAACAACUGUGAGAUCAAGAAAUGAAAGCAAAGAAGCAUGGAUAUACUUUUUUUCCCUUAAUUAAUGAUAUGCAAGGAGUUACGAUUUCAAUGAAAAUCACAGUUAAUUUACAAACAUCAAACUUAUUUAUGAGGAUGAAAAACUCGGUACAUAUUUUAAUAAACAGCCACAUUAUUCUUUCAAGCAAGGCUCAAUACAAUACACAAACAAAGCCUCUUAAACAUUACUGACACCAAACAUUACUAGGCUGAAUACAAUCAGACAUUACAUAAACUCAUCUUUAGCUGCUGGAACGAAAACAAGAUGAUCUGUUGGGAAGUAGUGGCAGACGGGGAUAGUUCCCGGCUUAAUACCAAGUAUCUGAAAUGAUAGAUGGUCAGGAUUCCACUGAGAGGUAUCCAGAUGACAAGCUGAAAUAGCGUCAGCUAUAUCUCCAUUGUCACCGACCAGAGAAACCCUGAAUACUUUGUUGAUGUUCUCUGUCAUAUGGCUAUGGCAGCCGUAAAUUGCAUAAGGAUAGGACAUGUAAUGACAAGCUACCAUCUUGGAAGCAGGGAUCUCUUGCACCUCUAGGAUUGUAUAAUUUUGGAAAGUAUUACUGGUAGACUUUGUGGUCACAGUUUUAAAACCUGUCUCCGAGCCAAAGAUGCUGCCAGCAAAAUCAAGCAUGGAUUCUAAAGAGGUAGCACAAGUUUUGAUUUCAUCUUUGAUGGGAUCGGUUUCACACAUCCUGAGAGUGUCUUCCAUGGCUUUGGCUUGCGGUGAGACGCGUGGGAUGGAGGUUAAUUCAAGAAUAUAAGGAAGUUGUUUCAAUGAAAAUGGAAAGGAAUCAGCUUCUUCUCUAGGCAAAAAGUGAGCAGAAUUUGAAUGAUCUUCAAUUGGAAGAUAGAGGGCCAUUUUAUUACCUACCUUUAGAUCCCUCAAGGUGAAGAAUAUCUUGACCUCGCUUGAGUUUACGUCCACAUGGGAUGAAUGAUGAGCUAUAUGCAUAUGAUGAAGUUGAACAUCCAUUUGAGGCAGAGACUCCUCUCUCAAUUCCCUGGCACCGCUUCUGUAUGCGCACUGAAAAAAGUUCAACAGUAAAUAAACAGCAUAAACUUUGAAGGGUCGUAUCAACUCAAGAAUUAAUGAACAAAUUAAAAUGAAAAACUUAUUUUGCAAAAGGAAAGUUUAACCACAGUUGAAGACUACCAGGAGGAGGAGCUGUAGAAGGAUGUUCCAAGAAGCUAAUCCCAAACCCAUCUUGCUCUGGAUAACUCGUUUGUUUUUUGGCUACUGAAUGAGGUAUAUUGUAUAACUCGAUCGAGUGUCGACAAGUUGUAAAAGAAAAAUUUUACAGAGGCUGCCUCAGUACUCAGGUGAAAUAGAUUAAAAUUCGGAACUGUGACUAUGGAAGUAAUUGUUUCUUUUUUUAUUGGGGCUAUUUUACAAUUUAAAAACACUUCGAACACUCUUUUUCCCUUUUUAAAUUGAUGGGACCCACCAAACUACUCUACAACCCGUUUUUUAAUAAUAAUUUUAAUUUCUAAAAUAUCCUUCUCGUAGUUUACUAAUAAAUACGAAAACAAUAUAACUAUAUAGAAAUAAUUUUAAACAAUUAUCACCGUUCGCCCUAUAAUGGAUUUACAUCACUAACAUUCAACAAUUUCUCUCUUAAAAAUGAUUAAAUAAAUUUAAAGUAAAAAUUACUUCGAUCUAUUUCUUUAUGAUGUCGAGUCGAAGAUCAAGAUCAAGUUUUAUGCAUGAAACCUAUUCUGGAAACAUAAUUCAUAAAAGAGAAUAUAAAAACAAAAAAUGAAUAAUUUUGAAUAAAAAAAUUCCAGUAUCCCAUUAUUUUACGCACUUCCAUCUAUUUAUCCAUUAUGUUUAGAGUUUCAAUUUCUUUUAUAGAGUUCCCUCUCCCCCAAUAAAAAAGCUCUUUUAUAACUAUUACAGUUUGACUUUUGUAGAUAAAAAUAAAAAAUAAAAAUUUGUUACUGCUCCUUGCACUAGCAGUGGAAAAGAAUGUUGUCAAAAUUAUUGUUUUUGCUAACAAAUGGUUCCAUUGGCCAGGUUGAGGAAAAGAAAAGAGAAAAAUGGGAACGAAAUCUUUGAGCGACAGUUGGUUAGCGAGAGAAAUUUCUUUCCAAGGGUACUUUUAGGCCAUGUUUGGUUUGAAAAAAGGGGAGAACAAGAAAAAAAGUGGAAUGGAGGAGAAGGAAGAAGAAAAGAGUGGAGGAGAAUAUUGAAAUUAAAUUUUAUUUUUUGCUUUGAUAUAAAAUUUGAUAAGAAAAGUAAUUAUAACUUUUUCUUUGGACAAAUUUAUCCUUCAUCUUAAAUAUUAAAUUAUCUAUAUUAGUAAUUAAAUAUAAUUUAAUAUCAAUACCAAUUUUUUUUAAUUUCAAAAAGUCCUAAAACAAUUCAUGAUUUAUUUGAACUAUAUAUAUAUAAUGGCGGUCUGGCGGAGUUCCGACAACCUUCCGAUAACGAUAGAUGGCUAUCUAGCGGAGUUCCAACGAUUGUCCGGUGGAGUUCUGGCUAUAGUCGACAGCCAUCCGGUGGUUUUCUGGCAAAGUUUCGACAACUGUCCGGCAGAGUUUCGGUGAAGCUGUGGGGAUUUACACAAAUAAUCAAAGUUAUUAUUGAGAUCUUAACUAUAAUUAUUUCUGUCGCCAUUAAUCAUAAUCAAUAAAUAUAUGGUUAAUUUUAGAUUAUUCUCUCGUUAAUUAAUUAUUUUUAAAUAAUUUUUAUACUUUCAAAAACCGCAGUUUACCCAUAUUUUUGUUAAGGCCCAAAAUAUUGAGUCCAUCUCAUUUGGGUGGCCGAAGCCCAAAGUUUAAUAAGUUUGGGCUAUUAAGUAAUUAAUAAAAACUCGAAGGGGUAAAUGAAAAUUGCCAUGCAAUUUGCCAAGGGAUAGCAAUGGAUUGGAUCUUAUCCAAGAUCCACGUGAUCCAAAUCCAAUCGGAUCGGAUUUGGAUCGGUUUAAAAUGAAUUUGGAUCGGAUUUGGAUAUCGAUGUGUGGAUCUAAGACGGAUUUGGAGCAGAUCUGGAUCUAUCUUAAUAUCUAAAUCCAUAUCCAUAUCCACUCAUCUUUUAAUUUUAUUUUAUUUUAAAAGUUUCUUAACAAUUAUGAAAUUAUAAUGAUAAUAAAUUUUAUUCAUAGCAUAUUAGUGGUAUUUACCAUGCAUUUAAACUCUUAAAACUUAAAGGUUAGUUUUGUAAAUUUAAAAGUCAGACAGCCCCAAGUAUGUACAUGCAAUAUUCAAAUUGCAAGCCAAGUAAUAUAACCUGGCAAUUUAUUUUAUUAUAUUGGCCAAAUAGUUUUUAAGGAAUAUAGUUAUUCAUAUGUAUUAGUCAAAUAUGAUCAUAAUAAAAAUAAUAAAUGACCGAUUAUAAAUUAUAUUUAAUUUAUAUGUCAUUAUCUAAUAUUGUAGGAAUGAGGGUAGGUGUGUCGUGGAUAUUAUAAUGAUGAAGGAGACAAUAGAAUAUUAAAUUGAUCUUACUUCUGCAAUUACUUUUGAAUGAUACUUUAUUAUCUUUCUUAUUUGUUGUUUUGGUGUAAAAGUAUAAGCUACAAUAUUUAUUAUAUUUUUUAGAAAAAUUAUAUAAUUUAUUUGUUAUCAAUACAUUUUAGCCUUCAAUUUUCAUUUUAAAAAAUUAUUUUUUUUUAUUACUGAAUUUUAGAAUUCAUGACGGAUCUAGAGCAGAUUUGGAUUUUAAUUUUUUUUCGAAUUUAGAGCAGAUAUACAUAUUUAUUUCUUUUUUGGAUCUGGAUAUGGAGCGAAAACUAUGGAUUCAUAACGGAUCUGGAGCAUAUACGGAUCUUCAUUUUUAUUAUGGAUUUGGAUCAGGAGCAGAGUAGAUCCAACCUAUAUCUGUCCCAUUGCCAUCCCUAAAUUUGCCUUUAAAAGCAAGCGGCCAAAAAAAAAAAAGAACGAGUGGAGAAGAAAAGGCGGCAAGAGAGAGAAAAGCUAGUGGAAGUUCCAAUUUGAGAAUAAUAAUUGUAAUCUUUGAUUGGACGAUCAGAAGUCGAUUUUAACUUUGUUUUCUCCCAAAGUUUGAGUGCAUGUUCCCAAGACAUCGCCCUCUACUGGUCUUAAUUUUUAUUUUAUCCUCUCUUUGGCUAUUAUUUGAGAUAUCCACUUGUUAGAGAGACAUUUUUUAAACUGUUACUGUAAACCAAGAAUAAUGAGAUUCUUGAUGUUAGUGGCAUUUAAUAUUAUUUAGAGAAGAAUUAGUGUUGUAAUCCCAUUAAUAUAGUGGAAGAUUUUAUCAGACUACGAUCUCAUGGUUUUUCUCGCUUUAGGUUUUUCACAUAAAUUUUUUUUGGAUGUAUUGGUUUAUUUUUCUGCCUAUUUAUUUGUGUUAUACAUCAUAUUUUUAUCGCACAAAGAGGAAAAGAGUUUUGUUUCCGCUUAAUUUACAACUGCUUGGUAGUCCCUUUCCAAACAGAGUGGUAUCAGAGCUUCAGGUUUUGUAUUUUUAUUACUCUGUGGUUGAGAUGGAGGAGUCCUCGGCAUGCACGAUUAAAUUAAAAUCAUAGAAUUAUGGUAUUUGGAAGUCUAGGAUGGAGGAUUUGUUAUAAAUGAAAGAUUUACAUGAACCCAUUGAAGGCAAAGAAUGUAACCGUUUCAUCUGGUCAAUGUUACCGUUGGGCUAAUUUUCAAAUAAACGGUUUGCCGUUUAGGGUUAACAUUUCGCCGUUAAAUUCCAGAGACCUGCAAAAUGAACAUCAGUUAUCCGUUUACAUUAAACGGUUAAGAAUUUGCAUAAAAUGACCUCUCUAGAAAUUAUCGAUUAAUCGUUUGUAAUAAACGGUUCGCCAUUUGUUUCCAGUAACCUGCAAAACAAAUUAGCCUUAUCCGGUUUUGUUAAACGGUGCCAGAUGAGUACAAUCUUCAAUUCUGGAUUUUAUCGGCUAACCGUUUAGAUAAAUGGUUCACCGUUAAAUUCCAGUAGCCUUCCCAGCUUUUUGUGUUUUUCGUUUUUCUUAAUCGGUUAGAGCUUAGGCAAAUGUUGCUCUCUGGUUUUAAUCGAUUAACCGUUUAAAAGAAAAUGGUUCACCGUUUAUUUCCAAAAUCACAUUUUAACUAGAUUUUGCAGAAAAUCAUUUUCUAAUUUGAAAGUCCAUCUUUUAUUAAUAUAAUUGGAAUUAUUAUAAGGAUUUCGUUUAUUUAAGAAAUAGCUCCAACAUUUUAUAAAAAAUCAUUUAAAGUUUGUUAUUAUCAAAAUCAAUAUUAUUAACAUAUUCAUGUUAACAAUCUCCCGCUUUUUUAUGAUGACAAAUUUUAAUCAAUAUUUUGCUCCCCUUUAAUAAAAGCUCCCCCUAAAUGUAUGGCCAAAUUAAGAAAUGUCUAAUAAAAAGAUUUUUUCUCAAGAAAACAUUUUAAAAUUCAUUUUAAAUCUCCCCAUAAUUCCAUAAUUAUCUCCCCCUUCAUCAUAAAAAAGAAAAGAGAGAAAAGAAAAUCAUAAAUCCGUUAAAGAAAGAAGUUACCCAGUUUUGGUAAGCGAAAAUUUUGGCAGAGUUUUCCCUUAAAAAGGAACAAAACCACUAAUACAAGAGGAGAUUUAAAAAACACUUCCAAAAUAUAGUAACAAUAACUCCAUCAACCAAUAUCAAAUCAGCCAAUAUCAAGUCAUCCAACAUCAAGAACAACACAAAAAUAUGUCAUCAAAAUCCAUCAAGAUCAUAUAGAGGUAGCAGUGUAUAUAAAAAUAUAAAUAGCAACACACAAACAAACAAAAUAUGAAAAUGUAUGUGCGAAAAUAGAACUCAGAAACUAUGGAGGUGGAGAAGAUGUGCUCCCAAGAUCAUAACCGAAAUAGUGGAGAAGAGUACGUUGUCCAGCGAUAAGCUCAAGCUGCUGACCAAUACUCUGCUGCUGGAAGGUCUAAAAGUCAGAACGUAACUGCUGGUGGUCACGGGAGAAAGUGUCCAAACGAUCGAUAAUCAGCUGCUGCCGCUCCGAAAUCCUAUGAACAUCAGCAACCAACUGCUGCAUAAUGUCCGAAGCAGGGGGCUGAACUGGAGCUUGAAGUGGCUUAGAAGCAGAGGGCUGCUCAGGAACAGCAGAUGGCUCAAGAGCAGGAGGCUACUUGGGAGCCAAAGGCGGCUCGGAAGAGGAGGGAAUGUCAGCAUCCAUCGCACGCUCCUCAGAGUCAGAGUCAGCUGGAGGCCGGGGGACAAAAUGGCGACGCAGAGGAUAAAGAUGAGCUCCUAAUCUAAAAUCUGGAAGCUUAUCGGGAAGAUAGACAUUAUUGAGCAUCCGAUCAUCCUCUGGAGCAAUUAAGGUAUCCCGGUUUUUGGAAUUUUUAGUCUUUAUCCACUCUCCAUUCUUCUUAGAAAAACCGAUACUAGUGUUGGCCUCUGGACCAAUCCGUCUAAUCUCCAUAUAACCGGUAUCGAGAAGAGGCACCUCAAAGUAUCGCAGUAACUUAAUAAUGAUACUGCCAUAUGGAAGCAAGCGGUGGUUAACCACGGGAGUACUCAACAUGUGCCGCACAAUAACAUAGCUGAGGUUAAUGGGACGACCUGAAAUAAGGCUAUUUAAUAGGCCAACGUCCAACCUCGUAACCUCAUCUAAGUGACCCUUCCUAGGUGUCACUAUGUGCUGUAAAAUAGUGUGAAGAAUGCGAACUUGGAGAGGUAAAAGUUGAGACCGAAAAGGUAGAUUACAAAUCUCAUUAGACAAGUCUCGACGGCGACAAAUAUUACGAACUCCAUCAACAUGACUAAAACCGUCAAAAGAAAAGGCUUUCCUAGAGGUAUAAAUUUCAUGACCCUCACUAGCGAUACCUAGAAAGCCAUUUAGAUCCUCAUCAUCAAAUUCUAUAGGCACACCGCCGACUUAAGUAACUAUCAUAUCUAGGCGAGUUGCGGAGAUUUCCAUGCUUGAAUAAAAGACUCGCACUAAAUUGGGAUAAACUCGGUCAUCAAAAUCAAUGGCAGACUCCCAAGGCUGAAGCAUAUCCCUAAUGCUUCUACCACACACAACUAAGGUACUGAAAUCAUCUGAUUCAAUAUAGAAAGAGUCAAGUACCUUUCUACCAUUGAAGCGAUCUUCGAACUGCUUGGCCAAGGAAGGCAUGGGGAAAUGAAUUCUUUCGAAUUCAGAAACUUCCCGUGGUGGUAUAGGAUUCCUUGGAGGCACAAAUUUUCUCCUGACAUUUCUUCGAAGGGGCUCAGCUAUGGUGAAGAGUAAGGAAGUUUGAAAUUUUUUAGAGAGAUAUGAAGAGAAGAAGAUGAACUGAUUAUUUGUUUACGAAUGAGUAAAGAAUAUGAUUUUGACGCUCAAUUUGGUUGAAGAAGGGCAAGAAUCAGGUUCAAAAUGAAGAAACCCGAAUGGCUGCACUAAGGGUUUGGAUUUCGGAUUUUUCAAUUUUGGGCUUAAUUUGAAGAUUUGAAUCGGUGAAAGUGUUCUAAAGGUGAUAAAAAAUGAUGCUAUAUGUUUGAUUUGGCAAGAAAAAUAAGAAAAAUUAAGGUUUGAGGGCAGAGGAAGCUUCGGCUGCGCAACAAUGCCUGAAACAGUGAAAGGGCAACUGGAGAAGGAGAAGAAAAACCUUUGAAUAGUUUUAUAUUCACGAAAACGAUAAACCGUUUAUUUAAACAGUUAAGGGGUAACUUCCAGAGGCUAAGGAAUGGGAAACGGUGAAAGGUUAAUUUCUUAAUACUAAAGAGUAACUUCAAGAGAGCUAUUUGUUUUUAAACGGUUUACCGAUUGCAUCAAACGGUAAAAUGAUUAAAAGGCAGACAUCAUAAUCUAGUUUCUAGAAUAAAACGGUACACCGUUUAUUGGAAACGGUUAGCCAUUUAUUUUAUCUAUAAUUUCGCACAUUUGAUUUAAUUUUUGGCCAGCAAAUAAUACAUUCCAAGAUCAUUUAAUUGAUCUAAAAAUGUUUUAUGAGUCAUUUUAAUAUAUAAUUCAUGAACAUAUAUUCAAGCAAUUAAUUCAUAUAAUCAAUCAAGAAUUAACAAAGCAAGCACAUCAUUUGAAUAUCAAGCUUAAGCAUUUAAAUCAUCAAAUCACCAAUAAGUCAAUCAAUUCAAUACACUCAAUAGCAUGAAUAGAGACGUUAAUGCGAAAAUUUCAUCAUACCAAAUUCAUACCGAAUCUUUGAAAAUUGUUCUUCGCCAAGAGGUUUGGUAAAAAUAUCGGCGAGUUGUUUUUCUGUAGAAAUAAACUCUAAUGCAAUAUCCCCCUUUUGAACAUGAUCUCUCAAGAAAUGAUGUCUUAUUUCUAUAUGUUUGGUUUGAGAGUGUUGAAUGAGAUUCUUUGAAAGAUUUAUAGCACUAGUAUUAUCACACUUAAUAGGAAUUUGUUCUAGGUUAAUACCAUAGUCUCUAAGUAUUUGUUUCAUCCAAAAAGCUUGUGCACAACAACUUCCUGCAGCUAUAUACUCAGCUUCGGUAGUUGAGAAUGCAACAGAAUUUUGUUUCUUGCUAAACCAUGAAACAAGUGAGUGACCUAGGAUAUGGCAAGUUCCACUAGUGCUUUUUCUAUCAACUUUAUAGCCGGCAAAAUCCGCAUCCGAAUAGCAUGUUAAAUCUAUAUGAGUUCCCCUAGGAUACCAUAGGCCAAUAUCUAUGGUUCCACUCAAAUAACGGAAAAUUCUUUUAACAGCAAGCAAAUGAGAUUCCUUGGGACAUGAUUGAAAUCUUGCGCACAAACAUACACUAAACAUGAUAUCGGGUCUACUUGCAGUUAAAUAAAGUAAAGAUCCUAUCAUAUCUCGAUACAUUUUGAUAUCUACUUCUUUGCCUUUUUCAUCUUUGUCAAGUUUAGUUGUUGUGCUCAUUGGAGUGUUUUUGGUCUUUGAGUCAUCAAUGCCGAAUCUUUUGAGUAGAUCUUUUACAUACUUGGCUUGAUUUAUGAAGAUUCCUUCCUCAUUUUGUUUUAUUUGCAACCUAAGGAAGUACUUCAACUCUCCCAUCAUACUCAUUUCAAAUUCAUUACUCAUGCAAGAUGAAAAUUCUUUAUACAACAAUUCAUUAAUAGAACCAAAAAUAAUAUCAUCAAUAUAAAUUUGAACAACAAGUAUGUAAAACCAGGGGGUUGUUUUACAUACAUUUCUUCCAUUAUAAAACCAUUCAAAAAAGCACUUUUCACAUUCAUUUGAAAUAAAAUGAAAUCUUUAUGACAUGCAAAUGCCAACAACAUUCUAAUUGAUUCUAGUCUAGCUACGGGUGCAAAUGUUUCAUCAAAAUCAAUUCCUUCUUCUUGGUAGUAACCUUGAGCCACUAAUUUAACUUUAUUUCUUACAACCACACCAGAUUCAUCCAUCUUAUUUCUAAAUAUCCAUUUAGUACUUAUGACGGAUUGAUGUUCCGGUUUAGGAACUAAUUCCCACACAUUGUUUCUUUCAAAUUGAUUUAACUCCUCUUGCAUUGUCAUAAUCCAAGAUUCAUCAUUUUCCGCAUCCACAAAGGUUUUGGGUUCAAUUUGAAAAAUAAAUGCAUUAUGCUCACAAGUAUUUCUAAGUGAUGAUCUAAUUGUAACACCUUCUGAGAGAUCUCCUAAAAUUAUAUCCUUAGGGUGAGAAGAAACAUACUUCCACUUCUUGGGGAGUGCUUGAGAAGUACUUUCAUGUUGCUCCAUAUUUGUUUGCUUUUCUUGUUCAUCCUCUUGAUUUCUUUGUAGUGCAUUCUCUUGUUUAUCCUUUGAUGAUUCUUCUUGUAACUCUCCAUCUGCAUCAUCAUAAUUUAUUCAUUUCUCCACAGAGGAGGGGUUAGACUCAUCAAAUGUAACAUGCAUAGAUUCUUCUACAACUAGUGUAUUUUUGUUAUAAACUCUAUAAGCUUUGCUUGAGUUUGAAUAUCCAAGAAAAAUACCAACAUUAGAUUUUGGAUCAAAUUUGCCAAGAUUGUCUUUUGUGUUCAAAAUAAAACAUUUGCAUCCAAAAAUUUUGAAAUAACCAAUAUUGGGUUUUCUAUGUUUCCAAAGCUCAUAUGGAGUUUUGUUAAGGUUAGGUCUAAUCAACACACGAUUUAAAACAUAACAAGCGGUGUUGACGGCCUCGGCCCAAAAAUACUUAGGCAAUGAAUUUUCAUUCAACAUAGUCCUAGCCAUUUCUUGAAUGGAUCUAUUCUUUCUCUCAACAACUCCAUUUUGUUGAGGAGUUCUAGGUGAUGAAAAUUGAUGCUCAAUGCCAAAAGCAUUACAAAAAAUCUCAAAUGCAUGAUUUUCAAACUCUCCUCAAUGAUCACUCAUAAUGCAUGCAAUACCAUACCCUUUUUCAUUUUGUAUUUUCUUACAAAGCACUUUAAAGACAUCAAGAGCAUCAUCCUUAUUGGCUAAGAAUAAUACCCAUGUAUAUCUAGAAUAAUCAUCCACUAUCACAAAUGCAUAAUAUUUGCCAUUUAGACUAACAUAUCUAGAAGACCCAAAUAAAUCUAUGUGAAGAAAUUGAAGUGGUUUUGAAGUAAAAAUAUGAUUUUUAUUUUUGAAAGAUGUUUUGAUUUGUUUUCCAAAUUGACAAGCUUCACAAAUCUUAUCUUUUUGAAAACCAAUUUUUGGAAGACCUUUAACUAAAUUAUUUUUCGAAAUUUUCGAAAUCAAAUCCAUACUUGCAUGUCCUAACCUUCUAUGCCAUAACCAACUAUCAUCAUGCAAUGCGGAAAAGCAUUUAUCAAGAGUAGAUGCACAUUCUAUGUCAAUGAUAUAAACAUUACCACAUCUAUUCCCAACAAAUAAGAUCUUGCCAUCACAUGAAUUCUCAAUAACACAACUAAAUUUAUCAAAGAUAACUUUAUAACCUUUGUCACAUAAUUGACUAAUACUAAUUAAGUUGUGUUUCAAGUUCUCAACCAAACAUACAUUCUCAAUUAGAGUUGAGGAAACUUUACCAACAUUUCAAAUUCCAAGAAUUUUUCCUUUUGAGUUGUCUCCAAAAGACACGUCUCCCCCAUUUUCAAUUUUGGUGAAACUUGAGAACCAUGCAUAGUUUCCGGUCAUGUGCCUCGAACAACCACUGUCCAAGUACCAUUUAUUUUUCUUCUUCUUCAAGCCCUACAAAGAAAAUCUCAAGUUUUAGGUACCCAAAACUUUUUGGGUCCUUGAGAGUUAGUAGUGAUUCCUUUUGGAACCCAAAUGCAUUUUAUACCAUAAUAUGCAUUUCUUUUUACUGGACAUCUAUUUUUCAUAUGACCAUCUUGAUUACAAAAAUGACAUACAAUUUGAUUGUUACUAGAUGUACUCUUCACAAAGUAGUUUUUAUAAUAUUUUUGUUUCAAGUUUGGCUUAUAACCAAUACCUCAUUUGUCAAAUACACAUUUUUGUGAAUUAAGCAUGUUAUCCAACAUCUUUUGCCCAUUUGUAAAUUUCAAAACAAUCUCAUUCAACUCAUUGCUCUUUUUUUUAAACGUUUCGUUUUCAUUUUUCAAAUCAUCUAUGUGUGAUUCUAAAUGCUCAUGUGAGAUGUUAGGUUUCUCAUUUGAUAAUGUAAUUUCAUCAUGCAAUGUUUUAUUCUCUACUUCUAGGCAUGUAAUUUUUGCAUUUGGAGAUUCAUUUUCAUUUUUAAGCUUUGUCAUUUCCUUUUUAAGACAUACAUUCUUUUUACCAAUCUUCAUCAACUCAUUAUACAAUUCUUUAAAGGCAUCAUACAAUUCAUCAUAGGUGGGAUCACUUACCUCAUUGAGAUCAUCAUCCUCUUCUAUUGACAUAAGCGCUAGGUUUAAUACUUCUUGCGAUCCUUCUUCAUCACUUGAAUCUUCCUCGCUAUCAUGCCAAGUUGUAACCAUGGCUUUCUUCUUAAGUUUGUUGAUAAGUGGGCACUUCGAUCUUAUAUGGCCAGGCUUCUUGCAUUCAUAGCAUGUGAUUACCUUUUUCUUCUCCCUUUGGUUCUUGAAGUUUCUGAAAUUUCUUUGCUCUCCGGUUUUCUUAAAGAAUUUUCUGAACCUCCUUGCUAGCAUGGCCAACUCUUCAUCAUCCGGUUCACUCUCCCCACCACUCUCAUAUUUUGAAACUUUGAGAGCAAUGCUUUUCUUCUUCUCCUCAUGCCCUUUUUCUGCUGCCAAAUCUUCUUUAUAUGAAAUGAGAGAACCAAUUAAAUCAUCAAGAGGUAAAGUAUUUAAAUCUUUGGCCUCUUCAAUAGCGGUUAUUUUGGGUCUCCAUUCUUUUGAAAGUGACCUAAUGAUUUUCUUAACUUUCUCGCUAUUUGAGAAAGUCUUUCCUAGGGCUCCUAGGGUGUUUACUAUGUCCGUAAAUCUCGUAUACAUAGAGUAUACACUCUCAUUUUAUUCCAUUUGGAACAACUCAUAUUGUCUAGUGUACCUACUAAUUUUCGACUCUUUCACUUGAUUUGUGCCUUCAUAAACUACUUCAAGUUUGUGCCAAAUUUCAUUGACACUUUCACAACUAGAUACUCGAUAAAAUUAUUUCUUAUCAAGUGCACAAAAUAAAGCAUUCAUAGCUUUGGAAUUUAGAGAAGCUUUUCUCUUUUCCAAUUCAUCCCAUUCCCUUGAAGGUUUUGGAAUAUCUUCCCCGACUUCAUUUUUAGUUAGGGGCAAAAACGGACCAUCACAUACAACUUCCCAAAUUUCAUAAUCCAGUACUUGUAAAUAAAUUCUCAUCUUAGUUUUCCAAUAUGGGUAGUCAUUUUCGUCAAAGAACGGUGGUCUAGUUGUGGACUGUCAUUCCCUAAAAGUUGAGUCAUUUUGGGUUGCCAUGGAUCUUUUACUCUAGACGGUUAAUUCCUAAUAAGAGAACCAAGCUCUGAUACCAAAUGAAAUACAAGUGUGCAACCCAAGAGGGGGGGUGAAUUGAGAUUCUAAAAAUUAUUUGAUUCUAAAACAAAUUAUCAAGCAAAUCUAAGAUGAAUUUAAUGGAAUAACAAUUAAAUCAAUUACAAUAUAAAAAGAUAAAGGAAGAGAGAUUCAAACACGAAGAUUUUUACGUAGUUCGGCCAACCUCGCCUACGUCCAGACCUCCAAGCUUUCCGGGCUUAAAAAUUUCACUAAGUAAGCCUCCAAGGCUUCAAAUGCAUACACUUGACUUCCAAGGUGUCAAUGAGCCUUUACAACAAGAGAUUAUCCCCAAUCUCUUAACCCAAGUGUAUUUCAACACUUACAAUCACUCAAAGUAAAAGAUUAAAAAUUAUUUUUCUCUCACACAAUAUUUAAAAUUACAAAUCAAUGCCCAAUGUGUGAAUAGAUGAAGCAAGAAUGUGUUUUAAAGCUCUAUGAAGAUUGUAUUCUCAAUUAUAAGCUCAAUGGUCGUGUUAUGAUCAAUCUUGUUUGAUUUUGAAUGAGUUUAUUUAUAAUUGGAGAUAAAAAAAACUAGUCAUUAUAGAUUGUCUGCUCGAAAACGGUUCGCCGUUAGACAUUAACGGUUAACCGUUUCAUUUGGUCAAUGUUACCAUUGGACUAAUUUUCAAAUAAACGGUUUGCCGUUUAGGGUUAACCUUUCGCCGUUAAAUUCCAGAGACCUGCAAGAUGAACAUCAGUUAUCUGUUUACAUUAAACGGUUAAGGAUUUGCAUGAAAUGACCUCUCUGGAAAUUAUCGAUUAACCGUUUAUAAUAAACGGUUCGCUGUAUGUUUCCAGUAACCUGCAAAACAAAUUAGCUUUAUCUGGUUUUAUUAAACGGUGCCAGAUGAGUACAAUCUUCAAUUUUGGAUUUUAUCGAUUAACCGUUUAGAUAAACGGUUCACAGUUAAAUUCCAGUAGCCUUCCCAGCUUUUUGUGUUUUCCGUUUUUCUUAAUAGGUUAGAACUUAGGCAAAUGUUGCUCUCUGGUUUUUAUCGGUUCACCGUUUAUUUCCAGAAUCACAUUUUAAACCAGAUUUUGCAGAGAAUCAUUUUCUAAUUUGAAAGUCCAUCUUUUAUGAAUAUAAUUGGAAUGAUUAUAAGGCUUUUGUUUAUUUAAGAAAUAGCUCCAACAUUUUAUAAAAAACCAUUUAAAAUUUAUUAUCAUCAAAAUCAAUAUUAUUAACAUAUUCAUGUUAACACUUGAGAGUGUUUGAUUGCAGAGCAUAUAUUCACAUCCCUAAAGAUGAGAGAUCGAAGCUUUAUGAUAAAGUCAAGGAAUGCAUUUUCUUAGGCUAUAUGCAUGAAGAAUUUGAGUACAGAUUAUGGGAUCCAGUGACAAGAAAAUUUAUCAGAAAUAGAGAUGUGUUUUUAGAAGAUCAUUUAGUUGGUGAUGCAGAGAAGAUUAAUGAGUCUCAAUCAUCUUCAGAGAUUCCUAUUAUUCUAACUUCAGUUUCGCCACCUGUAAUUCAUGAUGAUCAUAGGGGAGCUGAAAAGAAUAAUAAUAAUGGUCCAGCAGAACCAAUUGAGCAAGCACCUUUAGAACUACCAACACCACCAGUUGAGCUAGAAUUAAGGAGAUCCACCAGAGAACGACGACCUUCCACUAGAUAUCCUCCACAUGAAUAUGUGAUGCUUACAGAUGAAGGGGAGCCAAAAUGUUUUGAAGAAGCGAUGUCUCACUAGCAUAAAAGUGAGUGGGUUAAAGUCAUGCAAGAGGAGAUGAAAUCUUUGAAUGAGAACUACACUUAUGACUUAGUAAAGCUUCCUAAGGGAAAAAUGGCACUGAAUAACAAAUGGGUUUAUAGGUUGAAGACUAAAAAUAACUCACAACAAUGGUACAAGGCUAAAUUGGUUGUGAAAGGUUUUGGUCAGAAGAAAUGUGUGAUUUUGAAGAAAUAUUUUCUCUUGUGGUGAAGAUGUCUUUUAUCCGAGUUGUUCUAGGAUUAGCAGCUAGCUUGAAUUUGGAGAUUGAACAGCUUGAUGUAAAGACAACUUUCUUGCAUGGUAAUUUCGGGGAGGAAAUAUACACGGAGGAACCUGAAGGAUUCAAUGUUAAAGGCAAAGAAGAACUUGUAUGCAAGUUGAAGAAAAGUUUGUAUGGACUGAAACAUGUACCAAGACAGUGGUACAAAAAGUUUGAUUCUUUCAUGGAGAAUCAUGAUUUCAGCAAGAUUAUAUGCGACUAUUGUGUUUUUGUGAAAAAGUUUGGUGAUAAUGAUUUCAUCAUUCUUUUGCUUUAUGUUGAUGAUAUGUUGAUUGUUGGGUAGGAUGUUAGUAGGAUUGAUAAUUUGAAGAGAGAGCUUAGCAAGUCUUUUGCAAAUAAAAGACUUGGGACAUGCGAAACAGAUUCUUGGCAUGAAAAUUUCUCGUGAAAGAAAAGCUGGGAAGUUAUUGUUAUCUCAAGAAGCAUAUGUUGAAAGGGUUUUUGAAAUAUUUAACAUGAGCAAGGCAAAAUCUAUUUGUUCUCCACUUGUAGGCCAUUUCAAGCUUAGUUCUGAGCGUUGUCCUACAAGUGAGAAAGAGAAGCAAGAGAUGAAAUGAGUUUCUGGUUUGUACAAGACCAGAUAUUGCUCAUGUAGUUGGUAUAGUUAGUCGGUUUCUCUCCAAUCCGGGUAAAGAACACUAUACAACAGUGAAGUAGAUUCUCAGAUAUCUCAGAGGCACUUCCAAGGCAUGUUUAUGUUUUGAUGGUAACAAACAUGUGUUACAAGUGUACACAAAUGCAGAUAUGACGAGAGAUGUUAAUUCUAGAAAAUUCCUAUCAGGAGAUUUGAUCACCUUUGCAAGGGGAGAAGUCUCAUGGCAGUCUAGACUUCAACAGUGUGUUGCAUUGUCUACCACUAAAGCAGAGUAUAUUGCAAUCACUGAAGGUUGCAAAGAAACUUUGUGGAUGAAGAAUUUCCUACAAGAGUUGGGUGUAAAGUAAGACAAUUUUAUUGUGUACUGCGACAGUUAAAGGGCCAUUCACUUGGUAAAAAAUUCGAUAUACCAUUCGAAAUCCAAGCAUAUUGAUGUGAGGUAUCAUUGGAUAUGAGACAUGCUUAAGAAGAAACAGUUGCAGGUUAAGAAGAUACACAAAAUGGAAAAUGGGUCAAAUAUAAUGACAAAGCCAUUACCUAAAAGAACCUGAAAAGUUGUAUGUAGAAAGCAGGCUUGGUGAUGCCCCCUACAUGAUCUGGAGGGGGAGAUUUAUUGGGUCCAUCUCAUUUGGGUGGCCCAAACAUAAAGUUUAAUAAAUUUAGGUAAUUAAAUAAUUAAUAAAAACUCAAAGGGAGUCAAUGAAAAUUGCCAUGAAAUUUGCCUUUAAAACCGAGCGGCAGCACAUGUUUUCUUAUUUAAAAAAAAAAAGAACGAGUGGAGAAGAAAAAGCGGCAAGAGAGAGAGAGAAAAGCCCGUGGAAGUUUUAAUUUGAGAAUAAUAAUUAUAAUAUUUUAUUGGACGAUUAGAAGGUAAUUUUAACUUCGUUAUCUCUUAAAUUUUGAGGAUUUGUUCCUGACAUCGCCCUCUAUAAUUUUGGUAGCCUUGCUUUUUAUUUUUUUUUCUUUUUGGUUAUUAUUUGAGAUAUACACUUGUUAAAAAAAUAAUUAUUAAAUUAUUACUAUAAGCCAAGAAUAGUAAAAAUUUUUAUGUUGUUAGCCUCUAAUAUUAUAUAGAGAAGAAUUUGUACUAUAAUCUCAUUAAUAUAGUUGAAGAGGGUGGGGUUAUUUACACUCGGAAUAAAUUUUCUAUUAAACACCUAUUUAUUCAAGGCACCAAUUUCAUAAAUUUUAAAAUUUUGACUUUUUAACUCGACUUUGAACAUACAAAAAUUAUCCUCAAAUUAAAUCCCUGCCAGUAUACAUUUCUUUUUUUCAUUCUAUAUUCAUAAAAAUAAAAUUAGUUCAAGUGAUUGCUAAGCUUGUUGUUAUAAGAAUAAACGCAGAUUUUUUCUUUUUAGAAAAUAGCUAAACAUAUUUAAAUGAAUGAAUUCGUAUUUUUUUUCAGCUUAUUCCAUGUAAAUACAUAGAGCUAUUUAGUCGAAGAUUAUUUUUUUUUUUCAAUAAUGUACCCUCAUUAAUGCAUUGGCUCAAAUAUAAAGGUUGACAAUCAUAGAGCAAAAGAAAACAUUAAUAAAAUAAAACUUCAUUGAGGGUAUAAAUUUGAGUCCCAGCAAGAUAUUUCUAUUCCUAUAAAUAUUAAGGGGAAGAGUAGAGAUUUUAGACUUUACAGUAAAUUGUUUAUUAUAAAUAUCGAUAGAUUAUAUUUCUCAUCGACCAUUAUUUUAAGACUAUAUUUUAAGAGCCGUAUAAUUUCCCACGUUACCAUUGUAAUCUGGGUCGGCGGAGCUUUUAGCCUUGUUAGUCGUGCGUAUUUUGGACUUAAGAUUAAAGAUUAAAGAAAGAAAAAUCUAAGCAAAUUUUCAAGAAACCGUGUACCACAAGACCAAAACACAAAAAAUUGAGCCGCUGAUUGCACAAGGCAUCAAAUCCAGUGGUCUAUAUUUUUUUAGAAUAUUUUAUUACAUGCGACCUAUCAACAGAUCUAAUGCACGGUAGUCUUAGCCAUAAUAAUUAAUUCUAAUAUUCUAAGGCAGAUAAGAGUUUGACCAUUUGAUGUCUGAGGUGGAACGGAUAAUGCACUAUUCAACUGUCUGUAUUUUUGGAUAAUGUAACUCAAUAAUGUCCCACGGGAUUGAUAAAACUUUCUGUUUUUCCUUUUUUUUUUCUUUUUUUUUUCCAUGUUUUAACACCGUGUGAAUCUCUGCUGUAAGCCAAUAACGUGACGAUUUUAGACGAUAAAGUUUACAAUGACCUAGACUUUUGCCCUACCCUUCGUUUUUUUGGGAAACGGAAAAGUUCUUUCGUUUUCUUCCAUAAUUGAUAAUAAUGCACCUUAACGUCAUAAAAUAUUGCAAUUGAUUGAAAAAUAGUAAAAAGAAUAUGUUAACACUAUAUAAUAUUAUAAUUAAUUGAAAAAUAUGUUAAUACUACAUAAUUUUAUAUUUUUUCUGUUGCUGUUAAUCAUAAUGAAUAAAUAUAGGGUUAAUUUUGGAUCCUUUCUAGUAAGUUAAUUAUCAUUAAAUAAUUUCUUAUUCUCAAAAAUUUUAAUUUACUCUUAUUUUUAUUGAGAAGAUAAAAAAAUAAUUCAACAACUGAUCUCUAUUUUUUCUUAUUUUUGAAAAAAAAUAAAAUAAUUUAAGAUUAAGAUAAAAACAUAAUUUAAAUAUAAUUAAUUCACAAGUGGAGAUAAUUAUUAUUCUCUAUAUUUUUAUAAGCAACAAAGAGAUAUAAAAUGAGAAAGUCCAGACAACUCUUCAUAUCUCUUAAAAUAAUUCCACCCAGUUUACAAUAAUUUACAUGGUCGGUUAUAUAAGUGGUGAUGUUUUUGUCAAUCUUUAUGACUUUGAGGACCAAAUAAGUGGGUGGAAUUAUUUCAAGAGAUGUUGAGAGUUGUUUGGACUUUCUCUUUUCAUGUCGAGAGUUACUUUAUUCUAGCUAUAAUUAUUGUCCUUGUUGCCUAUAAAAGUUUUUGGGAUCCUUAAUAAGCUUGUAACUUUUCGUUUAUUAGUUAGUUCCUUAAACUUGUGGUAUAGAAUGAAUUGCUUGUGCACUAAUGAAAAAGCUUAGUUCAUAGUAAACCUGUGACAGUACCUUUAUUACUUGAAACAAUAGCAAAUAUACUUGAAAAAAAAUAGUAUUUUUUAUAACUUGUGACCUAAAAACUAAUAACUAAAAAAAAAAGUCAUACAUACUAAGAAAGUUGUGAUUCCAACAAAAGCUUACAUGCCUGCAAAAAAUGAAAUUUUUAACAAACUUGUGAUGUAAAAUCAUCCACUUGGAACAUUGCGUAGUGGAAGAGUUGAGACUGCAACCGAGUAAUUAUUUAAUUAUCAAAAAGUAAUGGCCACUUGUCAAUUGAUUUAUGAUUGCAUGGCAAAUCUAAGCAAAGCAUAUAUGCACCGGUUCCAUCAAAGGAAGAGCAAUUUACUUCAAUCUUAUAAUAAUUUAUAUGGUGGGUCAUAUAAGUUGUAAUGUUUUCUUUCUUGUUGUCCAUCUUAUGAUUUUGAGGAUUUAAUAAAGGGGUGGAAUAAUUUUAAGAGAUAUUGACAGUUGUUUGGAGUUUCUCUUUUUAUGUCGAGAGUUUCUUUUUUCUAAGAAUUAUUAUUGUCCCUGUUGCUUAUAAAAGUUUUUAGGAUCCUUAACAAACUUGCAACCUUUAUUACUUGAAACAGUAGCAAGUAUACUUGAAAACAAAUAGUGUUUUUUAUAACUUGUGACACAAAAAACUAAUAACUAGAAGAAAAAAAAUAGCAUACAUACUAAGAAAGUUGUGAUUGAAACAAAAGCUUACAUACUUUAAAAAAAAGGGAAUUUUGUACAAACUUCUUACUUAAAAUCAUCAACUUGAAACAUAGCGUAGUGGAAGAGUUGAGACUACAACUGAGUAAUCAUUUAGUUAUCGAAAAGUAAUGACAACUUGUCAAUUGAUUUAUGGCUACAUGACAAAUCUAAGUAAAGCAUAUAUGCAUCGGUUCCAUCAAAGGUAGAGCCAUUUACUUCAAUCUUACAAUAAUUUACAUGGUAGAUGAUAUAAGUUGUAAUGUUUUUUUUCUGUUGUCCAUCUUAUGAUUUUGAGGACCUAAUAAGUGGUUGGAAUUAUUUAAAGAGAUUUUGAGAGUUUUUUUUUUAAAGUAAGGGGGUGGGCAAAGUCUAAAUAGGUUUUUAUUUUUUUCUCCCUUACUAUCCCCAAGACUUAAACUCAGGCAUCAACUACUACAAGUUUGAUGCUGUUACCAACCCGAUCACUCCCUUGGGGGCUAAGAAAUUUUUUAGAGUUGUUUGGACUGUCUUUUUUCAUGUUGAGAGUUGCUUUAUGAUAAGAAUAAUUAUUGUCCUUGUUUCUUAUAAAAGUUUUUGGGAUCCUUAAUAAACUUAUGACAUUUUGUUUAUUAGUUAGUUCCUUGUAACAUAGAAUGAAUUGCUUCUGCACUAAUGAAAAAGCUUAGCUCAUAAUAAACUUGUGACAUUACCUUUAUUACUUGAAACAGUAGCAAAUAUACUUGAAAAAAAUAAUAUUUUUUAUGACUUGUGACCUAAAAAACUAAUAAUUAAAAAAAAAAGGCACACAUACUAAGAAAGUUGUGAUUCCAACAAAAGCUAGCGCAUCUGAAAAAAAAAAUGAAAUUUUGUACAAACUUGUGACUUUUUUUUUUUUAUUACAUGAGACUAUUGCUCAAACUAAAACUCAUAUUACAUGGUACAAUAUCUGAUAUUUACAAAUCAGACUAUUAUUGGGACCAACUUACAUCAAUGCUUAUGGAGCUCUACCUAGAUUUUAACCCUCACAAAUAUUCGAGGGAUGUCUACUCCAUUCACACUUAGGUAAGAGAGACGAUUAUCUUCACUCAAUUAUACAAUAUAAUUAAGAAAGGAAAUACCUCCAUAUUGCGCUUGUGGGGGUUUGAACUACUACCCUCCAAAUUGGAGGGCAGCAGCCCUAACCACUCGGGUAGGGAUGGCAAUGGGCACCGCCCGCAGUGGGUUUGUCAUUACCAAAUUCAAACCCACACAAAUUUUAAAUUACUAAACUCACCCGUAACCCGCAUCAGAUUUUAAUUUUUUUUAAGAAAACCCACCUGUUGCGGGUCUUGAUAAUUAUCAAACCCGCAAUGGUAUCCAGCGAAUUUUUUGCGGGUUUGUACAUUUAAAAUCACAAAUGUUCAAUAUAUAAAUUUACAAUAAUAACCUCAAAUUCCACAUAACAUACUCAAUUUAAAAUUUAACCAAUGUAAAUAAAAAAAAUUAAAAUUUCAACAUCAAUCCAAUAUAAAUUCUCAAAUUUAAGUAUAAAAUAUACAAAUUCAUUAAAAAAAACCACAAACUAGUAUAUAAACAUAACAAUUACAUUUCAUAUUAUCGUUCAACACAAGCUCCAAGAGAAGAUUUCAUUUCAUUCACCAUCAUUAGCACCCAUCCAACAUGAUGCCUACAAUAAUGAUUAAGAUUAAUAUUUUUCAAAGAAUAAUAUUAGAAAAUCUGAAAAAAAUUAUAAUAAUGAAAUAAUUCAUGCAUUAAGUUAAAGAAAAAUAGUCCGUACAAAAACACUUUGAUUAUUUGGCACUUUUCAAGUAAAUAUUUCAAAAAACAUUGCGGGUUUAGCGGAUAUCCAUGCAAGUAUCUAUCGGAUAUUUAGUUAAUACCAAACUCAUCCGCAUCCAAGUGCGGAUUCCAAUUUAUAAUACCAAACCCACCCAUAACCCGCAAAAUUAUCCACAACGGGUGGGUUUUGGCGGAUUUGUGGGUUUGUUGGUACAAUUGUCAUCCCUACACUCAGCCAAAGGCCGAGUGGCAUGUACAAACUUGUGACUUAAAAUCAUCAACUUGGAACAUAGCGUAGUGGAAGAGUUGAGACUUCAACGAGGUAAUUGUUUAGUUAUCCAAAGGUAAUAACCACUUCUCAAUUGAUUCAUGGCUGCAUGGAAAAUCUAAGUAAAGCAUAUAUGCACCGAUUCCAUCAAAGGCAAAGCUGUUUACUUCAAUCUUACAAUAAUUUACAUGGUGGGUCAUAUAAGUUGUAACGUGUAACGUUUUGUUUCUACUGUCCAUCUUUAUGAUCUUGAGGACUUAAUAAGUGGGUGGAAUUAUUUUAAGAGAUGUUGAGAGUUGUUUGGACUUUCUCUUUUCAUGUCGAGAGUUCCUUUACUCUAGGUAUAAUUAUUGUCCUUGUUGCUUAUAGAAGUUUUUGCGAUCCUUAAUAAACUUGUGACUUUUAGUUUAUUAAUUAGUUCUUUAAACUUGUGACAUAGAAUGAAUUUCUUGCGCAUUAAUAAAAAAGCUUAGCUCAUAGUAAACUUGUGACAUUACCUUUAUUACUUGAAACAUUAGCAAAUAUACUUGAAAAAAAAUAGUAUUUUUUAUAACUUGUGACCUAAUAAACUAAUAACUAUAAAAAAAAAAAAAUUAGCAUACAUACUAAGAAAGUGUGAUUCUAACAAAAGUUUACGUACUUGAAAAGAAUGGAAUUUUGUACAAACUUGUGGCUUAAAAUCACCACCUUGGAGCAUAGCGUAAUGGAAGAGUUGAGACUUCAGCUAAGUAAUCGUUUAGUUAUCAAAAAAUAAUGACCACUUGUCAAUUGAUUUAUGACUACAUGGCAAAUCUAAAUAAAACAUAUAUGCACCAGUUCCAUCGAAGGCAGAGCCGUUUACUCAAUCUUACAAUAUUUUACAUGGUGAGUCAUAUAAGUUGUGAUGUGUAACGUUUUGUUUCUGUUGUCCAUCUUUAUGAUCUUAAAGACUUGGUAAGUGGGUGGAAUUAUUUCUAAGAGAUGUUGAGAGUUGUUUGGACUUUCUCUUUUCAUGUCGAGAGUUACUUUAUUCUAGCUAUAAUUAUUGUCCUUGUUGCCUAUAAAAGUUUUUGGGAUCCUUAAUAAACUGGUAACUUUUCCUUUAUUAGUUAGUUCCUUAAACUCAGUGACAUAGAAUGAAUUGCUUGUGCACUAAUGAAAAAGCUUAGUUCAUAGUAAACUUGUGACAUUACCUUUAUUACUUGAAAUAAUAGCAAAUAUACUUGAAAAAGAUAGUAAUUUUUAUAACUUGUGACCUAAAAAACCAAUAACUAGAAAAAAAAAAAUGGCAUACAAUCCAAGAAAGUUGUGAUUCCAACAAAAGCUAACGUACUUGAAAAAAAAUAGAAUUUUGUAUAAACUUGUGACUUGAAAUCAUCAACUUAGAACAUAGUGUAGUGGAAGCGUUGAACUUUAAAAAAAUAGAAUUUUGUAUGAACUUGUGACUUGAAAUCAUCAACUUAGAACAUAGUAUAGUAGAAGAGUUGAGACUUCAACCAAGUAAUAGUUUAGUUAUCGAAAAGUAAUGACCACUUGUCAUUGAUUUAUAGCUGCAUAGCAAAACUAAGUAAAUCAUAUAUGCACCAAUCCCAUCAAAAGCAGAGUUGUUUACUUUAAUCUUACAAUAAUUUACGUGGUGGGUCAUAUAAGUUGUAUGUUUUGUUUCUGCUGUCCAUUUUUAUGCCUUUGAGGACUUAAUAAGUGGGUGAAAUUAGUUCUAGAGAUGUUGAGAGUUAUUGGACUUUCUCUUUUCAUGUCGAGAGUUGCUUUACUCUAGGAAUAAUUAUUGUCUCUAUUCCUUAUAAAAGAAAAGGGAAUAAUUAUUGUCUCCACUUCUGAAUUGAUUAUAUUUAAAUGAUUUUUUUAAUUUUAAUCUUAAAUUACUUUAUUUUUAUUCAAAAAAUAAGAAAAAAUAAAGGUAGGUUGAUGAAUUAAUUUUUUAUGUUCUCAAUAAAAAUAAGAGUAAAUUAAGAUUUUUAAAAAUAAGAAACUAUUUAAAAAUAAUCAAUUCAUGAUAAGUGACAGCAAAAGAAAUAAUCAUAAAAUUAUAUAGUAUUUAACAUAUUUUUUCAAUUAAUUAUAAUAUUAUAUAGUGCUAACCUAUUCUUUUAUUAUUUUUUCAAUUAAUUGUAAUAUUAUAUGAUGUUAGUAUGCAUUAUUAUCAAGGCAAUGGUUUUGUUAGAGAUACUCUCCUGUGGCGUACUUCUUCAUAAGUACACAAUUAAAUAAUAUAGAAUAAAAACCACGAUAUAAUUUUAACCGGACCGUAUUAUCAAUUAUGAAAGAAAACAAAAGAACCUUUCCUAUUUUCCAAAAUCGAAGGGAUAAGGCAAAAAUCUAGUCCUUGUAGACUUUGCGGUCUAAAAUCAUCACGUUAUUUGCUUACAGCAAAGACUCAGAUGGUCUCAAAGAAGUAAAAACACAAAACAGAAUUUUCUACCAUGCAUUAUGUUAGGUCGCGUGUAAUAAAAUAUUUUAAAAAGAUACAGACCGCUGGAUUUGAUGCCUCAUACAAUCAGCGGCUUGAAGUUGUCUUGAAAUAUAAUUGGGAGUUUGCGGGCAACCGAUAGCAACAAUAUACCUAAAAAAACGAGAAAGUCAAUGUACUGCUCUUAGAAAUUGGUGACUAUUGUUUCUCUUUCUUUUUCGGGUCUGCCUCAAUGGAACCGAUGCAUAUACUUAGAUUUGACGUGCAGCCAUAAAUCAAUUAAUACGUGGUCAUUACUUUUUGAUAAACGAUUAUUCGGUUAAAGUCUCAUCUCUUCUGCUACUUUAUCUAAGCACCUUCACUAAUAUUUGAAAUAUAUCAGUUUUACUCACAUUUCAUAAAAAAAUUAUUUAUCCAUAAUUUCUUUCAGGAUUCAAAAGCAGCUCUAACCAUUUGGUUAAAGGCCAAAUGACUUAACUUUUGAUGGAAUCACAACUUUCUUAAUAUAUAUGUCUUUUUUUUUAAGUUAUUAAUUUUAGAUCACAAGCUAUAAAAAAAAUAUUUUUUUUUAAAGUAUGUUUGUUAUUGUUUCAAGUAAUAAAGGUAAGUAACAAAUUUACUAUGAGUUAAGGUUUUUCGCUAGUACACGAGCAAUUCAUUCUACGUCACAAGUAUAAAUAAACUAACUAAUGAAUAAAAAGUCACAAUUUGACAAUUUUAUGAAGGAGCCCACUCAAUAUUUGCAGAAGAUUUUUUUUUUUUCAUUUACAAUAACUCAAGAUUAUUAUAACAUCAAAUAGUGAUCAAUGUAUGAAAUAUAUUUUUAAUUAGAAACAAUGACGAUUAUAUUGUACAGUCAAUUAGGGAUUAAUUUAAUUAUUUAAUGACUAAAUUAUUUAACAGCUAUUUCUGAAAGUCUGUUCGUCUAUUUUCCGAGUAGUAUAUAUGAAGUCACAGCUUACACUAAUAAUGGUAAUUCCUCUUGCUAGUGAGACUGUAAAAAAAAAAAUUGAGAAUUUUUUUUUGGUUUCCUUUUUUGUUUCAUCCUUGUUGUCCCAACUCUUUAUGUGCUUCUCACAACUAUAUUAUUCAAUGAUCCAAUUUCUUAUAUAUCUAUCCCACUAAAACUUAUUGUUCACAGAUCUCUCUAUUAAAACCCAAGUUCCAAAGUUUGUUUCAUUUUUAUAUCAAUUAAAAGUUGUAUGUAUCACAGGUUAUAAAAGGAACAAAUUUUCCGAAGUUUGUCUCUCAUUGUUUCAAAUAGAAAAUUUUAUGUCACUAAGUUAUCAAAACAGGAUCAAGUUUUUUAUCACUUAGUUUCGUAUUAAAACCUAAUAUUAGGCGGGCAUUAUGCCGCUAUUUUACAGCAUAAACUUUAGGCGGCUAUUAUGCAAAACUUAUAAAUAUGAGGUGAUCAUUUUGCCGCUAUUAUACAACUCCUAUGGAGGUAUAAUUUCUUUUUUUUUUCUUUUUAGUUUUUUUCUGUGUUAGGCUUCCCAGGCUUAUUUUUAUCGGGAUUUAGUUGAAUAUUUAUGUGGGUUUAUAUGUAAAUUGUGUCAUAUAUAAUAUUUAAUUAUUAGUGUCUUUUUGUAAUUGAGUUAAAAAUAAUGGAAAAAAAGUUCCAAUUGCUAUGAAUAGAGAGAUGACAAACUAAGAAGCACUACUUUUUUUUUCUUCUGACGUAUCGCGAAUAGAGGGUUUCAGUUCUCAUAAAAUCAUAAAUGAAUUUUGAUUUAUAAGAAUUUAUCGUUAAUCCAUAGCAAUUUAGAAUGUAAAUGAACAGCUAAUAAAAUUUAUUUCUUUCCGAAAAAAAUUGAAGAUAAGUGUUAAAGUAGUCAAUGAAGAAAGAGGGAGAAGAUAUGAUUCAUCACGAAAAUGGAGUGGGAAAAUACCUUUUAUUUUUUAAUUAAAUUCUAUUGUCCUUGCACGCAGUUGUGUUUAAGGAUAAAUUAUUAAUUAAAAAAUUUAUUAAAUAAUUGGUUGACAGGGUAAAGUCAUAGCUUCAAAUAACUCCUUCCUUAAAACAAAUUGUAAUUAUAAUUGAUAUUCUAAUUAUUGUUACAAUUACAAUUUUACUAUUGCUAUUGUUACAGUAAUCUUAAUUAAAUAUUAUUAUUAUAACAAUUGUAACUGUUGAUGGAAUUAAGAUUAAAUUUGUUAUUACGAUAAUUCUUAUAGUAAUUACGGUUAUAGUUGUAAUUAAAAUUGUAAUUGUAACUAUAAUCAUAUUGUAAUCGGAAUUACAAUUGAAAUAAAAGUUGUAAUCGUUGUUCUAAUUGAAUUUGGAAUUAAUAUAAAAAAAAUUAAUAUUGGAAUUAUUGUUGUAGGAUACAUAAUUGUAAUUGCAAUUGCAAUUGUAAUUUUAAUUGCAGCUGCAAUUGAAAUUUAUAUUGCAACUCAAAUUAUAAAUUGUAAAUAUAAUUAGAAUUGUUCAACAAACAAUUGCUCGAAAAAGGUGUCCGCGCCAUUUUUCAUCUAUGAAAAAGAAAGAGAAACAACAGUAACCAAUUUCUGAGAGCAGUACAUUGACUUUCUUGUUUCUUCGGUAUGUUGUUGCUGCCGGUUUCCCGCAAACUCUCAAUUAUAUUUCAAAACAACUUCAACCGCUGAUUGAAUAAGGCAUGAGAUUAGGGAUGGCAAAAAUCCCCACGGGGACGGGUACCCUCGGAGAUUUUUCCCAUUCGGAGAGAGUAUGGGGAUAAUUUCAUACCCAAUUUCUUAUUCGAGGAGGGGACGGGGAAAUUUUUUUACCCAAUUUCUUAUUCGGGGAGGGGACGGGGAUGACUUGGAAUCCCCAUCCCCUACCCAUUUCCCCAUUUUAAUUUUUAAUUUUAUUUUAAUUUUUUAAAAUUACUAGUAAAUAAAUAAUAAAAUUUAAAUUAUAAAAUUAUAAAUAUUGGUAAAAAUAAAAAAUAUCAAAAUAUUUAUAUUAUUAAACUUUUAGGCCUAAUUAACUAAUUAAAAUCCUAAAUUUUAUUUAGGACAUUAAAAAGACCGAGUAGAUUCUAUUAGCCAAACGUUUUUUUUUAAAUUUUAAUAUUCUUUAAAUAUUUUAAACUUAAAUCUAUUUUUUAUUUAUUUUUAGAUGUUAUAAUUGCCCACAGUGAAUCACAAUUUUAAUAUCUAAUCUAAUCUAAUAUUUGCUUUUGAUUUGCUUCGAUUUAACUAUUGUGUUGUAAAGGGAAUAAUCCACAUUUAUAAAGUGCCCACGCCACCAUUGAAAAGUUAAUUUUGAAUCUAAAUUCGAUUUUAUUUGUAACAAUUUUGUAUUAGACUAUUAAUUUGUUCAUGAUAGUUUGUAAAAGAAGUUUGUAUCUCUUGCAUAUUGCGUUACUUACUAAUUUAAUGUAUAUGACUUUUGUAAUAGAUAUUAAUGUAAGAUAUAUUUCAAACUUUACUUUUAUUUGAAUUUUUUAUUUUAAUAUGAUUAACUCAAAAUAAAAAAAAUGUAUUAGUUAUUCGGGGAUCGGGGACCCUCGGGGAUCCUCUGUUAUUAUUCGGGGAGGGGAUGAGGAUUCUCUCAAGUAAUUCUGACGGGGACGGGGAGGGGACGGGGACAUACGUAAAAUAUCGGGGAUAGGUACGGGGAGAUCAGUCCCCUCCCCUCCCCUCCCCUCCCCAUUGCCAUCCCUACAUGAGAUCCAGCGUUCUAUAUUUUUUUAAAAUAUUUUAUUACAUGCGACCGCACGGUAGAAAUUUCUGUUUUUCUGUUUUUUCUUUUUUAAAGCCAUCUGAGUCUUUGGAGUAAGCCAUUGACGUGAUGGUUUUAAACUGCAAUGUCUACAAUGACAUAGACUCUUGCCUUAUCCCAUCGUUAACAGGAAAGGCUCUUUCUUUUUCCUUCAUAAUUGAUAACAAUGCAUGUUAACAUCAAAGAAAAUUACAAUUAAUUGAAAAAAUAGUAAAAGAAUAUGUAAACACUAUAAAAUAUUAUAAUUAAUCGAAAAAAUAUGUUAAUACUAUAUAAUUUUAUGAUUAUUUCUAUUACUCUUAAUCCUUAUGAAUAAAUAUAAGGUUAAAUUCGAAUUUAAAUUCUCGUGUAAAUUGUCCAUCUUAAAACAAUUUCUUAUUUUUAAAAAUCUUAAUUUACUUUCAUUUUUAUUAAGAAAACAAAAAAAAUAAUAAUUCAUUAACCUACCUUUAUUUUUUCUUUAUCUUUUUAUUUUUUAAAUAAAAAUAAAAAUAUUUUGAGAUUUUUAAAAGUAAAAGACCAAUUUAAAUGUAGUCAAUUAAAAAAAAUUAAUCUAAAAUUUAUCCAUAAAUAUAUAUUUCGUUUUAUAAAUGCAUGGGUUCCAAAGUAUGACCGGAGAGAAAGUCACGGGCAUUGAUCUUCCUCCGGUUCCACGGAUCCUUGAAAAUAUUAUAUUGCCUAAUAUAUCCCCGAGCUAUUAUUAGUUGAAUGUUUAUAUUCAAAAAGAGUAUUUUAUUCUCUAUCUAACGAUGAGUUAUUAUUAAUAAUGAUAAUAAUGGGGCACUUUUUUUAUAUUAAAUUAUUUGGUAUUUAAAGACUCCAUUGAGCCCUACUAAUUCAAAUUCAAAUCAAAUAAGACUAUUAGAGCGACAAAACUUUUCGAAUAAAUAUUGAGUGAAGCCAUUGGCACCCUCUUAUUAAACUUUUAAAACCCAUAUUUCUACAAUUACAUUUAAGGAUAAAUAUAAAUCUACUAUAUUUUCUCUUUAUAAAGUACAAACAUACAAUUUUUCACUGUUUACAAUUUCUUGGCAUUCAUCAUCAAUUCCAUUCCAAAUAUCAAUGAAUUGUUUGAAUCUCAGGCAUCCAAAAAACUAAAACAAAGUGUUAUAGACCCAACAAUCUUUUGUUUGAAAAAUCUCAUGAUUAUCCAAUGGCUUAGCAUAAAGGAGUGGGACUAAAAGAAUUUAUAAAACGGCAAAAUUACAAGAGAAAAAGAAUUCAAGAGAUGGACGGGAAAUUACAUGAAUGACGAGACCAAAAGCAUAACAUGAGAUAGUGGCAUAAAUAUUUCUGAUAUUUAUUGUUGGGUAUUGCAAAGAAAAUCAAAUGUAGAAGAAGGGCAGUUUUGGAAUUAAAGUGGGUGCUAAUAAUAACGAUAAAUUUUAUAUCAUUGUUUAAUGCGGUGUACUUAUAAUAGGGGUUUUAAAAAGAUAUUAGAGGGGUGCCAAUAGCCUCACUCUAAAUAUUUAACGUAGAUGCAUUCUCAAGAUUUAAACCAAGGACUUUCAUUAAGUUAGAACAACUUUAUGUUAACUUAUCUACGCACUUGUUGGUAAAGAGACUUCAGUCAAAUAAAUGGGUGGGAAUUAGUUUAAUGUUAGAUAUUACUAUCAUUAUUAUUAAUACUAGAGAUGAGCCAAUCAAUUUUCACUAUUACAAUCGACUAUUGUUAAUGCCUAAAAUAUUGUUACCAUCGAUGUGUCAAUCUUCUAAUUUAACUAAUAUUAAAUAUAUCAUUUAAUUAAAUGCAAGGAAAGAUUAAUAAUUCCUUUUUCAUUAAUACAAGCAUCUUUAAUUAAUAAGAUUAUUUUUCUAAUUAUUCUUUUGUUAAGAAAAAAAAAAGGUUGGACGUGGAUGAAAAAUGUUUGUUCAUUAAACACUAAUUCUUGUUCCUUAUUAUUACUUUAAACCAUAUAACUAUCGGUGCAGAGCGCAAUCACGACUAUCUGAGCAAAGCCUAUGGCACUAUUAUGAUUGAUAAAGCAAGGGAUAGGUUAUUCAUCUUUCAAUAUUGAAUCAUCAACUAUUAAUAAAACACUUACGUGGUCUAAUAUGUCUCACACAUAAUUAAAUAUAAUUGAUAGUAGUAAUAAAAAUAGUUAUAAAUUAUGAUUCUACUUUACAUCGACUGAAAAUAAAUAUUAGGUUAAAUAUCAUGUUCUCCAUGUGUGGGUCUCACUUCGAUAUUAUAUAAAAAUCCACUAAUUUACUCAUAUUUAAAAGCUAACUCAAGUUUAAGGGUUGCUUCAAAUUUAUAUUAUUAGCCCAAUAAUUAUUAUCAUCAGUUGGAUAUUAUCCUCAAUAUUAACAUACAACUCUAUUGAUUACCAUAUUAAUUAGAUACAAAAUUUCAGAUCGAUUGUUCGGAAAAAUGCUUGGCACGUAUGUGCCGAUGUUAUUGAUUCUUUGACUCUAUACGGAGAAAUAACACUAUCCACUUUGUAAUUAAACUUUGUAUGCCAUAUAUAACGGUCAAAAUUUUUUAUUACCUGUCACAUUAUUUUUCACAGUACCUAAAUAAUCUUUUGUUAUAUUUAUAAAUUUAUACAUCAAAAUUAGAGUGUACACUGAAUGUGACAAACAAUCUAAUAAAACGAACAAAAAAAUUUGUAACUAGCGCACCGUGGCAGGCGGCUAUAAGGGGUAUUGGUGCCUUGUGCGAAAUUUUUUUAGGUCUUUUUUAAAAUUGAAAUAAGAUAAAAUUUAUAAAGUUAUAAAAAAAGCUAAAAAAAUAAAUCUUAAAUUCAUAUUUUUUAAAAGGUGAGACUACUUAAACUGUGAAAAAUAUUCUGGAUAAUUUUUUACUUUAAACACUCAUCUGUUAAAUUUUUAAAAUAAUUUUUUACUAACACACUUUGAAAAAUGACAAAAUAGCCCUAAAUCUCUUUCAUUAGUCGGACAAUUUUAUUCUCUCUACAACCCCAUCAAGGCAGGCAUUCACAAUCAAACUGGGGUUAUAUCUUCUUGUUCAACAAAAAACUCAUCAAUAAUCUAGAAUCAAAUCUAAGCCAUUAUGCAAGUCUUGCGUUGUAUCCAACGGUGAGUUUGAAAAAGACAAAAAAUGGGACACCAAACCCCAGAGGCAACGUAGCUGGACCCUUAUCAUGAACCAGACGCUGAAAAGAAAAUUGUUGGAAAUUUUGUUUCCAUAAAUAUCAACGAAAGUUGAACAAAAUUCAAAGACUGCUAAGAAUUCUUGUUUUUGAAUAUUCAGUAUACACCUUAAGUUAAACAAUAAUAAAAAAUAAAAAAUCUUGUCAGGGAAAAAUCAAGCCGCAGGAUUUCUUAAAAUCGAUUUUAAGAAGAUUACAAAUAAAGUGAAGUAACAAACCCGCUCUUCUUUAUCAGUAGAUAAAAAAUAAUAAUAAUAAUAAUAGUUAAUUUGUAUAUCUCACGUAGUCUUAUUGUUAUUGCUGUACGAUUAAUGAAUUGAAGUAUAAAAAUUAUGGAGAUGUAGAUAUAUAAAAUUCAAGUGUAAAAUAAUGAUCAAGAUGUAGAUAGAUAAAAUUGUAAUGGGUGUUAAAAGCCAUAUAAUUUGUUUGGUUUUACAAAAUUGUCCUUUAUAAUAAAUUAAAUGGUGGCUAUUUCAGGAAUACAAGAUUUGAUUAAAAUUUAAGUGUUCAAGAUAUUUUUUGAUGGACAAACAGUCACACUUUUUUUAAAUUAAAAAAAAAAUCAUAUCUUUCUACGGUUUGUUUGUAGACUUUUCAUACCUAGAUUUUCUUUGUAGACAUAAUAGUAAACGACGAACAAAUAAUACCAUAAUAUUUUAGGAAAUGAAAAUAAAAUAUAAAAACAUAAUAAUUUCUAAUUGACUGUAACUCCAUAUGGUAUUAUCAUGUUUUUAUCAUUAUAUUUUUCAAUUUACGGUAACUCCAUAUAGUAUUAACAUGUAUUUUAUUGUUACUGUGAAAAAUUUUCUGAAUUUUGAUAUUUUUGAGGACCCAAGCAUCAUGAUAAAUAAACUUGCACUGUUAAUCCAGUACACUUUAUCUUCGUGUAUAUAAAAGAGUAGCAAAUAUAAGCCUUGUCAUACAACUCAAUAUCUCACAAAGGUUAUCUCUGAGGAAUCUUGGUUUUAUUGACAACAUGAGACCACUCUUUGUUCUCUGCACACUUUCGGUGCUUCUCUUGGUAUGAUUUUUAAGUUGAAUGUUAUUAUUCAUUUAGAAGUUAAUUUCUGCAGAAAUAUUAGAACUGGCAAUUUCUAAUCUUUUUAUUAGUUUUUGCAUUAAUAUAGUGAUUGGUCUAAUUGCUAUCUUUGUUUUUCUUUUCGUAUUUCAGCUUGCAAGCACAAUUGAUGCAAGGAAAAACCUGGAGGAAUAUUGGAGAAUUGUCAUGAAAGGACAGCCUAUGCCUGAAUCAGUCCAAGACCUACUUGCCGUGGAUCGUGCCGCUUCUACCACCGAUGAGAAUGCUGAUCAAAAGUCAAAUCCUUUAAUUGUAUCCUAUAAUGUUCAGCCGUCCGAGGUGGAAUCCUUGGCCAAGAAUUUUAACCCGAGGCCGAAUAUUUUUUUCUACGGUUUCCACAACAGUCAUAACGACCAGCCAUCCGAGGUGGAAUCCUUGGCCAAGAAUUUUAACCCGAGGCCGAAUAUUUUUUUCUACGGUUUCCACAACAGUCAUAACGACCAGCCAUCCGAGGUGAAAUCCUUUGAUAAAGACGUAUUGAAACCUGAUAAUAAAGUUGACGCUAAUGCUUAAAUGAAAAUCAUGUUUUCAUCAACGGAGAGAAUUAGCCCCUAAUGAUGUUAAGCAACUGGUCUACUCUCGUCUGUCGUCAUAAUAAGCGUUUGUAUUAGGUUUUUCAAUUAAAUAAGUGGCCGGCGGCCUAGUGCUCUGGCUAUGUUAUUGUGUGUGCGGGUCGUUACUUUUGCUGUACAUGGUAAUGCGAAAGAGGUAUGCAAAUAAGUUGAUGCAGUUGAAGGAUGUGAUCAGUGUAAAAUAUUAUUGGAUAAAAGCGUAUGUUUAAGUUCUUCUUCUCUUUAUUUAUUUUUGUAAAUGGGCCCAAUUGAAUUUUCUUACUGAUGAAUGACAUACAUAACCCUUAUCAGCGCAAUGGGAAAAUUAGCAAAAGCAAUGAAAUUAAACUAGCAAAAGAUUUAAAAAUUUUGAUGACAUUUUUGUUUAUUAUAGAGAUGGUAAAUUGAUUGAUGAGCACCGACCCUCCAUUUAUAUAGAGAUUCAUAACAUACAAAAGGAAAUAAUGAUACAACUAUAAUUUUGAGAAUUUAAUUUAUUGAUAGUGGUUGAGUCAAUUAUGGGCUUAACUCUGUGCCUUGGCUAUUGGCAAUAGCCCACCCCAAAGCAGUCGUCCUGUGAUCUCUAAAAUUAAAUCCCAAAACUCAUUAUAUAUAAACCACUCAAGUCUUAGCUUCCUUUCACAUAUGAUAUCAGUUAUUUUUCUUUAUUUUUCCAACUCUAGGAGAGUAUUUUGAGUGUCAAUUUAUUCUUUACUCUAAAGUGUAAAUAUUCAUUUAGUCUUUAUAUUUUAAUUUAAUUGUCCGUUUAGUUCUUAUAUUUUAAAAAACGUCUCCAAACACUGGUGCUGUUAAAUAUAUUAUCUCAUACCCUUACUUUUUCUUUUCUUUUAUAAUAAUAUUAUUGUAACCAUUUUUUUUUUCCUUCUUGAGGAUAUUAAUGUAAAGAAAAAAUGUUAAUUUAACAAAUUAGCUUGUAAGUAACAUAAAAAUUUCCACAAAAUGUUAUUGUUUUACUUUUAGGAUUAAUUUGGUAAAUUAAUUUUUUAUAAAAUAAAUAUUAAUAAAAUUGUAACAAGGAUAUUGAACAUUUCUUUAAGUUGGCUAAUAAUAAUUAAUUUAUAAAUAAAUUAUUAACAAGAUUAUUUCACAGGUACAAAAAAUACUAAUUUUUUAUAUUGAUAUUUAUUGGUUAAUUUUCUAAUAAAUAGUUAUUGGUCAAUUUGCUAAUUAAAUUUUUAUAGACAAAUUAAUUAAUGUUAAGAAUAUUAUUGUAAGGGUAUUAUUUUAAAAGUAAAUAACACUUAAAAGCAAGAAUGUAACAUAUUUAACUAUAACAGUAACUUUAAGGCAUUUUUUUAAAAUAUAAAAAGUAAAUGAACACUUAACUCAAAUAUAUAUGAAUUAAACGAAAAAUUGCUCCCAAAACAUCAUUUUGAGCAUGCAAAUAUAUCAUUUCAAAAAGUUCUUAUAGAGAUAACUCAUAAUCUUUCGCUUAUAACGAGGACCACCCUGAUAGUUUGAAAUAAUUUCAUUUGAAUAACAUGUUUUAUUUGCAAAUGACUUUUCAACCUCCUUUAAAUUUGUUGUAUUGUUAUUUUUUCUUAACAUAAAUCUUUAAGAAUCUAUUUCUAAUAGACUAGAUAUGAUAUCUAAUAGACUAUCUAAAACAAAUUAAAUAAAUAAGUUGUAAUUUAUUAAAAAAUUAUUGCUUUUAUGAUGGUAAUUAAUGGUGACAAUAAAAAAAAAUUCAACUCAAUAAUAAGAAAAUUCUAUGAUGGAGUGACUAAAAUUACAAUAUCCAUGACGAGAUAAACAUAAAUUUUACAAAUUAUACAUAAGACUAGUAAAUAUAAUAAGUAAAUUAAUAUAACAGUGGUAAAUUGGUGUUUUAAAAUCACAAACAAAACAAACACUUAGUAAAAGUAAUACAAAACUUGUAAAUCAACAAUAAACUUUAAUUAAGUAAAAACAGUUUAUCCAUUUAAUUUAAUUAAACAAAAAAUUAACUCAUCAAUUGGAAACAAAAAAAAAAUUGUAUUGAAAACAAUUGGAAUAAGUUUUAUUGAAUUGGUAUACAAGUUAAUUACGUGAAAUUAUUUUUCUUAAUGUGGAUCAAGCCAAAACAAAAUAAAAAGAUAUUCUUAUAUUACUAGACAUAGGUGAUAUAUCAAUAAAAUUGGAUCUAAUUUUCAGUUUAACACAUAUUUUAUGUAGUUUUAACUUUGAAACUCCACUUCUUAAUUGUACUUAAAGAUCAUUCAGGUUUUCUGUCAAUAGGGUUUAGAAUAAUACAAAAUCACCUUAUCUUACAAAUAGCUAGCUUUCAAAAACAUGAAAAGAGUAGUUUUUUAAAAUUUGACUUUGAGAAUUAAUUUUAUCUUAAAUAGAAUUUUACAUAUAUUAUUACAUAUAUUACAUAAAUCCAAGACUAUCAUUUUUUUGUUUAAAACGAAAACCAGUAAAUAUAUAAGGUAAUUAUUAUUAUAAAGUUACACAUUUUGACAUUUGUAGUAAGAACAUGAGAGGAUACCUGGAGUGUAUUGGGAUUUGGGCUGAAGAGAAAGGAGCCCUUGGACUUGGGAAACAAAUGAAAUUAUCUGCAUGGUCCUUGUACUCAUGGAGGGACUGUAACUUCUGAACCAACAAUGCUGAAAAUGCAGGGUCAAAAAUCAACAUUAACUUGAUGAAUAAUUGUUUGAAAAAAAAAAGGAAGAAAACUUGAUUAAUAUAAAAGAGAGCAAAGGAGCACAACCAUACAGAAGUUGUACAAAGGAAUAUUAAUCAAGCUUGAUUAAUAUUCUUCUUCUAUCCAACACCACAACAUGAAACCCAGUAUUCCUGUUGCAGUAUGGUGAGAACUGUGAAGUGCAGGAAGUAGUUUCCUAAGAGAGAUGAUUGAAUGCUCUUAAUUUUUUUUUUUUUCAGAAAAUCAUUUUAUUUUAAUAAAAGUUUAUUUUUUCUUAAUAAAAAAUUUCAUUUGUUUUUAUUAAGUUGUGUCUCAUAUUCACUAAUAAAAGAAAGUUAUUUGGAUAUAUAAGUAGGAUACCUCAUCUAAUAUGCUAGUAGGAUAAAUCUCUCAUCUAAUAUGCUAGUAUUUUGAGUUAAAUACCCAUAAAUUUUAAGCCGAGUCCACAACAGUCCCCAGAUAACUGAUUUAAGUCCUAGCUACACCAGUAGAUUGAAUAGAAGUGCAAAUAAGUUGAACUCUUUUGUCAUUCAUUUUAGUCCUUUUUUUUUGUCACAUACAUUGAAAAAGGAUAACUCUGUCGUGAUUGUCAUGGCAGAGCCUAUUUCAAACGGUGGUGUAUGCUAAAGGAAAUUAUCAUGAGAUGAGUGAUAAACCAUACAGUCAGUAGCUAAAGCCCAUCAUUAAUCAGCCACAUGGCCACAAAUAUUAUUGGCGGCAAAUAUCUCAACAAAAUCACAAUAAAGAUGAGCAUCCUCGAAGAUUUGUCAUCAACGAUCCCUUAUUCUAGACACCAUCUUUAUUUUGAGCAAGUAUCCUUCAUAUUCCUUAUGUACAAAUGAUUCCAUUCCUUAAUGUAAAUAGGACAGCCUGUCUAGCCAUUACUCUUAAGAGAUUUGGCUGGCUUUGACACUUGUAUAUAAGCUUGUAACCCUCUCGUUCUUUACAAGAAAUAAGAUAAUAUUUUCAGCAUAAUAUUUCUUUUCAAUGAGAUCAAAGAAAUGAAAAGAGAUAUAGUCUAUUAGGUUCGCAAAUCUACUGAAACAAUAUUGUUUCCAAUCAACUCCGAAAUACAACCAACUGAACAACGUUCGGAAAUCGAAAAUCAUUUAUUACCAGUAAGAUUUAUUAUUAUACGCUAGACAUAUGGCUUUAACAGUCACAUUACCACUACAUUUUUAAUCAUGGUAGGUAGGUGCUGGAAUGUAUACAAUAUUAUCAGCCUGGAAGAAAUGGCAGACAUGGGAGCUCCCUGGCUCGAUCCCAAGCACACGAAACGAUGCAUGAUCUGGACUCCAAUGAGACGUAUCCAUGUGGCAAACUGCUACAGCUUCCACUCUAUCUCCAUUAUCACCACCUAAUGAAACACCGAAUAACUUGUUCUCAGUCAUUUGGCUGUGGCAGUAGAAGAUUGCAUAAGGGUAAGGCAUGAUAUGACAUGCCACCAUCUUGGGAGCAAACAUUGGUUUAGGCACUUGUAAAAUAGUGUAAUUUUGGAAAAUGGUAGUUGAUUUUGUGAGAAAUUUUGUGCUUAGAACUUGGAAUUUGGUCUCCAAUCCGAAAGUUCCGUGUACAAAAUCAAGCAUGGAUUCCAAAGAGGUCGCACAAAUUUUGGUUUCUCCUUCGAUGGGAGGAACUUCGCAAUGAUUCAGGGUCCCUUCCAUGGCUUUGGCUAGGGAUGAAUCAUCUGAGAACGAGAAGAAUUGAAGAAGGUAAGGCAGUUGUUUCAAUGAAAAUGGAAUGGAAUCUGCUUCUUCUCUAGGCAAAGCCUGAGGAUAAGCUGAAGGAUCUCUCUUGCGAAAAUAAAUCGGCAUCGUUUCGCCAAUCUUUAGAUCCUUCAAGGCCAUCGUUGAAGGGUCCAUGUGAUUCAUGUGGGAUGGUAUUGAAUGAGAAUCAUGAAGAUUCUCCGAAAGCACCUGAGCACACUGUAAAACAGUUGAGCAAUUCAAUAUCACAACAUAGAUGAAAAAUCAACAACACAAGUUCUAUAAAGUGUAAAACUGAAGGAGCAAAAUAUAUCUUUUUGAGUUAUUGCUUUAAGACAACACUUAUGUACAUGUAUUGCAAAGUAAGCCACUUAAUUAGCACACAUUGAGGAUUAUUACCAGAAAGAGUAGAGAAAGAAGGAGGUUCCAAGCUGAAAAUCGUAACCCCAUCUCUUUUCUAUUAUCGAAGUUUGUUAUAUAUUUUAGUAAUCUUUUUUUUUUCAGGGAGAAGAAACACAGAUAACAAGUGAAGCAGAAAGAGAAGAGAUUGUGUGACUGUAUAUGUCAACAACCAAAUGAUGUGUGUUGAUUUUCAAGUGGACAUUUAUAGCCUGCAUAAGCUGAACUUGUUCUACUGUGCUGAUUAAUUGAAUCACAACACAGUUUGAAUAAUGACCUUAAUAGUCCAAUCCAGCAAAGAAUUCAGCACUCCAAUCAUUUGGGGACACACGUAUUGCACCUUCAUCAGGUCUGCGGAUUUUAAUAGUUUUGACUGAGUGAAUGAUUACUUCAAUUGAUAACAUUGCAUAUUAGAUUACCAGACCUAAAAUUGAUUUCUUAUUAAAAAAUUUACUUGCAAUUUGGAAACUCUCUUUGACACAUUAAUUACAGACUCGAAAUCUGUAUCAAUAUUCCCCAUACAUAGACAGAACUGAGCAUAAAAAGUGGGAAGGCAGAUCGUAAACAAAUUCGACAUGGUAGUUUCCAAGGAUGAAUAGCAUUUUUUUCAUUCAAAAAUGGGAUAAUAUAUCCUUCAGUCACGUAAUGUACACUAAGGCGGCGUUUGGUUGGGAGGAGAGAACAAAGAAGAGGAAAGUAAUUUAAAUUUUCUUUUUAUUUUCAUUGUUUGGUUUGAUAAAAUAUAUAAGAAUUUAAUUUCCAUUAGAAUUUAAUAUCCAUCAUAAUUUGAAUUCCACACCAAGUAGUGAAGAAUUUAAAUUCCUCUUAUGUUAGAAACUAAAGUUUCCAAAAUUACCCUUCAACUUGUUUAAUGUCAUUAAUAAUUAUUAUUUAAUAUUAUAAAUGGAUCACCGCCGGAAAGUCGCCGGACUACCGCCGGAAAGUCACUGGAAAGUUACCGGGCCACCUCGGAAUGUUGCCGGAAAGUCACCAGACCACUGCCGAAAGUUGCCGGACGUCGCCAAAAUCCUGCCGAACGUUGCCAUAAGGUAGUUUCCAAGGAUGAAUAGCAUUUUUUUUUCAUUCGAGAAUGGGAUAAUUUAUCCUUCAGUCACGUAAUGUACACUAAAGCUCUUCUCAACCUAGUGUGCGUCGGAUAUGUGAGCGUCGGGGCUCCAAUCUCCCGUACAAUCUUUAAAAUUUUGUUUGGUCAAAUUAACAGGCUGCACUCACUGUAUUUCCAUGGAUCACACUACUUCAACUAAAAGAUAAGAUAAUAAGUAUCUUUAGGAUUUUACUGAAUGAUUUUUAAGUAGUUUUUAUUAAUUAAUUAUUCAAAUUCGAAUUAAAAAAAGACUAAAAAAUUCAUCUGAAUUUUUCUCACUCCCAAUCUUUAAAAAUAAAACAAAUAAUAAGUCAUAUAAACAAUAUUUUAAAUGCAAUUUUCACUUCAAACAUAUUUCAUUUGAAGUUUAAUUAUAUUCUCCGAUGGAACCUGGAUAAGUUGAAAAAAAAUUUAUUAAUAAAAAAAAUGUACAUCUAAUUGUCUAACGAUGGGUCAAGAACAAAAGGUUAAAAGAUAAUAUACGUGGACAUGAUAAUGCAGAAACCGAAAAUCAAAAGGGCACGAGUUUCAAAUGCUAGACAAAUGAAAGAGACGUGUGAUUGCAGGUCGAUUUUCUUCUCAUCACUAGCCACUAGUGUUGUGCGCGGAAUGCGGAAUCAAGCGCACCAAAUAAUUAUUGAAAAAUAAAGGACACAAGAAUUUACGUGGUUCGGUAAUUAAACCUACAUCCACGGAGACAAGAAAGAAUAAUUGUUUAUUUAACAAUUAAUAGAAUACAAUAUUUGAGUAACGAAUCUCACUUCCCAGAAAACCCAAAUAUACCCAGUACUCUCACACUCUGCAAGAAAGAUAAAUUCCCCAGACACACUUCUCUCACUUCUCUCAAAAGCUUAGAAACUUAUAAGCUUGACAAUUUUGGGAUGAUUUCAAAUGAAUGAAAUCCUUAGCUAUUUAUAGACUUGAAGCUAGUAUUAUUCCACCUAACCCAAGUACUAUUUCACCUAACCCAAGCACUAUUCCACCUAACCCAUGCAAAUAUGUCAAUGGUGUCCAUUUGGCAAAUUUGACAAAUUUGCCAACUUUCCAUUUUUUCUUCAAAUGUUUGGUAGCUCUUUGAAAAAUUGCCACAUGCAUGACUUUUCAACAAUUCUCCACCUCGGCGAAAAUUUGUCCAAAUCUGAGCCGACUACCAACGAACCCUCAUCCCCAAAGUGAUCCUUCAAUAAGGAUCCAGAAUGACUGUGUCGAUUCGACUGUCUACGUACCCAAAAUUUGGGAUCAAGCCAACCGUAGUUCAAAAAUUCUCCAAACUCAACGCAUUCGAAGAAUUAGUUUCAAUCCGUAUAAAGAUUUACUCAAUCUGCACACACGAUUUUCCUUUCCAGCAACUCUGAAACCACAAGGCUGAAUCAUAUAGAUUUUCUCCUCUAAAUCUCCAUGUAAGAACGCCGUCUUAACAUCCAACUGAGCUAACUCUAACUCAUAUUCUGCAACUAAGGCAAGUAGGAUACGAAUGGAAGUAUGUUUUACAAUUGGAGAGAAAACUUCAUUGUAGUUCAUACCUUCCUUUUGAGCAAAACCUUUUGCCACGAGCCUUGCCUUGUAUCGAGGAGUUGUUUGAUUCGGAGAUCCUUGCUUUUUGGUGUAGACCCAUUUAUUGCCAAUAGCCCUUUUCCCCUUUGGUAACUUUACAAGUUCCCAAGUCUGGUUUUGAUGGAGAGAUUUCAUCUCUUCCUCCAUGGCUAGCUUCCACUGAUCACUUUCAUUGCUGCGUAAUGCUUCACCGAAAGUAUUGGGGAUGUCAUCAUCAAUAACUGAAAGUGCAUAGGCUACCACCAUAUCUUUAGUAAGCCAUCCGGGUUUUUUUAUCUCUCUUUUUGGCCUCCUUGUUGCUAUAAAAUCAUCAUCAUCUACAUCAUCAAUUGUUUUUUCAUUUUGUGGGACAUCAGAAGAAACAACCUCUUCUUCAACUUUAGGUGUCACCUCCAUAGUUGAACCAUUCUUUGAUGUAGAACUAACUUGUACAUAUGGAGUUGCAUCAAACUCCACCCGCUGCAAUACCUCUGUGGUCUUGUUCUCCACCUGCUGAGAACUUGAAGCUUUUAUCAUUGAAGCUUCAUCAAAUGUGACAUCUCCGCUACACACAAACUUUUUGUCUUCGAGAUCCCAAAGCUUGAAGCCCUUUACUCCACCUUUGAAUCCCACAAAGAUAGAUUUUUUAGCACGAGGAUCCAGUUUACCAUCUUUGACAUGAUAAUAAGCUGGACACCCGAAUACACGAAGGGAAUCAUAGUCUUGUGCAUGCUUUCCAGACCCCAUUUCCAUAUGAGUUUUACCUCCAAUUGCAGCAGAAGGCAACCGAUUUACCAAGUGACUUGCGUAGCUCACAGUUUCAGCCCAAAACUUUUUAUCUAAACCAGCAUUAGAUAACAUACAUCGUACCUUCUCCAGUAAAGUACGAUUCAUACGCUCAGCCACACCGUUCUGUUGCGGAGUAUGUCUCACCGUGAAAUGUCUUUUAAUACCCUCGUUCUGGCAUACUUGCAAGAAUGGAUCAGAAGUAUAUUCACCCCCAUUAUCAGAUCGUAAUACUUUGAUCUUUCUGCCAGUUUGAGUCUCCACCAAUUUCUUCCACUUCACGAAAAUCUUUAGAACCUCAUCCUUUGCUCGCAUGGUGUACACCCAUACACGUCUAGAGAAAUCAUCAACAAAUAUAACAAAAUAAUGGCUUCCACCAAUUGAUGCAGUCUUGGUUGGUCCCCAUACAUCACUAUGAACAUAUUCAAGGAUCUCACGAGUAUCGUGAUUAGCUGUACCAAACUUGACCCUUGUUUUCUUGCCUACUACACAAUGCUCACAGAAAUUUAAUUUACAGGUUUUGGUACCUUUUAAGAGUCCAUGCCUCAUCAGAGUUUGCAAAGACUUCUCUCCUGCAUGUCCCAGUCGUACAUGCCAUAGCUUGGUGGUGUCACUGUGCGCCUCAACAACAUUUGCUUCAUCAGUUGUACCUCUCUUCAAAUAGUACAAAUUGUGACGCCGAACCCCUUGCAGAAUCAUCAUAGCCCCAUGUGUAAACUUCAUUGUGCCAUCUUCAAUGGUAACUUUGUAACCUUUAGCUUCCAAAGCACCCACAGAAAUUAGAUUUUUCUUUAUCUCUGGAACAAAUCUAACCUAUUUGAGUUCUCUGACCAUUCCAUCAAACAUUUUGAGCCGAAUUGUUUCUAUCCCCAUUGUGCGACAAGGUUGAUUAUUCCCCAUCAUAACUGCACCGGAUUCCAGAUUACGAAAAUCCGUAAACCAUUCCUUAAUAGGACACAAAUGAUAGGUUGCUCCAGUAUCAAGUGUCCACUCACUCGAACUAGCCACGUAUGCUGCAGGAGUAAUACUUAGUGAAUAAUCAGAGUUCUCAUCUUUCCGUGCCAUGUUUGCUGCUGCUGGUUUCUUCCCAUCUCUCUUUUGAGCCUUUGGACAAUCUUUUCUCCAAUGACCCUUUUCAUGAAAAAAGGCACACUCAUCUCGAGCUAUAUUUCUGCUUCUUGAUUUGGAUCAAGAAUUCAUUCCACCACGGUUCUUCUGUUUCUCCAUCGCCCAAUCUCUGCUCACCAAAGCUUCAGACGAUGCUCGUUCAGAAUUUUUAUCAUUAUUCUGAAUCUCCAAACUAGUCAAUGCUGUGCAAACAUCUUUAAAGACGAUCACACUCUUCCCAUAUAUCAAAGUAGUCACAAAAUGGCUAUAUUCCUCUGGUAGUGAGUGUAACAGAAUCAUAGCCUUAACUUCAUCUUUAAUAUCUUCAUCAAGAUUCUUCAAAUCAGCAAGUAACUUUUCAAAUCUUGAAACAUGAUCGUGCAUUGACACCCCAGGCUUCAUUCGAAAACCAUAUACUUGGCUCAUUACAUGAAGGCGAUUUUCAGGACUUUUCACCAGGUACUUCUCCUCCAAUGUACGCCACAAAGUCACCGCACACUCCUCAUCUUUCACCAAGUAUUUCACCUCCUUGGUCAAACAAGAUCUGAUAUGACCACAAGUUUUUUCGUUCAUACGAUCCCAAAUUUCUUCAUCAUACAAGUGCCUUUUAUUUUUUAGAACAACAUCGAGAUCGAUUUGAAUAAGGGCAUCCAUAACUUCGCGCCUCCACAUGCCGAAGUUGAUUUUCCCAUCAAACUUUUCAACAUCGAUCUUUUGGCCUCCUAUAACAUGUGCUGAAUAGCGAUUUGAUAAAUCUCGCCUCCCACCUGAAGUGUCUCCUGAAAUAGUCUCGGUAGAUAUCUCCCUAAUUCUGGAAGUUUCACCUUCUACCAUUUUCUCAACGAACUAUUUCCACUUAAAAAACAGUCUCUAUGAUGUUAAUUUCGCGUGAAUAAAUGCACCAGGAAAGUUCCCAGGAAACUGGACGGGAACUCGGUCCCAAUUAAAAACCAGAAUCCUUAGACUCUUAUCGCCUUUUUUGACAGAACUUUCCUAGACAUGCAAAAAUACACACUACUUACAAUAGACUGUCUCCCAAGUACAAAUGGCCGUCUCCACCGUAUUCGUAAAUAGUGCCGUAUAUGUGAACAGUACCGUAUACGUGAACAAUACCGUAUACGUGAACAGUACUGUAUCCCCCAAGUACGAACCGUCGGCUCUGAUACCACUUGUUGUGCGCGGAAUGCGGAAUCAAGCGCACCAAAUAAUUACUGAAAAAUAAAGGACACAAGAAUUUACGUGGUUCGGUAAUUAAACCUACAUCCACGGAGGCAAGAAAGAAUAAUUGUUUAUUUAACAAUUAAUAGAAUACAAUAUUUGAGUAACGAAUCUCACUUCCCAGAAAACCCAAAUAUAUCCAGUACUCUCACACUCUGCAGGAAAGAUAAAUUCCCCAGACACACUUCUCUCAAAAGCUUAGAAACUUAUAAGCUUAACAAUUUUGGGAUGAUUUCAAAUGAAUGAAAUCCUUAGCUAUUUAUAGACUUGAAGCUAGUACUAUUCCACCUAACCCAAGUACUAUUUCACCUAACCCAAGCACUAUUCCACCUAACCCAUGCAAAUAUGUCAAUGGUGUCCAUUUGGUAAAUUUAACAAAUUUACCAACUUUCCAUUUUUUCUUCAAAUGUUUGAUAGCUCUUUGAAAAAUUGCCACAUGCAUGACUUUUCAACAACUAGCACACAUCCCCUUAAUCAAAAUCUUUUUCAAUAUUGUUUAUUAUAUAAAUGGAUAUUGGUAGUGGUUGAACUUCUAUUAUUUAAUUAUGUUGUCAUUUUCCAUCACUACAACAACAGAUGAUUCAAGUAGGAUCGAUCAAUAAUUGUCGCCCAAUGUUUUGUCUUUUUCAUAAUUUAGUUAUUUUUGUUCAUAUGUCUGACGAAGAAGUUUUAAUUUUGCAAGAGGAAUUCAAGUUGAUAAGACCUUGUCGACUUGUCUUCUGCUGAAGAAUCUUGAAUAAUCAUGCCAAAUUCAAAAAGUGGCAAAAGCAAAAGGCUAAGUUCUUAAUGAAUUCAAUAUUAUUACGAAUUUGGUGCUAGCUCAAUCUUGAAAAUGAUCCAAAAAUUAAAAAGUAAACAUAUAAUAAUCACAUCUACAAAUGUACAUUAUUAGUGAGUCAUUGAUGAUAUCCCAUCACGAAUUCAUUAGCUGACUAAUUAAAGAUACCACGAAAAUAUUAUAUCAUUAGCUGGUCUAAAAAAGUAGUCAAUAAGAAAAUGAAAGGUAAAUUCAUAAAUUUCAGCCGGAAUUUUUUUUUUUUUUUUUAAAAGGACCAAUAAUUGUAGGAAAUGGCUAGCUUCUUAUCCUCUUCACAAAAGAUUAAAUCCUCUUGAAAAGGUUUGUUACUGAAAUACAUAUCAUAUUACACCAACACUCUCUAUUACCAUAUGAAUUUAGAUCUUCCCCUAACUUAAUAUUUCAUAUAAUAUUGUAGGAAUAAUCUUCAUCACCGGAGAUUAGGAUCUUCUCCUAACUUAAUAUCUCAUAAGUGUUGUAUGAGAUUAUUUAGCUCAUGUCAUUAUAUUUUUCUAAAGCUAGGAUUUAAUUUACUUUAUACUUUCCUUAUUAAACAUUAAAACCAAUAAUUUUCUAGGCUAAGUAAAACCAUGAAAUUCAAGUGUGCCGCUUUCUAACCAAACUGCUGCUUCUUUCUCUACCGUUUUUUUUUUUUUUUUUGGUCACAAACUUUAAACUGUGGUAUAUAUAAACUUGAGCAAAGAAGCAUUAUUGGUAGGAUUGGCAAUGAGACGGGAUGGGAUGAGAUUUACCAAUCCCACUCCCGUCCCGCAUAUAUAAUUGAGAUAAAAAAAUGUCUCACUCCCAUCCUUCAAUUUUUUUAUGGGACCAAAAUAUAUCCCAAUCCUGUCCCAAAUUGCCAUCCCUAAUUAUUGGCAAUUCAUUCUUUUAAGAAUUGUUUAUGUAAUGGAAUCAGACCAGAACAGAAUGCAUUAUUGUUCGAUAUACGUAGUCUACAAUAACAAUUGAAGACACCUGAAGAUAAUAUCAAUUAUAGACAAUUGUUAUUGCAAUAUAUUCAAUGCAUUGUUGCUAUCGCUUGUCUGCAAUUAAUUUUAUAUAAAUUAAGCUGAUAUAUCUCAUUUCAGUGUACUAAUAAUUAAGUUGAACGUUGAUGCAGCUACUGCUAUUUCCAGGAACACAGCUUUCUAGGAGCCAUUAUUCGUAAUGUGAGAAGGGAGAUUAAUUAUGGCAGUAGCUAUCUAAAGUAAAAUUUUGGAGAUCUUGAAUUCGCAGAAGCAGAAGCAAUGAGAUUUGGGAUCGAAAUAUGCAAACGGCACAGGUCUAUUUCCAUUCAUUAUUGAAUCAGAUACUAAGAAUGUUGUCAAUCUUGCUGCAGCACUUGAAAGUACUAGAAAAGAGAUUCUUUGAGUGAUAUAUCUCUGAUAUUUAAUUGUUGGCUAGACAACUGGCAAUUUCAAAUUUGUAUUCAUUCCUAGAAUAUGUAACGUGGAAGUUCAUAGAUUAGCUAAACUUGCAGUUAGCGAUCAGAAAGCCGUAUUGUUUGGAUUGAGAAUAUUCCUAUAGAUGUAAAAUCUUAUCAUUUUUGAAGAAUUUUUUACUUUGAAAAUAAAAUAAUUAAGGGCCAUCUCUAUCGUUGCGAAUUGUAACUCGUAGACUUUGCGGUCCACAUUAUGAAUUUAAAAUUCUUGCAUGAUUAAUCACCCACAUGAGCAUGCUCCCCCAACCUGCCACAUCAUGUUACCACUUCUUCCAAUCUGUGUAUACACACACACACACACACACACCAGUAUGGCCUCCAUGCAAAUCACAAACGCAGUAUCUAAUAUUGUUUGUCACUGGCAAGAAACAUGAAUAUUAAAGCCUUCUUUGUUCUCUCCACAGUGCUCUCAUUGCUUCUCUUGUUAUGUAUCAUUUGAUCAGUAAUAAUGUUAGGUUAAUCACAAAUUCAUUAUAUAAAAUAUUUUGUACAAAAUUGAUAACACAUAAUGUACAGUAUCGAUGUGAUAAGAACACCACACAACCCGAUCAUUAUUUUAUAUUUCCAUUCAACCAAUACUAUUUUAUCACAUCAGCUUUAAGAGUAGCUUAAUUAUAGCUAGCUCUAGCAUUACUCGUUUUGAUUCAAAUGAUUUUCGAAUUUUUAUCAUUUGCAUGGUCAAUAUAUAGUUCCUCUCUCUUUUUUUUAUUUUUUAUUAAUUGUUUUCCUUGUGUGCAGUUUGCCAACAUGAUAGAUGCAAGAAAAUACCAUGGAGACGAUUGGAGUAUUGUCGUGAAAAAUCAAGACAUGCCUUGGGAAUCAACUCAAGGUCUCAUUCCCGAAGUUCAAGGCCCGACCAUCUCUAAAACCAAAGCCUAUUGCCAUACACAUGAUGAUUCUGAGCACACCAUGGAGAAGCCUUUUGUCAAUAAGAACUUUGAGCUGAUGCCUGAUGUUUCAAUCUAUGACAACGGUAUUAAGCCAACCAAACAAAAGGCUUUUGCCAAGCACUUCGAGUUCUUGCCUGAUGUUUCAAUUUACGACAACGGUAUUAAGCCAACCAAACAAAAGUUCUUCGCCAAGGACUUCGAGCUCAUGCCUGAUGUUUCUAUUUAUGACAAUGGUGUAAAGCUAGCCAAACAAAGGUUCUCCGCCAAGGACUUCGAACUCAUACCUGAUAUUUCAAUUUAUAACAAUGGUGUAGAGCUAGCCAAACAGAAGGCAUUCGCCAAAGGCUUCGAGCUCAUGCCUGAUGUUUCAAUUUAUGACAAUGAUAUUAAACCAACGAAGAAGAGUUCAUAUGCCAAGGACUUUGAGCUGAAGGCUGAUAUUUCAAUUCAUGAACCGACCGAACAAAAAUAGGUAAUUAGCAUUACGGAUCUGCAGCCAGAUGCUACAAUUUAUCAUAAUUAAAUAGAUGAUCAUGCUUGUAAUCAGGCGCAGGAUGGAGUCUCUUACCAUAUUUAAUGUUCUAGAAGAGUAGCCACAUACGUGCAAUAACGCUUUCCUUGUUUGUGUGUGUUGUCAAAAGCGCUGUUUCUAAAGUAAUGUAAUAAGUGCUGAAAUAACCCAUGCAAUAAAAUCAUGUCAUGCGUCUUUAAUUUUUUUUUUCUCUCUCUCUUAAACAAUCUUAUGAUAGAUUAUUUACAAGUUAUAAUUUAUAAAGAGAGAAACUAUAUUAAAAUAAUGCUUUUUACAUAAAUAUUCUAUCCAUUAAUCUCGUAUAGCUAAUUAAGUUUGUUUUUUUUUUUUUUAUUUACAACGACAUCCUUAGAUGUUUAAAUUGUUUUUUUUUUAAAGGUAAAAGGGUUGGGUCAAUCAAAAUUAAUUUUUUCACCCUGAUCUCUUUGAGAUUCGAACUUAGGUGGCUAGCUAACUAAGAUUAUUUGAAACCAUUCGGUUGGGUUUCUAGGGGCCUUGGAUGUUUAAAAUUUGUAUUUUGAAUUGUUAUUCAGAUGGAACAAUAUAAUUAACUUUAAUUUCAAAGUCAAUUUGACCCUAUUUAAUUUUGAGAUGCUGUUACUUUUAAACUAGCUACUUGGGAAAAAAAAAAGUCGUAACCUUAAAAUAAAAAGUGAUACUGUGUGGAAAAUAUGAUUUUAAAUAAUAAUUUUGACAAAAUAGCAAAGAAAUAUUAUUUAAAUUAUUAUUACCAGCCAAACAAAAAUAGGUUUUUUAUUAUACAAAUGCAAGAUCAAAUCAACUUAAUUUUUGAGUUACAACAACUACUACUUACUAAACACUUUGAUGUCAAUACCAAAUAGGCCUCUUUUUUCCUCUCCCUCUCUAAUUUGUAAGACUACCCAACCAUAUAUUGUAUAAUAUUCAAUUAUUAUAUUAACUAGUUUUAUUUUCUUAUGAUCACAUGAUAUCUUUUUUUUUUCAAGAAUCUGAACAGAUAAUGGUUUUAAAGCUCAGAAGUAGAUCUGAUUCUAAAUAUUUGGAAAUUGAAAAAAAAAAAAAACUAAUUCACAUUUGCAGAAGAAGGUAUGUACUUGAUAACUUGAACGCCAUGAUGGUAUAUAAUUAAAUUUAACUAUUGUUAUAUUUUUAUUUAUUAAUCACUAAUUAUUCACGAUGAAUUUUAUUUGAAUAAGUUCAUAUCAUGAUAGAAUCUUAAUUCAAAUACAUAUGAAAAAAAAAAUCUAUGACUGCACUAAUAAGAUAUUUCAUUUAAUCAUGUGAUAUUAAAAUGAAAAUUAUGAUAGAUAAACUUAAAUUUUCCAUUUUCCCCCCUUUAUCAUCUCACAUGGGCCACUUCAAUUCGCUGAAAUCCUGAUGCUUCGGCCUCCAGAUGUAAAAGAACAUGAGUCACAUAUAGUAUUGGUAGAUGCGUGAAUGGAUCACAUCUCACUCAACCAACAAAUUGCAUGUCAUCUGGAAAAUGAUUUAAAUAAAUGAACAAAUACUCAGUCCUCUAUUUUAAGUUAAGUAUUUGUUUAUUCCUUAUAUUUUAAAAAUAUCUCAAAAUAAGUUGUAGUUAAAUAUAUUACAUUCUUAAUCUUGUUUUUGCUUUGCUUUUAUAAUAAUGCCCUUAUAAUAAUAUUCUUGACAUUAAUUAAUUUAUCUAUAAAAUUUUAAUUAGAAAAUUAACCAAUAAUUAUUUAGUAAUAAAUUAACCAAUAAAUAUUAGUACAAAAGAACUAAUAUUUUUUGUACAUGUGCGACAAUCGUGCUAAUAAUUUAUUUAUAAAUAAAAUUAAUAUUAGUCAACUUAAAGUAAUGCUUAUCAUCCUUGCAAUAAUUUUACUAAUAAUUAUUUUAUAAAAAAUUAAUUUACCAAAUUAAUCCUAAAAGUAAAAUAAUAACAUAAAAAAAAAUUACUGUAAAAAUUUUUAUGCUACUUUGAAGGCUAAUUUGAUAAAGAAUGGAACUACUAGCACUCCUUCAAAAUCUUUUUAAGACCCCUUUUUAAAUACACCCAAUCAAAUAAAUGAAAAAUUAUAUCACUUCUAAAAACAACCAUCUUUAUUCCACAAUUGUCCUUCAAUCUUAUCUCUCAUAAAAUGAUAAAAUUACAAAAAUAAAAAUCUUUUUGUGGAUACUAUUGCAAUAAUGAUCAUUAGCAUUCUUCACAAAUUUGAUUAACAAGUAUGGAAUGGUAUGUAACUUUAGAUUUCUAAAUUUUAACUUUUCUUUAUGUUUUGCAACAAAUAUACCUUCUAUUUUAAUAUAUGAUACCUAUUAAUUUAAUUUUUUUCAAAUAACAAAACUCACUUGUUCAAACAAACAAUGAGACCAAAAAAAGCAAGGGAAAAAAAGUGAACAAAUAAAAGGUAGAACUACUUGACACAUAAAAACUUUAAAAAAAAAUGAAAAAGAAGAGAUCUAGUAAAAGAAGUAUGAGUAUAAAAUAAGCCAGGCAAUGAAAGAAUCAUAGCUUUUCGACAAAUUCCAUGUCAAUGUCCUUUUGGAAUAAAUUUUUAAUGUUAUCUAUUUGAAUAAUGAUGGUGGUUGAGUUUCCACUUUCCAUUAUGCUCUCGAAUGUAAGCUUCUGAUGCGUCUUCUAAAAUAAUUCUAGAUAUUUUAUUUUAAAUUUAUUUGAAUUUGUAAGUUACCCUUUUAAUUGCGGUUAUCAUGUAAACAAUUGUUGCCAAAUCAUAAACAAAAUCCUGAGUAGGGACGAUAAUGGGACGGUUUUGAUCGAUGAUCCACUUAAUCUAAAUCUAAAUUUAUCAUAUUUGGAUCAGUAUAAAAUGAAUUUGGAGUGGGUACAUAUGAAUCUAGAUGAGUAAAUUCAAAACAAAUUUAAAGCACGUAUACAAAUCUAACUUAAAAUUCGGAUCCGUAUCCAUAUCUAAUUAGAAAUCUUUUAAUUUUAUUUUAUUUUUAAAAGUAUUAAACUAUCGAUGGUUUAAUACUUUUACAAUCAAAUUAAACUUAUACCUAGCUUACUGAAAUCAAUACCACAUUUAUGAGAUGCAAUAUAUUAUCAGUUUUAUAUGAAAUUCAAAGUAUUAUUUUUAAUUUUAUUUAAGAUGAAUUAUGUGUUUUAGUUGAUAGUAAGACGUUUUUUUCUCAAAUAUUUUUGUGCUCUUAUUAUUCUUAUGAGGCUUGAAAGUUUAAUAAGAUAAAUUUAUUAAUAUUCUAUUAUAAUAUAUAAAAUUUUAAAAUUAAAAUUGAUAAAUCCAAGAUAGAUUUGGAGCAAAUCCGAACCUUUAUUUUAAAUUUGAACUUAAAUAUACAGUAAAAAUCAUAAAUCUAUAAUGAAUUUAGAGUAAAUACAAAUCUCAAUUUUUAUUAUUAAUCAAGAAUUAGAACAGAAUAGAUCCAGCUGAUAUAUAUGUCCCAUUGUCAUCCCUGUGACUGAUGAAAAGAUAUAGGAAAAUAAACAGGAGUUUAAUAAGCUAGACAAUAAAAGAAUCAUAUAUAGCAAUGAUUGAUUCUUUCUUCCUAUCCUUAUGAAAUCUUUCUCAAUGUCUUUUCUACGAAAUCUUUUUUAAUGUCCUUUUCGAAAAUAUCACCCUUCAGCCAAUGACUUUGAGCUGAAGGCUGGUAUUUCAAUUCAUGAACCAACCGAACAAAAAUCGUUUGUCAACAAUAUGGAUCAGCAGCCAGAAGCUACAAUUUAUCAUUAUUAAAUAGGUGAUCAUGCUUGCAACCAGGCGCAGGACAGAGUCUCUGACCAUAUUUAAAUGUUGUAGAAGCGUAGCCAUAUAUAUGAAACGUUUCACUUUGUUUUCGUAUGUUAUCAAAGGCUCAGUUUUAAAAGUAAUAUUGUAAUAAGUAUUGAAGUGUCCCAUGCAAUAAAAUCGAAGUGUCCCAUGCAACAAAAUCAUGUCAUGCGUCUUAAAUUUAUUUUGCCCUCUUAUUUAUCCUAGAUGGUAAAUACUGUUAUGAUAGAUUAUUCAAAAGGUUAUAAGGGGAGAAGAUAAGUUUAUUUUUUUUUGGGGAAAAACAUUUCCUUGCUGAAAAAAGCAAAAAUUUACAUAAGUACUGCAAUGUCUGUGGGCGGCUCUUCCAACUGAAUAAGAUCGUUAAUCAAAGAGAGUGCUAAUUUUGCUAACUGAUAAGAAACUGUAUUACAAUUUCUAAUUUCUGAAAUGAUCCAUUCAAUCUCCUUUCUACUUGAUAAAACGCCCGUAAUUAGAUGGACAAGAUUUACUGAAUCAAAUUCCACAAUAAAAAGAGUUAAGCAUAAAUCUAUCGCCGGCUUGAUGCCUUCUAGGAUAGCUUCAGCCUCUGCAAACUCGAUGUCGCUAAGAAAAGAUUUCUUGUGGCUGAGCCAGCUAUAAAAUCUCCCUUGAAAUUUCCUAUAAUUGCACCCAAACCUGUAAUUCCAUUGGAGAUGUCAAUCGGUGCAUCAACGUUCAAGUUGUACCAAUGAUUAUCCGGUGGAAUCCAACUAACACCCUUCUUGGUUGGAGGGACUAGAAACUCUUGAAUUGGAGAGCCUUGAGCAGCAGUGUACGAAUUCAAAACAGCUUCAGCCUUGCAAAGAACACUCUUUGGGUCCAUCUUUUGAUUCUGAUAGAGCGCUAUGUUCCUAGAAUGCCAAAUAGACCAUGUAAUCAUCCCAAACGAUGGGUAGUCCUCUUUUGACAGCCAAGAUUCCAAAUUCUUUGCAAAGAGAGCAAAAUCCAUAUGAGGGUUAUUCGUUACAUAAGCAGCCAAAGUUGACAACUUCCACACCUUGAUCGCAAACUUAUAGCCAACUAACUCAUGAAAGGUACCCUCAAUAGCACUAAAACAUCGAUGACAAUUUGGAGAAUCCACUACUUUUCAUUUCAAAAGAUUAUUUGAUGUAGAGAGUAUAUUACGUAGAGCUCUCCAAAAAAAAGAUCGACUUUAGAUGGAAUGGAUAAAAGCCAAGCGGGAUACCCCAAUUAGCAUAGCCAAAUGAACUUAGAGGGGGAAUUAGGAUAAGUAAGACUAAGGGCCACUUGUAACCACUCUUAAAAGUUUACAAAUUUAUUUUGUACAAACUGAUUUGACAUUAACUUAUUGAUUAAAUAAAAAUACAACAACAUGUUUUUAUAUUUAAAAUAUAUAUAUUCACAUAUACGAAGGUAUAUACUUGAACAAUAUGAGUAAUACAUGUGAAUUAAAAUCAUCUCCUAAUCUAAGCUCCAUUAAUUAAUUUUAAAAAAAACUUGUCACAUGUUUUUAGUAUAGUGUAUAAUUAUUGUUAUGUUUUUAUUUAUUAAUUUCCAAUUACCUGCUAUAUAUCUUACUCAACAAUGUUUUGAUCAUGAGAGAAUUUUAAUUCAAAUACAUAUGAAAAAAAAAAGAAGAAGAAAUCUGAGACCAUACUAAUAAGAGAUUUCCUUUCAUGUGAUUUUAAGAUCAAAAUUAUGAUAGUAUGCAAACUUGGUUGCGUUUAGUAUUGUUCUUUAAACGAUGUUUUUGUAUUUAUUUUAUAAUAUAGAUAUGAUUAAUAUUUGAUGAAUUUGAAAUUUUGUUUGGUAUAUAGUAUAUAGUAUGAAUUUGACCACUAAAUACUUAAUAAUUAUAUUUAUAUACAAAAUUAAAAAAAAAUAAGGAUUUCUCUACCUUACGUUUAAUGUAAGGUACAUCCCCUUACAAAUUGAGCUAUAAGUCCCACUUGAGCCCACAGCCAAUAGAGAGGUUGUACCUUACAUUAAAUGUAAGUAGAGAUGGCCAAUGGGUCGGGCGGCACAAGGCACAGCACGUGUCCGUACAACAUGGCACGACACGAGCACGUUUCGGUAGGGCACGAAGCACGGCACGGCACGCAAAAAGGCACGUAAUAAGCACGCUUCAUUGAUAGGCUAAGCACGUAGCCCGUGGGCCAAAGUAUAUCAAAAUAAAAAAUUUUAAUGAAAAAUAAAUAUAAAAUAUCAUGAUUUUAUAAAUAUCUUGAAAUUAAAUUUUUUAAUAUAUUUUUUUAGCAUAGGUUUUUUAAAAUUAAUUUAAGUCCUAGUUUAAAUAAAUAUUCUAAUUUUUUAUGUUUAUAAUUUAUUAAAUGGAUAAAUAAAUAUCAUGAUUUUAUAAAUGAUAAAUGAAAAAUUUUACGACAUUAAUAUUUCAUUUAUGAAAUCAUAACUUAGUUAAUAGUUAAUGGAGAUAUGUUUCAUUUGUGAAUGAAAUAUUUUUCAUAUUUAUGCACAAAAAAAUAAAAUUAUGAACAAAAUAUUUUUAUGAUAAAUUAAAAAUUACAUUUUCAUUCAAUGGAGUUUAUGUGCAAUUAUAAUAUUAGUAGCUCAAAUAAAAUUAGAUGUAAUUGUUAUUCUAGAAUUGUAAUUUUAUUUUCAUUAAUUAUUACUAUGAUCUAUGAAAUUAUUAUUAUUAUUGUCGUUGUUGUUGUUGUUAUUAUUAUUAUUAUUAGGCUGGUAGGGUUAAAAAAGCACGCCAGGCACGUGGACUUUUUUAGGCAUACUGGACAUGUGGACAAAGAAAAAAGGUUGGUGGGCUUUUUUUGGGCACGGCCCACGGCACGAGUUUGGACAUGUGGACAAAAAAAAAGUUGGUAUGGGUUUUUUUUAGCACGAACCACGGCACGGUACGGCACGAGUGGGCUCGUGCCGUGGGCCGUGCCGGCUCACGAGCCCGCGUGGGCUGACAUUUUGUGGGCCGUGCCGUGCUGGCCAUCAUUAAAUGUAAGGUAACAGCUCCCAAAAAAUAAAUGAAAGAGAGAGGCAACAUAGCAUAAUACGGGGCCGGACCCACAUCUUCAUAAAACUAUGUCAUAAAAGCAGUGGUAGUUCCUAUGAACAAAGUGAAGAAUAAAGAUUUGAUGCUGUCUAAUUAUCUUCGUUAACAUUGUAAAAUAGAUAUGGUUUGCUUUCAUAAUAAUAAAAAAUGUUACUGUUACUGAGGCUUAUCAAACAUUUUUUUUCUAUUCUUAUAAAAUAGAAAAUGAGUGAUGAAAAACAAUACCAUACAGCCCAAAUUUUUUUCCAUUUUUACCCCUUUAAUCAUAGCCUAUCGGCCUCUCCAAUUAGUUGAAAUCUUGAUGAUUCGACCACAAGUUGUAAGAGAAAUUCUAGAAUAUAUCUAUUGUAUUAUAACUAAUUAAUGCAUGCACGACAUGCGUAAUUGAGUUUAAUACAACCACCACUUGCAUGAUAGUUUACAAAAUAAAUGCACACAUGUCAUGAUAUUAUUUGCUUGUUGUAUGGGUGACAUAGUACAACAGAUGUAUUCUAGAAUUUCUCCAAGUUGUAAAAUACCAUUUGAGUCACAUAUAUUAUUGGUAGAUGAGUAGAUCGCAUCUCCCUCAACCAACGAAUUGCAUGUCAAUGUGAAAAUUGAUUUAACUGUUUAGUCUGUUUUUCAAUGAGACGUAUUUCGUUCAAACUUUUACCUUCAAUCAAUGGGACCGAAGAAAGUAGGAAAAAAAAAAUUAAACAAAUAAAAGGUAGAACUAGUUGACAGACAAAAUUUUAUCAACAUUUUGAAACAACCAACAUUAAAAAGAAAUAAAAAAAUAAAAGAAGAGAUCUAGUAAAAGAAACAUGAGUUUAAUAAUUAAGCUAGAAAAGGAAAGAAUCUUAGUAAGCUUUUCAACAAGAUCCUUUUCAAUGUCCUUUUCGACAAAAUCUUUAUUGUCAAUAUAUUGAAAAAUGAUGGUGGUUGAGUUGUCACUAUGUAUCUCGAAUUUAAGCUUCUGAUACGGUCUUUUAAAAAUAAUUCUGGAUAUUUUAUUUUAAAUGGUAACUUUUAAUAGUGGUUAACUUGUAAACAAUUGUUGCCAAAUCAUAAACAAAAUCUUAUUGUCUCACGGAAAGAUACUGGAAAAUAAUCAUGAGUUUAAUAAGCUAGACAAUGAAAGAAUAAUAUAUACAUGUUAUAUAGUAACGAUUGAUUAUUUCUUCUUACCGCUAAGAAAUCUUUUUCUAUGCCUUUUUCGACAAAAUCUUUAAUGUUAUAUAUUGAAUAAUGAUGGUGAUUAAGUUUCCAUUAUGCAUCUCUCAUGUAAGCCUCAGUCCCUAGAAUUAACUAGCUCUCAGGAUUCCUGCAUCAGUUAACUACAGCUUCCAGGUUUAUCAAUAAUUAUGGUACACCAUCCUCCAAUAUCUGUGCAUAUAUAAUUUUUUAAACAGGAAUUUUGGAGUUUGGAUCAUAUUAAAAUAAAGGAUAAAUUAAAAAAUAAGACAAACACAUACUCUAACAUAUUUUAUUUUAUCAUGUAAUAUAUUGAAUUUCAUAUUUUUCUGUCUUUUUAGCUUGUUAUAACGAUCCUUUAUAAGAAAUUAAAUGUAUCUUGAUUCUCUCCCACACUAACUUUAGAAGAGAAAAUUAUUUAAUUUGCUUUAUUCUUUUACUACUACUGCGUCAAAAUAACCAACAAUUGACGACAACAAUUAUUGAAUAUGUAACAAAUUUACAUACAUUUUGACGACAUCUUUACUUGUUUGUGUUGGCAUCCUUAUUGGCAAAUUACAACAUCGUUCAGUCUUCUUAUAAUUAAGCAAUUGUCUAUGUAACAUAAAUUAUGUAUUAAGAACAUCAAUAUGGCGUGGAGCAUUGCGCAUAGAAGAGAAGAAGUAAAGUCUUAGGCGUCUACUCCAUGUGGGAAACAUGGGAUUAUCACAAAGAGAGAUUUAAAGAUUAUAACAAAAGAGAGAUUUUAACUAACUUGUUAUGGAGGGAUGAGAUAACGAUCAAGUUGGCAUAAUCUGUAGAGAUAACGACGAGUUUGGAAUAAUCAUGUGGUGAUAAUAUUAUGAUAUUCUGCCUUUUGAUCAACUGAGCACGCUCCCUCUCACAACACAACUCUCUUCAUAAGAAUUGGCCAACAUGGAUUGUCACUUUUCAUGUUAAUUUGAUAUUACCUUGAAUGGCAUAUUAAUUUGAUUUGAAAAAAUGGAACGAGAGUAGAGGAAAAAAGGAGAAUGAAAAGAAAUAAGAAAAAAAAUGAUGAAUUUCAUAUAAAAUCAAAUAAUGAAAUAAUAAAAUUGAGGUCGAUUCUCUUUUUUUUCUCUUUUUUCUCUAAUAAAAAUAUAUCAGAUUAAUGACAAAGUAUUGAUAUUUGAUCCCCUCAGUUUCUCUUAUUAUCUCCCACUUCUCUCAUUUUAAUUUGAAAAGUCAAAAAUACCUACCAAAAUAAUUUUAAGUUUUAAAUUUUACCCUUUCUUCUUUCUCUCCUCUCUCUUAUUCUCCCGACUUCCCUUCAUCUUCGUUUUCUUUAAAAAUUGAAGAUUAGUACACUUUCCUUCAUUUUUUGAUCUUUCUGUAUCGAUGAGAGCAAUAAUUGACAUCAUCAAACAAUCCUUUUCUACCCAAAUCAUGAUUAUAAACAAAAGUAAAAAAUAGCAAUAUCAUGAUAUGGAAUCUUGAUCAUAUCUCAUGAUCCCUCUUCAGCUUCUAUGUUAAUCAAAAAGAAAAAAAUAUAAUCGAUUAAAGAUUAAAUUUAAAUUUUAAAAUGUUGUCCUUUUUUUGGGGGGGGGGGGGGGGGGGGAUAAAAAAGAGUUUGAGAUCAAGAUGACAGUGUUGCAUAAAUAAUUAUUAUUAUAAUAAUUAAAGAAACGGCUUGCAUGUCCACUUAUUGCUAAGAAGAGAAGUGGUUCGCGCCGGCCAGUUCCAAGAAGACAAGUGGUGGGUGUCAGUGCAUGGUUAGUAAUUAUUGGGGACUAGAACUGAUUGCCAAGAGUGAGGGUGCAUUUAAUAUUGAGGUUGAGUAACUUUUAAGAUACUGUACUAAAGUGUUUGGUAAACACUAAUUACGGUAGCUUGGAAACUAUGGUGGUAUUUGUUUUUUAACUUAAUGACUUAAAGUGACUUAACUUAAUUAAUUAAGUUAAUUAGAGGUGUUUGUUUUUAUAACUUAAUGAGACUUUUUAGAUAAUUUUGACUUAAUAAAAUAAGCUAAUUUUUUUGGCUUUUUACUUAAUGGAGAAAUCUGAAUUAAGUUAAUUACUUGCUAAUGUCAAAAAUAUCUCUGUUUUAUAAUUUAUUUUUUAUGUCUAUCCCAAAACUCACCCAUAAAUAUUUACCCCACAUAAAAAUAUCCCUGUUUUUUCUUUCUUAUAUUAUAUACGAUAAAAUUUGAAAUUUAUGGUAUUUUAUAUAUUAAAAUUCUAAAAUAAUUAUGUAUUCACUUGAAUAUAGUUUUGCUUAUAAAUGUUAAAAUAUUAUGGUAUUUAAUAUAUUAUUUAUUUGACAUUCAAAUUUAAUAAGGCUACAAAUGUAAAAGUACAUAUUUUCAGCUUUUUAAGUUGAAAAAAACAAACAGCUUAAUACUUAUUUUCCGAGAUUCAUACGAAAAAACAAACAUAUUAUUCAGAUUCAGACAUUCAGAUCUAUUAAGAAUUCAGACUAAUUCAGGUUUAUUCAGAUUUUAGAUAAAAAAAACAAACGCCACCUAUGUUAAUAUGAUUUUUUUCUUAUAUAAUAAAAAAUUUAUUAUAUCUUUAAUAAUUUUGUCAAAAUUAUUAUUUAAAAUUUAUAUAUACUAUAUAUUAUUAAUUUUUGUUUCAUAUUUACAGUUUUUUUUCCAUAGCAGUUAUAACUUAAAAGGUAUAGCACCUCAAUUUCAAACAGGACCUGAAUCUUGUUCAACAAGCAACAGAUUUAGCACCGAUGAGAGAAGAACAAAUAUUAAUUUUAUUUUUUUUAAUGAGGGCAAUUCUGAAUAUAAUUAUAACUAGUAAAAUGGGAGCUAACGAGAUAAAUUGAGAGGUUUAAUAUCUUUACUCUUAAUGAUAAAAAUAACCACAUCGAAGUGCACUGUUAAAUAAAUAAGUGCCAUCACUAUUUAUGCAAUUUACAUGAUAUUAUGAUUAAUCUUGCAUAUGAUUAUUUAUUAAUAAAAAAUAUGUAACAUGUGCUAGCACAUACUAUUUUCCUCUAAAUUUCUUAUACCACAUUUUUUCCUAUAAAUAGAAAGAGGCACACGUCUUCCACGCAAAUCACACAAGUAAGACUUAGUAUAAUUAGAAACAUGAAUCUCAAAGCUUUCUUUGUUCUCUCCGCAGUGCUCUCUUUGCUUCUCUUGGUAUAUAUGCAUCUCUUUUUUAGGAAAAUUUAACAUAAAGGAUACCUAAUUAAGUUAGUUUUGAUGAGAUUCUCUUUAUCAUUUGUUUGAUCUAAUUUUUUUUUUUUCCUCUUGUUCAGUUUGCUAACAGAACAGAGGCCAGAAAAGAUCAGGGAGAAUAUUGGAGAGGCUUCGUCAAAGAUAGCGACGUGCCAGAAUCAAUUCAAAUUCAUGUUCGCCAGGAUCCUGUCUCAACUGCCUCUGAUGCCAAAGCCCACUGCAAAGAACCUGAAGAUUUAGAGCACAAGAGAGAAAAGACUUAUGUCAAGGAUUCUGACGCAACGAUUGAUAUCUUAGUUUAUCACAACAGUAUUAAACCAACUGAACAAAAGUUAUUUGGCAACCACUUCGAAAGCCCGGAUGCUACAAUUUACCACAAUGACAUUAAACCAACAGAACAGAAGUUAUUUGGCAACCACUUCGAGUCAAGCCCGGAUGCUACAAUUUACCACAAUGACAUUAAACCAACAGAACAGAAGUUAUUUACCAACCACUUCGAGUCAAGCCCGGAUGCUACAAUUUACCACAAUGAUAUUAAACCAACAGUACAGAAGUUAUUUGCCAACCACUUCGUGUCAAGCCCGGAUGCUACAAUUUACCACAACGAUAUUAAACCAAUUGAAAUGAUUAAAUCUUUUGUUAGCAAAUUCUUGUCAAACCCUGAUGCUACAAUUUAUCAUGAGUAACCAGACUCUGCUUUCAAUCGUGUGGAGAGAGCCCGUUAUCCAUCUGUAAUAUUUGUGCGUACGUGUGAUGCUCUCUUUCUAUAAAUAAGUUAUGAGGAGUGCGGUUGUUUAAUGCUCUAAGGCACAAGCUUUGUAAGAAAGUGUGUUUUUAUUGUAAAAUUGAAUAAAAAUUUGUGCCAAGUUAAUUAAUUAUCCCUUUUCUAGUGAUUUUUUUUUUUCUAAUGCUUUGAUUAUUUCCACAAAAUCUUUUCGUAAGGAAAGGGCCUAGCUACUUGAAUCAAUUUUCUCCAUUUCAACGUUAUUAGUAUAAUAAUAAUACAAAAAAUCAUUAAUCUCAGUAAUUGAUAAACAAUAUUCUUUGCUAUUAUAUUGAGAAUUAAUUCCUAAUCUGAGAAAAUAAAUUAACAAUUAAAAAAUAAUAAAAGAUCGUGAACUACUUAGAUUUAUGGCCCUCUCACAUGUCGAUGGUACUUUACAUAAUUAGAAGCCUUUUUAUUAAUUUUAACAGACACCAUUCAAUCAACUUUGGUGACAUACUGAUAAUUGAUGCAAAAUUCUAUUUGGGGAAAAAAAAGUAAAAGAAAGAACUCCUAUUUUAGCUCUUAAAUCUUAAUUUUUCAAAUUUUAGAAGGAUUAAUGAUCAACAUUAUUUAGCCUAUUUUAUUUAAUUUAUAACUAUAGAAAUCCUAAAGCUGAUGGAGUAUACUUAAUACCUUAUUUUCCCCAAUCACAACCGUCUAAAUUCCUGAAACAUUUCAUUUCUUAAAUUUCAACGGUACAGAUUAAUUCUCUUACGAAAACUCAGCGACUUAUCCUGGACCGCCGCUACUAAAAUACAUAAGAGUAAAAUACUAUAGUAUUCCGGGACAAAUUUAUUUCUUCCACGACGCAAUAAAAUGCUGCGUCCAAUAACAUUCUGUUUCCUAAAGCUUACCCAAAUCGCAGAUAGGAACAUGGUUUGCAAUAAUUUUUCUAACAGAUCCUGCCAUCAAAUUCGUUAAAAACUGGUUUAAUUUUUAUUAAAUAAUUUUAAGUAAAUUGAAUAAGAUAAAAAAUUUAAAAAGUUAUUAUUUUAUAAUGAAAAAGCUAGAUCAUCCAUACGUAAUAAAAAAUAGUACGCAUUCACAACUUAAUGCAAUAUAAUCUAGACAACCAAAUAUAUUUUAUGUAUUUUUUACAAAUUGCUUUUAGUAUAAGCAAAUAAGGUGGUUGUCUAAACAUUCAUAUUUUUGGAAGGUCUCAAUUUUUAAUAUUUUCUUAAUAAUUUUCUAAUUAAUAAAGAUAUUUUUUUAACUUAUGUAUUGUAGAAAAACCUAUUAGACAUUUUUAUUAUUAACAACUAUACUACAAUUAAGAGUCUUUUUUGUAUAGAAAAUCAAUAUUUGUAACCUUAUUGAUAAAGAGAAAUGAUUAAUAAUAUUUUUAACCAUUAAUUCAUUCAUUAUUAGUUUUCUCAAGAAAAAAAGUUAAAUUCUUUACCUUUUCAUUUUCCUAAAAAAAACUUGAUUAUUUAACAUUGAAAUCUUUGACUUUUAUUAUUCCUUUAGUUUCUAUUAGAACCUUAUAAUAUAAAAAAUCAAUAGAUAAAAAAAAUUUGUUCCUCCUUUCUUUACGAAGAAAAUUAUUAUAUUUAUUGGUUAAUUUAAAAAAGAAAAAUUAGUUUCUUGAAGUAUGAAGACCAUAUCUAUUAUCUGAUAAUCAAUUCAUGAUCUCGACUUUCUAGCUAUAUUCUGUCAUUCUAAAUAUUUUAUUUGAAAAUAAUAUUGUUUUUAUUUAUUUGUUUGUUUGCUUUUUAAGAGUUCUGAUGGAAGUAAAAAAAACAAAUCUUUUUUACUAAUUUUUUAGGUUUUUUUUAAAAGAUUUUUUAAGAUAUUUUUUUAUUACUGUUAAAAUUUAAGAAUUAAAGAUAGAAUGAAUUUUUGAGUCUUUUCAUAUUUCUUUGAGUAUUGAAAUUACAAAAUAAAAUAUGGCCUUACAAAAAAAAAAUUCGCCUAAGACCCCAUAUACUCUAAUGCCGACUCUGGGUGAAAUUAUUGAUUUUAUUAAUAAUAAUAUGAUGUAUACUAACCAAUGUACAAAACAGUAGUGGGUGACAUAAAUUAGAAUUGUGUUGCAAAAACAAGAGGUUUGAGUGAAAAAGAAUUUACAAACUCACAUUACAAUGUUAUAUAGUUGCCAUAUGUCUCACAUUUUCAAAUGAACAAAAUAUAAUAAAUACAGUAUAAUCUUUAUAACUGAAUAUUCAAUAGAUUAAUAAUCUCUACUGUGUAAUAAUUUUUUAUGGUCAUGACUUAGGCCAAUAGGUUAAAUUAAUAAUUGCAAUAAAUUAAUAAGAUGAUAUUUUUUAUGAAAACCCUUAUAUAACUAUGUGGCUCCAUUCAUAUCAAAAUUAAUAAUUUUUUAAAAUUAUAAAUAUAAUUGACAAUAAUUUUUUAUUUAUUAAAAUGUGAGUCGAUUAUUAUCUUGUUCCCUUAUUACUUCUUUUCCUUGAAAUAUAAAUCUAUUUGAAUCUCGUAUCUAAUUUUUCUUAUUACAUCUAAAAGUUUUGGGAUUGAAUUCUUGAAUUAUAAUAAAAAAAAAUUAUGAAGUGCUUUCGUACACAUAACUGGCUCCAAAGCAAUUGUAUCAUUCUCAACUUUUAUCAUCGACAUGAUUUUAAGUGAUGUCAGCAGUGGUUUAAUUUAUUCUAAACUUAAAAUCUCUCAACUUACAUCAUUUUUAUUAUGAUAAUCCAAGAGGUAAUUAAGUAGAUAAAUACAAUACAGUUAUUGUUUUGGUUUAUCUAAUAUCUAUUUAGUAGAUUAAUUCAUAUUCAAUAAAUUAGAUUAGUAAAAUAUAACGAAAUUUUAGUUAAUUAAAUGUACGUUUAUUGAACUAUAAAUGAACUCUAGAAAUUAAUAAAUUAUUAAUUUACUAAUUACAUAAUAAUUCUUUUAAUUAAUAAAAUUUAAAUAGUCCCAAUGUUAUUAAUUCAUAGAAGUUAUAUGAAAUAUGUGUCAACUAUAUAAUAUCGUAGUUUGUAAACAAAACAUAACUCUUUUGUUAAUUGAAUACUAACGUAAUGCUAUAGAAAUAACAUAUGUGACCAAUUUGCAUAAAUGUAUACUCUCUGUAUCUUAUUACAAAUGCUUUAUAAAUCAGUGACUCAGAUGUUAUUAUCUAAACUCGUGGAAGCAUUACUUUUGUCCCUGCCAAUAUCAUUCAGAUAAAUAGUUGUUGUGCGUUCAGAUUCACCAGGAAUGCUUACGCAAAACAUAGACUGAACCCAAGAGCUUCGAAACUCGAAACUGAACCAAAUCAUUCUAAUGGAAGAGAAACGCCGGGAAGCCAGAGCGCAACCGGCGGCUACGAGCUCGGCCGCAGCUGGAGCCGAGUCAGCGGCAUCCGAGCCGGCUUCGCUCGGCGCCGAGCCGGAGCGCACAAAAGGAAAGCCUCGGCGCUCUCAGCGACUAACGCUUCAUCCACGCCGUCGAAGCGCAUGACUCGCGAGAAGAAUUUAGUUGCUCACACUCCGAUCUACAACCAUAACGUUACAUCUUGACAUUUGUAGUAAGAACGUGAGAGGAUACCUGGAGUGUAUUGGGAUUUGGGCGGAAGAGAAAGGAGCCCUUGGAAUUGGGAAACAAAUGAAAUUAUCUGCAUGGUCCUUGUACUCGUGGAGGGACUGUAACUUCUGAACCAACAAUGCUGAAAAUGCAGGGUCAAAAAUCAACAUUAACUUGAUGAAUAAUUGUUUGAAAAAAAAAAAAAGCAAGAAAACUUGAUUAAUAUAAAAGAGAGCAAAGGAGCACAACCAUACAGAAGUUGUAUAAAGGAAUAUUAAUCAAGCUUGAUUAAUAUUCUUCUUCUAUCCAACACCACAAGAUGAAACACAGUAUUCCUGUUGCAGUAUAUGGUGAGAACUGUGAAGUGCAGGAAGUAGUUUCCUAAGAGAGAUGAUUGAAUGCUCUUAAUUUUUUUUUUCAGAAAAUCAUUUUAUUUUUAAUAAAAGUUUAAUUUUUUUUAAUAAAAAUUUUUAUUUAUUUUUUAUUAAGUUGUGUCUCAUAUUUACUAAUAAAGGAAGUUAUUUGGGUAUAUAAGUAGGAUGUCUCAUCUAACAUGCUAGUAGGAUAAAUCUCUCAUCUAAUAUGCUAGUAUUUUGGGUUAAAUACCUAUAAAUUCUAAGCCGAGUCCACAACAGUCCCCAAAAUAACUGGAUUUAAGUCCUAGCUACACCAGUAGAUUGAAUAGAAGUGCAAAUAAGUUUAACUUUUUUGUCAUUCAUUUUAGUCUUUUUUUUUUUUUUUUUUCACAUACAUUGAAAAAGGAUAACUCUGUCGUGAUUGCCAUGGCAGAGCCUAUUUCAAACGAUGGUGUAUGCUAAAGGAAAUUAUCAUGAGAUGAGUGAUAAACCAUACAAUCAGUAGCUACAGCCCACGAUUAAUCAGCCACAUGGCCACAAAUAUUAUUGGCGGCAAAUAUAUCAACAAAAUCACAAUAAAGAUGAGCAUCCUCGAUUCCAUUCCUUAAUGUAAAUAGGACAGCCUGUCUAGCCAUUACUUUAAGAGAUUUGGCUGGCUUUGACACUUGUAUAUAAGCUUGUAACCCUCUCAUUCUUUACAAGAAAUAAGAUAAUAUUUUCAGCUUAAUAAUUCUUUUCAGUGAGAUCAAAGAAAUGUAAAGAGAUAUAGUCACUACUACAAAAAUGUAAAACAAUGACCCAUAUGUUAUGACGGUUCUUCUAAACAACCGUCAUUAAAGAUAUUUAAUGACGGUUAUUAUGUGAACAGUCAUAAUAUAUACCACUUAUAAUGACGGUUAUGUAAUAAAACCGUCAUUAAAUGUCAAAUAAAAUUUACACUUAGUUUUAAUGACGGUUCAUUUAUAAAAACCGUCAUUAAAAGUCACUAUUUUUAAUGACGGUUCUUAUAUACAACGGUCAUUAUAUGUGUAGUUAAAAAUAAUAUUACUUUUAAUGACGGUUUUUUAAUAACCGUCAUUAAAAAUAAUAAUUUUUAAUCACGGUUUUUACAUAUAACGGUCAUUAUAUGUGUAAUUAAAAUAGUACUACCUUUAAUGACGGUUUUAAAAAAACCGUCAUUAAUAAUUUUUAAUGACGAUUUUUACAUUAAACGGUCAUUAUAUGUGUAAUUAAAAUAAUACUACCUUUAAUGACGGUUUUGUUAAGAACCGUCAUUAAAAAUAAAUUUAUUUUUAAUGACGGUUCUUAACAAAACCGUCAUUAAAAAUCAUACUUUUUAAUGACCGUUAUAUAUUAUAACGGUCAUUAUAUAUAUAAUUAAAAUGCUUUUAAUUUUAAUGACGGUUCUUUAAGAACCGUCAUUAAAAAUUGACAUUUUUAGUGACAGUUGUAUAAAACAACCGUCAUCGUAUAUAUUGAUAUAGUUAUAAAAAAAAAAAAAAAAUUGGCCUUAUACUGAACACCAAAUCCCUAAAAUUACAGAUAAUUUGUAAACAUUAAAAGUAAUGGCGCAAGCACGCACGCCGCCGGUACACUUAGCCCAUGCAGCAGCAACCGAGCACGGUAGCAACAGGCCACCAGCAGUCGCUCUCUCUCUCACGCACACGCAGCAGCAAGCCAACACCAAUAGCCCCUCUUUCUCAUGCUCACUCUCUACUAUGCCCUCUUACGUACUCAAGAAAACUCUAACCCAUAUCCAAACCCUCGCCGUCGAAGAAAACCCAAUCCUUAAUGGCUUGAAAUUAAAGCCUCCACCGUCAAUCACCAUCGAACCAAAUAAACUCUAGCCUUACCAUCACUCUUCGUUUGACUCGCUGAAGAAAGCACUCUAUUAGGUGAGUCUCUGUUGUUUGAUAAUAUAUCUGCACUCUUUGUUGGCCGAAGCUUUUAGACAAUUGCUUUGAUUCAAUUGCUUCGAUUGGUUAGUUCUCUGUGAUUAAUUAGUUAGUUACUUUUAAUUUCAUAUUUUCAUCUCUAACAGUGAAUUUGGGAGUCGAUUUCUCUGUCGGAUUUGUAAUUUUUGCUACAGAUCAAAAACAUCUUGAAGGUGUUUUCAUAUCUAACAACUUGAACUAUCAUUUAUUUUGUCUUGUUAAUGUUCAAUUUUUUUUUCUUUUUUUAUUAGUAUGACAAUUAGUCGAAUGUGCUUGCACAUAAAACAAUCUUUUAACUUGGCGUUGGAAUAUUUGUUUUGAGUUGUGUCCCCUUAAUCAAUGACCAUACAAAAGUUCCCCAUGAUAAAGUGUUUAGCCCUAUUAAUGCCAUAAAGUCUUGCUCUCAAUUUUUCUGAUUAUGCCUAUGGAUUGAUUACCUAUUUCAUUUACAAAUUCAAUUGGCAAAUGUACAAUGCCUGCAUGACACUCACAUUUGGGUUAUGAUGGUAGUCAUUAUGAGGAAGAAUGUUAGAAUAACAUCAGGGGAAACAUCUGGGAGAAGGUAUGUACUGUCAAGCUCUUUGUUAGAAUCAUCACGAAAUUUAUAUUGGAUCUUGGCUGUUCUAUGUGAUGCAUUUUGGAUUUGCUCUUACUAGACAUGCAAAAACCUGUAAAAUGUAUUUUUUUUUUCCAUUUUAGAUUUACUAUCUAGUAUCUUGUAGGUUUAAUCUAAAAUAGAAACCAUUGAGGAUACUGGACACAAUUCUAAUGAAGAGAAAAGAUGUUAGACUUUAGUAUUCAACCUUUUUUUUUUAGCCAUAUUUCUAGACCCCAAGUUUAUGUCAUGAUAAUUGUGUGAUUGAUAAGAUAUUUUGGUUUUGGACUUUAUCUCAUGGAUUUAGAGUUCGAUUAUAUUUGGAAGUGGAAUAAUGCAUUCAUUUACAUAUGAUGUUUGAUGAAGUUCCCAUAAAAUUAAUUCAAUUAUAUAUGUUUAUGGUUCUAAGGAAGCGGGGCAAAAAUUUUAUCAGUGGGUUGAUUUCACUAGUUUAAGUUAGUAAAGCAAAGAAAUUGUCUUUAUGCACUUUAACUUUCCUCCAUUUAAGGUGAAAAAAUUAUUGAAGCUUUUAGAAGUGAAUUGUUCAUUUUGUUUGUGCACUUAUGCAGAUGGAUUUACUUUUGGCUGCUUAACCCUUCCUCACUUAUAUUUUUUCAGUUUAAAUUGCAGUGUUUUGCUGCUGUGCAACAGCACAAGAGGCUGUUUUAUUGUUGUUUCUGUAAAAACACAGCACCAGGAAGCGUCCAGGUAAUGUUUCGCUGCUGUUAUGCAGUAAAAACAACACCUGAAAGUUUCUAGGUGCUAUUUUUACUGCUGUUUACGCAGAAACACAGCACCUAAAAGUGUCUCUAGGUUCUGUUUAGCUGCUAUUAUGCAGCAAAAACAGCACCUGGAAACUUCCAAGUGCUGUUUUUAUUGCAUUUUAUGCAGAAACAAAGCACCUAGAAGCAUUCAAGGGUUGCUUUACUGUUGUUUUGUAUUUAAAAUUGCUGUUAGAAAUUUUGGGUGCUAUUUCUCUGAAAUUUUGCUAUUAACAGUGCAGCUUAAUAAUUUCAUAUGUCGUUUUGAACCUUCUUCAGUUCUUUUCUCUUAUGUCUAUACUUAAUCUUUUCCCCCCUGGUAAUAAGCAGGUACAAUUUUUGCAAGGUAAUAUCUAAGCAUGCUGUUAAUUCUUUGGUUGAGACGUAGUAUUCUAAACUUCAGGCCUUAAUUUUUUUAUUUCCAAGUGUAUAAUGGGUAGGUACUGGAUCUCUUAUGGAUGAUGUAGUUAAUGCUUUUUUAUUGUCUCUAUUUUGGCAAAUGUGUUGUCAUUUAUUAUCUGAACACAUGGUUGAUUAACUUACUUGAGGUAAGUCUAUUAAUUAAUAGUGAUAUGAUACUUUAAAGUCUUGUUUUACAACUUAAGUCACUAAAAUGAUUUAAUAUUUAUGAUUUAUAAUAUAUGAAUAUAUCUUAAUUUCUCUUUAUUCUUUGUAAGAAUGAUGUAGAUUGCUGAAGCUGGUGAGAUUCAUUUGCAAUUGAAGACUUGAUGAGAAAUUAGAUGUACUCACACAUGCCAAUCUUGUUGGUUGCUAGUGCAUUCACUAGUAGAAGUUUAAUGAUUGUUGGAGAUUUUUGUAGAGCUAUCUCUUUGUAAAUGAAACAUUUGCAUCAUUUUGAAUAUGAAACAUUUGUGAAAAAUAAUUGUAAAGAAUUUAAUAUGAAAUUAGAAUUAAAAUAGGGGCUUGAAAUAGCCUUAAAUUUGCCAAAUUUAUUUUUUUAAUAAUAAAUAACAAAGAUGACGGUUAUUUCAAAAGAACCGUCAUCAAAUGUAGUGUUCUAUAACAAAUAUGACGGUUUUCUUCUAAAACCGUCAUUAAAUGUUGUUUCAAUAUUUAAUGACGGUUCUUACAAUAAACCGUCAUUAAAAUGACACAUUUAAUGACGAUUAUUUAGAUAAACCGUCAUUAAAGAUAGAUAUUUAAUGACGGUUCUUACAAUAAACCGUCAUUAAAAUGACACAUUUAAUGACGGUUAUUUAAAUAACCGUAAUUAAAAAUAUACAUUUAAUGACGGUUAGUGAACCGUCAUAAAAAACAUACCCUCUUUAAUGUCGGUGCCUAAGAUGACGGUUUUAAAACCGUCAUCUUAUGUCGUUUAAAACCGUCAUAAAAGACCAAUUUUGUAGUAGUGAGUCUAUUAGGUUGGCAAAUCUACUGAAACAAUAUUGUUUCCUAUCAACUCCGAAAUACAACCAAUUGAACAACGUUCAGAAAUCGAAAAUCAUUUAUUACCAGUAAGAUUUAUUAUUAUACGCUAUACAUAUGGCUUUAACAGUCACAUUACCAAUACAUUUUUAAUCAUGGUAGGUAGGUGCUGGAAUGUAUACAAUAUUAUCAGCCUGGAAGAAAUGGCAGACAUGGGAGCUCCCUGGCUCGAUCCCAAGCACACGAAACGAUGCAUGAUCUCGACUCCAAUGAGACGUAUCCAUGUGGCAAACUGCUACAGCUUCCACUCUAUCUCCAUUAUCACCACCUAAUGAAACACCGAAUAACUUGUUCUCAGUCAUUUGGCUGUGGCAGUAGAAGAUUGCAUAAGGGUAAGGCAUGAUAUGACAUGCCACCAUCUUGGGAGCAACCAUUGGUUUAGGCACUUGUAAAAUAGUGUAAUUUUGGAAAAUGGUAGCUGAUUUUGUGAGAAAUUUUGUGCUUAGAACUUCGAAUUUGGUCUCCAAUCCGAAAGUUCCGUGUACAAAAUCAAGCAUGGAUUCCAAAGAGGUAGCACAAAUUUUGGUUUCUCCUUCGAUGGGAGGAACUUCGCAAUGAUUCAGGGUCCCUUCCAUGGCUUUGGCUAGGGGUGAGUCAUCUGAGAACGAGAAGAAUUGAAGAAGGUAAGGCAGUUGUUUCAAUGAAAAUGGAAUGGAAUCUGCUUCUUCUCUAGGCAAAGCCUGAGGAUAAGCUGAAGGAUCUCUCUUGCGAAAAAUAAAUCGGCAUCGUUUCGCCAAUCUUUAGAUCCUUCAAGGUGAAGAACACCAUCGUUGAAGGGUCCAUGUGAUUCAUGUGGGAUGGUAUUGAAUGAGAAUCAUGAAGAUUCUCCGAAAGCACCUGAGCACACUGUAAAACAGUUGAGCAAUUCAAU
Molecule: long non-coding RNA, 142870 nt
Filed under: Citrus maxima (pomelo)
Lineage: Eukaryota; Viridiplantae; Streptophyta; Magnoliopsida; Sapindales; Rutaceae
Description: long non-coding RNA (CMAX_LNC003331)
Source: RNAcentral